Molecule: long non-coding RNA, 95282 nt
Filed under: Malus domestica (apple)
Lineage: Eukaryota; Viridiplantae; Streptophyta; Magnoliopsida; Rosales; Rosaceae
Description: long non-coding RNA (MDOM_LNC017839)
Source: RNAcentral
CUGCAUCCAUUCAUUGCAAUAACCAAGAAGCAGAGAGUUUCUCUAGAUGGAUGCUUUCCGAGAUUCUUCUUCCUCCUCUUACCGGUGUUCCUAUCAUGCCUUCUUGAGUUUCAGAGGCCCAGACACGCGCAAGGGCUUUACUGAUCACCUCUAUAUAGCCUUGGAGCAAGCAGGAAUCCACACGUUUAGAGACGAUGAUGAAAUCGAGAGAGGGGAGAAUAUUGAGUUGGAGUUAGACAAGGCGAUACAGGAGUCACAAGUAUCGAUAAUUGUCUUCUCCAAGGGCUACGCUUCCUCAAGGUGGUGUUUGAACGAACUUGUGAAGAUCGUGGAACGUAGAAAUACUGAUCGUAGACAUGUGGUUCUGCCAGUUUUCUAUGAUGUGGAUCCAUCCGAUGUCAGGAAGCAGAGUGGUUCUUUUGCUGAAGCAUUUGCCAGACAUGAGGAGCGAUUCAGUACGGAGGAGAUGGACAAGGUAGAGCAGUGGAGAAGAGCUCUUAGAGAUGUUGCAUCUUUGGGAGGAAUGGUUUUAGGAGAUCGGUAAUUUCUUUUCUCAUUAUGUUCUCACGCUAAUUGAAAGUGUCUUUUAAAUUAGAAAACUAGAUUUUAAUCCCUAAACAAGGUAGAGUUUAGAAAAAUAUUUUAUACAAGAUUAAAAAUUGAUUUUAGUCAUUAGACGUCAGCAUAUAUAUAUAUAUAUUCAAUGUCUCUUGUUUUAUUUAUAAUUUUAUGAAAAUAUUAUGAAUUUUAAUUCUAUAAGAAAAUAUUUUCGUAGAGAUUUUUCGGUACGCAUAUGUUUUUGCAUAUUUUCUUAUUUGCCACUAAUUCAUUACAAUAUAUUUAGGUACAAAUAUUUUGGUACACUGGGUUAGUAUAAUAUGUUUAGGUACGGACAUUUCGGUAAACUAGUUUAGUAUACUAUAUUUAGGUACUGACAUUUCGGUACACUAGUUUAAUAUCAUAUAGUUAGGUAUGGAAUUCUCGGUUUACUUAUGUUUUUAUAUAUUUUCUUAUGUGUCACUAAUUCACUACAAUAUAUUUAGGUACUUGCAGUUGGGUACAUUAAUUUAGUAAAAUAUAUUAUGAUACAGACGUUUAGGUAUACUAAUUCGAUAAAAUUAAAUAAAAUUUAUUAAGUUAAAUAAAAUUAAUGAAUUAAAAUGUGUAUAAUAAUAAAUUUAAAAUUUAAUGUAAUAACAUUAAAUAAGUUAUCUAUUAAAUAUAAAAACAAAAAUAUAAUAUGAAUUUGAAUUAAGUACACAUUAAGGGACUAAAAUCAAUAUUCAAUCAAACACAAGAUUUUUAUUAAAUUUUAAUUUUCUUGAAGGAUUAAAGUUCAAAAACCCUUAUAGAAAACUAAAUUUUAAUCCUUGGCAAAUACGACUUUUAGACUAAAACCAUGAGUAAAAUCAAAAUCUAAUUUUUGUCCUAUGAUACAUUAAUAACCUCAUUUAUUAAUUAUAUAUAUUUUUUAAUUAUUUCUCUUUUUCUUCCUAAUUUUUAAUGUAUUAAUUUUAUUUCACUAUAAUUUUCAUUUUCAUUUCAUUUAUCGUAAUAUAUUUUGUUGUAAACAUUUAGAUAAACUAAUUUUCGUUACAUAAUAUAUUUUGAUGUACUUUGUCUUUUUCAUUUAGGUAUAUUAAAUUCAUUAUAAUACAUUUCAAUGCAUACAUUUAGAUACACAUAUUUCGGUACAUACAUUUCGACAUAAACAUUUAGGUACAUUAAUUCAAUAUAAAAUAUUUAGAAAACUAGAUUUUAAUUCUUAAAUAAGAUGAAGUUUAGAAAAAUGUCUUAUACAAAAUUAAAAAUUGAUUUUAAUCCUUAGACUCUAUUUAAUGUCAGCACAUGUAUUCAAUGUCUAUUUUUUUUUAUUUAUAAUUUUAUAAAUUUAAAUUUUAUGAAAAUAUUAUAAAUUUUAAUUGUCAUUAUGGUAAGCAUCUUAUAUAAGAAAAUAUUUUCGUAGAGAUUUUUUGGUACACUUAUGUUUUUGCAUAUUUUCUUAUUUGCUACUAAUUCAUUACAAUAUAUUUGGGUACAAACAUUUCGGUACACUGGGUUAGUAUAAUAUGGUUAGGUGCGUAUAUUUCGGUACACUAGUUUAGUGUAAUAUAUUUAGGUACCGACAUUUGGGUACACUAGUUUAGUAUCAAAUAGUUAGAUACGGAAUUUUCGGUACACUUAUAUUUUUACAUAUUUUCUUAUGUGUCACUAAUUCACUACAAUAUAUUUAAGUACGGGCAUUUCGGUACACUAAUUUAGUAAAAUAUAUUAUGAUACAGACGUUUAGGUACACUAAUUAGGGAAAGUUAAAUAAAAUUAAUGAAUUAAAAUGUGUAUAAUAAUAAAUUUAAAAUUUAAUGUAAUAACAUUAAAUAAGUUAUCUAUUAAAUAUAAAACAAAAAUAUAAUAUGAAUUUGAAUUGAGUACACAUUAAGUGACUAAAAUCAAUAUUCAAUCUAACACCAGGUUUUUAUUAAAUUUUAAUCUUCUUGAAGGAUUAAAGUUAAAAAAAACCCCUUUUAAAUUAAGUAAAGGUUUUUUUAGCCAAAAUGAUCAUGAGAUUUGCAUAACUCACAACUUUAGUCCCUGAGAUUUAAAAUCAAUAGAAGGAGUCUUUGAGAUUGUCCACCAUCAAUCAUUUUGGUUCUUGGGUGAAAAAUUAAGUUAAAUAAGGAUCAAAAUGAUAAAAUUAUCCUUAAUUUAAUAAACAAUAGGCCAAAAUGAUUUGACCAAAUUGAGGGUAUUUUUAUCAUUUUAUCCUUAUUUUAUGGAGAUUUUUCACUAAAUAACCAAAAUGUGAACAAACUCGGGACCAAUUAUAUCGAUUUCAAAUAUCAGGACCAAAGUAAGCAGUUGUGUAUUUUGGCUAAAAAACCUUAAGUAAAAUUGUAGAUGGCAGUGAAACUUGAAGUUGUUCGAUUUUGGUUUAUAUGCUCCUAUAUAUACUGCGAUUUUGGUUUAUAUUUUUCUAUCGAUUUUGGUUUAUUUGUUCUCAUGCUUAUUUCUGCGUCGUAUAUUUCGAUUCAAAUGAAUUACAGGCAUGAGGGGCAGUUCAUCCGAGAAAUUGUUGAAAAGAUUAGAAAUAAAAUGGGUCACGCAGCUUUACACGUCACUCCCUUUGCAGUUGGAAUGGAUAAUCGUGUGAGACGCCUAAACAUGUGGUUACAAGAUGGAUCAAAUGAUGUUGGUUUAGCUGUCAUCUGUGGGAUGGGUGGAAUUGGCAAGAGCACCAUCGCGAAAGCCGCUUAUAACCGCAACUUUGAAAGAUUUCAAGGUAGCAGCUUUCUUGCAGGUAUACGAGAAUCUUCAGAACAAUCCAAUGGUGUUGCUCGCUUGCAAAGAAAACUUCUUUCAGAUAUCCAAAAGGGGAAAGCAAAGAAAGUAUACAAUAUGGAUGAAGGAACAAUCAGGAUCAAACAAGCCGUAGGCAAUAAAAAAGUUCUUAUUGUUCUUGAUGAUGUGAGCAACCGGGAUCAACUCAAUGCAAUUCUUGGAAUGCGAGAGUGGCUUCAUCCAGGAAGUAAAAUUAUCAUAACAACUAGACAUGAGCAUUUGUUAAAUGCUCAUGAAGUUUUUGAAAAGUUUAUGGUUCAAGAACUGGAUGAGGAUGAAUCACUUGAGCUUUUCAGUUGGCAUGCCUUCGGACAAUCCCAUCCAGUAGAAGGUUACAUGGAGCUUUCAAGACAUGUGGUGCAGCACUGUGGAGGGCUUCCAUUAGCUCUUCAAGUUCUGGGAUCUUCUCUAUCUGGAAAAAGUGUAGAAGUGUGGAAAAGUGCAUUGAAGAAGUUAGACCUGAUCCCUAAUGACAAAAUUCAAAAAGUUCUGAGGAUAAGUUUUGAUUCUUUACAAGAUGAUCAUGACAAAAAUUUAUUCCUUCAUAUAGCCAGUUUCUUCACAGGAAAGUCAAUGGAUUAUACAAGUGCAAUGUUGGACAGCUUAGAGUUUUGCACAAGGAUUGGGAUUGAAAAUCUAGUUGACAGAUACCUAGUGGAAAUUCAAGGGUCGAAGUUGGUCAUGCAUCAAUUGGUGAGAAACAUGGCAAUGGCAAUUAUUCGCGAAGAAUCACCUGAUGAUCCUGGAAAACGUAGUAGAGUGUUACAGAAUGAUGCUUCUAAUAUUUUGAGAAAAUUAAGUGUAAGAACUAAGUUUUUCAUGCGUAUGUUUUUAGUUAUGAUUUACAUGUGUAGUACUAGUUACCCAAAUGCUCUGAUUUUUUUUGCAGGGCACGGAAAAUAUUAAGGGCCUCAUGCUCAACCUUGCUAGCAAAAGAACGUUUGUUGGAAGUGAUAAAAAACAAUGCCAUGUUGAAGAUUAUGAUAGAAAUUGUUCAAGACAACGUUGGCUUGGUUUCUUGUCUUGGAAGCCAAUUAGCUUUUCCUCCACAAACUCAGCUUCUGCAUCAAAUGAGAUAGAUUUCAAAUCUGAGGCGUUUAGAAGGAUGCACAAUCUUGAAAUUCUCAUUCUCAACAACGUCAACGUCGAGGGAAGCUACGAAGAAUUUUCAAAAAGUUUAAUAUGUUUAUCUUGGAGAGGAUUCCACUUAAAAUCAAUACCAGAAAAUUUUUAUUUGGAAAACCUGGUUGUUCUUGACAUGCGAAAUAGUAGCCUACAACAUGUUUGGAAUGGGAUCAGGGUACGUAACCCUCUCUCUCUCUCUCAUUCUUUCUCUCACACAUGUCCAUUAUAUCUUCUUAGAAAUUGAUUAAUACUUGUUAUUGAAACAGUUUCUUCCGAGGCUGAAAAUUCUUAAUCUCAGUCAUUCGCAUGGCCUUAGGACAACCUCCGACUUCUCAGGACUCCCUAACCUUGAGAGAUUGAUUCUUAAAGAUUGCAUAAAUUUGGUUGAGGUUGAUGAGUCCAUCGGAUACCUAGAGAAACUUGUUGUUUUGAAUCUAGAAGGCUGCAAAAAUCUCAUGAAGCUUCCAAAAUUGAGAUCUAUUCAGGAUCUUAUUCUUUCUGGUUGCUCAAAGCUUGUGCUUGGUGCCAAUACGACUGCCACAACUGGUCACUUACAAUCUACAGCUUGUGAAAUGAAGAAACUCAAUCUGCUAUCAGCUAAAUCAUGGUAUUCAAUCUGGUCGCAGGUGUCGCCAAGAAAAAAUAUUGAACCAAGCAGUUUCUCAUUGGCAAGUUUACCACAUUCCUUGACAAGUUUACGUCUGGAUAGCUGCAAUCUAUCAGAGAUUCCGAGUGCCCUUACUAUGCUGUCUUCGUUAGAGUACUUGGAUCUGUAUAACAAUCCAAUUACAAGCCUACCAGAGAGCAUGAACAAUCUUGUUAGGCUUCACACUCUUGCAGUAGAAGGUUGCAGAAACCUCACAAUGCUUCCAGAGCUCCCACAUAGUUUGAAACAAUUGAAUGGUAGAGGUUGCACAUCAUUGAAAAGAAUAACAAAUUUACCGAACUUGCACAUAUCACCUACCGUAUAUCCCUUCGGCAUGCAAAAGGACUUAGAUUUAAUGCAUUACAAUAUAGUAUUGGACUCAAAUUUAUGGUAUUGUGGGAAACUAGUUGAUGUUGCAAGCUUGUUCAAUACACUACCAUUGAGCAGCUUUGACAUAAAACUCCUCAAAGAUAUGGAUCUAUUCGAUUUGAAACCCAACGGUGGCGUAGAGGUCCAAAGGAACAACGAUUGUGCAAGUUUUAGCAAGCCAAGGCGCUCCAAGGUUCUCUCUCUCUCUCUCUCUCUCUCUCUGCUAUGUACAAGUGCUUAUAAUAUGAUCUCUAUGGCGUAAACAAUUAGAUUGUAAUCGCAGGGAACUUUUGAAUGCGGCAUAAUUAGCAUUUUUGUGCACGAGAGCAAGAUUCCAGAUCGGUUCAAUUACAGGUGGAUGCCUCCAGAUCGGUUCGAUUACAGGAGCAUGGGUAACACUGUGUUCUCUAUUAUUGUUCCUUCACAGCCUAAUAUCAAGAUCGUAGGUUUAAAUGCAUGUAUACUGUAUGCCCGGCAAUCGGAUCGAAGCCCUGUGAUUCCAUUUGGGAUUCCAUUUGGAAACUCUCAUGCCCAUUCGCUUGAACUUAGGAAUGAGACAAAGGGCCUUAAGUGGAACUUAAGAAUGUCGACUGGGGUUGAAUGGAAAGUGAUGAACGAAGAUAUGUUAUGGCUAAGCCAUUGGAUUAUGGGGAACAAUGAAUUGGAGUGCGGGGAAAAAGUGUAUUUUAGACUAACCGAAGAUCAUGACGAUUUAUUCACAAAGGGGAUUGGAGUCCAGUUUGGGUACGAGCAGCAAAAUAAGGAUAAGGAGGAUGUCCCAUCAAGUAGUGAAGAUCCAAUGAUCCUACCUGACAGAUCGCCUUGGGACGGCGGUCACGCUUCCAGCUGGGUAACGGAUUCAUGUCAGAGAUUUAUCGGGCCGAAAUGGAUCGAGAACCUUAAGAAGGAAUCUAUUUCAACUGUCGUGUGCGCGGCUAAUUACUCUCUCUGUAACCAUGAAGUGAUCGACCUUGAGAACGAGUCCCGCAUGACGCCAUGGUAACGAGUGCUCUAAACUAUUACCCAGGUUAAUUCAAAUUGAUGGUGAUGAUGCACAAAUCACUAAAUUCAAAUGUGUAUUGGUUGUUAAGCUUCGUUUCUAUCCAUUUUCAAUUUUCCCUAAAAAAUUGUUUUCAAUAAAACCUGUUUUGAAGAAAAAUAAAGUUUCAGAGCCCAACUAGAAAAUAAGCCCACGAGUUGUGGUGUGAACUAACUGUUUCAGGCGUAACUGCAUGAAUAAGACACAUUUCACACGUAACUGAAUAAAUAAGACACAAAGUGCAAGAAGUAAAGCUCAUAUUUAGCAGUGUUAUUUUAACAACAAUUGUUCAAGUGGUGGAUUGCCCCGGUGGGUAGGGCAUUUCUCUUAGUCCUACUGCAUUCCGGGUUCAAAGUUCCAACCAUCCCCCGUACCAGUUUAAGCACACCAAAGACCAAAUUUAGCAUGUUCUGUCGUCAUCCACCCAACCCAGCAGAUAUACAAAAUUCAAAUAGAACUUGGCAAAUUCAUCCUCUUAAAAUACAAAACGAAAAUAAUUUAUGAUCACUGACCUCUGAGAAUCGAAUGAUAUUCGGAUUCUUCAAUGAUCUGUGGUUCAUGAUUUCCCCUUGAACAUGUUCAUCCAUCUGCAUCACCAAAAAAAAAAAAUAUUUAAAAAAAAUACAAAAUGAAAAUAGUUUAUGAUCACUAACCUCUUUGGAUCGAAUGAUAUUCGGAUGGUCCAGUGAUCUAUGGUUCAUGAUUUCCCAUUGAACAUGUUCAUCUAUCUGCAUCACCAAAAAAUUAAUAAAUAUUUUAAAAAAAAUACAAAAUUUAAAGGAUAAGAAUUGCGAAGAUUCUUAGGUCUUAGUUCGAAAUGUAAUAGCUCAUCUCACCUCCAUAUAUUACCAAAUCUUAGUCUAUAUGAUUUUGCCAGAGCCACCGAAUGUUGAUAUAUAUCUGUUGCAUGUUCUACUACCAUCAACAUUAUAAAGGUUUCUAAUUGAAUCAUAUAUUUAAAAUCCAAGCAUGAAAGUUUUACAAAGAUAAAUAAACAAAUGUAAAUAACUAAUUAGGCAAUACACAGCAGAGAGGGGAGAGAGAGAGAGAGAGAGCAAUUGAAGGGAAUGCAUAGUUAUCUCUAUCUUCGGAAAAAAAAAAAGAAAAAAAGAGAGCAGUUGAAGGAGUGAGAAGCAAAGCAGCAUACCAAGUGGAGAGUAAGCAAUUAAGCAUAGUCAUCUCACGUACGGAUUGCCUGAGAACUGAUCUUUGCUUCUCUUCCUUAUGAUCCUCUUAAAUGCAAUUCUACACAUUUCUAAACCAAAAUUGCAAAGCAGAAUUCAAAGAAAUUUAAAGAAACCUAGUAAAGAUUCAAACUUUUUUAUUAUCCAAAAGAUGUACAUAACCCCAUGUAACAAAAACAAAUUUAUGACACAAAAGAAAUUAUCUUUAGCCACAAAAAGCAAAAAAGAGAAAGAGAGAGAUUUUGCUUUUUGCACUAUGCAGAAUGUGCAGAGAAUCAAAAUAUCAUAACCCAUUUAACAACAUGAUAUUUUAGGCAAAAAGGCAUCACCUUUAGACCCCAAAUGAAAGAAUUUGAGAGAGAGCGCAUACGUGGUUUCCAAGAAGAGGAAGAGAGCAAUUCUAUUUCCUGUAAAAACGAAGAAACAGAGCAUUAACAAACACACAUGCACAAAUCUCAAAAGGAAAUUGGUAAGAAAUAAUCGUAAUUGAGAAAAUAAUUAGAAAACUAGAGAGGACACAAUUGGAGUCUAAUUCUACAGAACCCACGAGUCAAGACAAACAAAUAUCCAAAAUUAACAGAUUACAGUAACAACAUUCCAACAAAAGUAAGAAGACCAGAAAAAUUAUCUAUUCUAAAGUACAUUAGUUCCAUCAUGCAUAAAUCAAGGGAGUCACGGAAGGCCAGUAUCUUAAGGUAAUCCAACAUGUUAAAGCAUCCAAACAGAGACUCAGAAUUACAAAACGCAUGAAAAUUCACAUUCCAACGUGUUAUGCAAUCACCAAUUUCAGAUCAACCAAAACCAAAUAAAUUUAUAUCAGUACGCAUCAAACCCACCAAACCCAAAAUCAAAAGAAGGUGAUCAAAUGUUUGAUUUUGCUAAAUAUUACAAAAUAAAAUAAAUAAGAAUAUGUACAAAUCAACAUGCAUACCUUGUAGCGGUGCAGGGAACAGUAGCGUGAGCUGCAUCGAGGGCAUGUGUACUGGGAAAAUUGCUACUGGCAGCUGCAACUAACAAAAACAAAAACAAAACAAAAUUGAAUAAAAUCAAAAUUGGAAAAAUUUCCAGAAAAUAAAUAAAACAAAUUAUCAAGCUUUGUUGAUGAAAGAGAGGUGGGGUUGGUGAAGAACAUACAUGCGGCUAUGAGCAGUAGAUAAAAGAUUUCAAAAUGAUUUCUUCACUUUUCAAUCAGGACAUGCACGAAUAUAAAAAUGGCAGAGAGGAUUAAAACCAUACCAAACACUAGAAAAUCAAGUAUAAAAAUCGUACUUACCUUGUGAAUGAGGACAUGCAGACACAUGAUGGAUGAAGGACAGCAAAUCCCGCAUACACGAACCUAACUUGCCAUUGUUCGCCACCCCCACCCCUCCCUAUCUCUCUCUCCCUGCAAUCCCAACGAUUUCUCUCACUGUCAUCCUCCCACUCCCGAAUCGAAUAUCCGCACGAAAUCUCUCUCUCUCUCUCUCUCACUCGGUUUCUCUCACUGUCACCCUCCCACUCCCGAAUCAAAGAUCCGCACGAAAUCUCUCUCCCUCUACAAGCAGCAUGGCCGCUGUCCCUCUCUGUCUGCCCUCACCAUCAAUCCCAAUCCCAAAAUUAAGAUGACAAAAGUGCCCUGCAACCCUUUAAUUCUAGCCGCGUGAUCCUAACCCUAGAUGAAUAUUUCUGGAAUUUGAACACCCAAAGUAUCUCAUCAAAUGUGGAUGUACCUGUCAUAGUAUGAAUCUGAGAAUUUCUCAAUUCAACUCUCGAAUUUACUGUGACAGUAAUAAUAUAUCAUGUGGAAAGAGGUGGGAUUAUGGUAAAAGAUAGAACUUUAGCUGAUGGUAAACAACAUUUGGGAAUUUGAUGUAAGCCGGCUGGGAAUCCCAAAUGUUGUUUACCAUAAGUUAAAAUCUAAUCUCUGAUUAAAAAAAUAAUAAUAAAAAGCACACCUCAAACUGAUAAGGACCAUAAUUUUCAAGGGACACUGCUUUUCAAUGGUUACCAUAAAAAAAAAUAAUGAAAGAACUGAUCAUUUGAAUUAUUCAUGACAGAACCAAUUUUGAUUUGAAAUAUGAUGGCCAAGAACAAAUCACACUGCUUUUCAAUGGUUACCAUAAAUUUUCAGAAGUUACAGAAGAUUUUUUAUCAAUUGAAAAGACAAUGGUCACAUAUAUCUACAAUUAACCACCAGUAAGCGUGAAAUACUACAUCACAAUGCAAUAGCAGCUAUACAGGAUGUCAUGCCAUUCAUACUAUGACAAAUCACAAAAGUGACAAUUAAAGGGCACCUAACAGACACCCCCAUCUCUCUCUCUCUCUGCAAUAGCAGAAAUCCCUCGGGUUUCAGGAAGCAAAUGGAAAACAAAAUGCUUUUACAUCCCCUACCCAUACCCAUACCCCUCCCUUACCCAUUCCCUUUACCCUUGCAGAAAAUCCUCCCAUCUCUCUCUCACCCUUGUCCCAUCUCUCUGUCUGCAAAUCGCAGAAAAGAAACCCUGAACAAAUCACUGAAAUCCCUCGCCUAAAUCCUCCCACAUUUCUCUCAGACACCCUCUAUCUCUCUCUCUCUUUGCAAACCCUAAACCAAAUCUCCUAAAUUCUAUCUCGGACACCCCACAUACAGCCAAGAAGCCAAGAUAUUAAAGCAAUCUCUACAUAAUACUUUGGAACAAUGAAGCAAAAUGGUACUUACUUGUUCCUUGUCCAAAACCGUUGGUGCCGCCGCACAUUGUUAUUAAUUGUGGGUUGAUCAAAUCCUUCAUGGCUUAGACUGCAUGAAGAAUUAGAAACUAAAAGAUGAAUAUAUGCUGUAAAUCAUCAUAUAAAUGUAACUGCAUUUAAAAAAAGAAGGGAAUGAAAAAUUGAAUUCUAUUUCAUCAGUAUGUAACUGCAUGAAAAGUUACAUUGAAUGCAGACUCAAUCAAUUUCCCCAAAGUCAUUGUUAACUGAAAAUCAAUAUCAAACCCAUAAAUACCACCAUUGAAUUUGCGAAACCCAAAAACAAAAUACAAAAAUUUACUCAUAUAAUCACAGAAAAACAUGAAAUUUGAGCACAUAUUUGGCAAAGUUAAAGGAUAAAGGCACUCACAUCAUCGUAGUACUCUUCGGGAAGAACUUCUAAUAAUGGUUCUUCCUUUUUCUUGCUCUUCCUCAGAGCUGCCAUAAAAAAACCCAGAGAAGCACACAAAUUCAGAAAAGAAAAGGUCCAAAACAGCCAUAAAAAAUCCAGAAAGCAUACAAAUUUAUCAGAACAAAAACCAAAUGAUGUGAGAUAGUGAGAGGUUGUGUUAGGCACCCGUAACACGUUUUGGUUUCAAUUAAAACGGCCAGAGCGUUGCAUGCGAGGAAGAUGACGAUAGGAUUCCAAACACAACAUCCACAUUCUUUUUUCUUGGGUGAACUAACCAAAUCAUAUUAUAUACUAAAAUGACAUAAAAAAUCAUUCACAAAAUCACAACAAAAUAGAACAAAAACAUUCACAAAAGAAUUCCCCAAGUUUUCAAAUGGAAAUUAAACAUUUACAUAGCUUAUAUAAAAAGCCGAAAUAUAAAAAUUAAUCAAAAGGUUGAGAUAACUCACAUCCCAGUAAUGCUUAUUGCUGAUAUUAACACCCACUGACAGCAGCCCUCGGUUUGUGGAAUUCCCACGCCCAACUCCAUGACCUCUGUCUCUGCCAUCCCUCUUUCCCUCACAACCAUACCCACUUUCGACCCACCCCUCAAUCCCGACACCAACCCUUGAUUUAAGGAGGAAAAAUCAAUCCAACCACCCUUUUCGCAAGCCUCACUCCUCCCUCUCCCUUCCCCUCCCUGCCAAUCCCAUGCCCAUCUCCCUCGUUGUAGCUCAGCAACCCACGUUUUUUGGCACCAAACACUAUGUCCUAGGAUGAUGUGACAAUUUAUCAAAGUCAGAAAAUGCAUUAUCUCAGUUUAGGUUGGUAGCAUAUAUGAUCCCUGUGCAGCAACAUAGAAUACUUAGUAAAAGUUGCAUUUCUGAGAACAAAUAACCAAUGCUUGACCGAAAAAACAAUGCAGAUGCUUUAGUAUACAGAAUUACAGUUUUAUUCAAGCUUCUCAGUCACAAACUAACCUUCCUUUGUCGAGCAGCAAGGAGGAGGGGGAGAAAAUUGAUUCCUGGAGGAGCUUUUUCGUUCAAAACUAAGUCAAGCUGCAAGGACGAAGGGUCGAGGAUUGUUCGUGAGCUGGUGUUGCGGAUAUAAACAUAUAGAAAGCUCCACUGUGUCAUAACAAACACAAAUUGAAUAUGAUCACCAUGUCACAUUAAUUACCUAAAAUUCAAAAUGUUAUAUACAUUAGUAUGUUGAAAAAAUUAGUUACAUUUCAUUAAACUAAAAAAUUUACAGAAUAUGAGAAAUAAAGAAUUUGUAUUGUUUAUAUAAAAAUAGAAUAACAAAGAACAUCAUUGACUACCAUUUUAUUCGGUAGUUUCCUCCAACUGCAAUUGUUGAGAUUGUAGGAGAUCUUCGAAUAAAGCCUUCAAUUCAACCAUCCGUACACAAACAUAAUAGACAAUGUUUUUUAGCGAAUUAUGGACAAAGCUUAAUAUUCAAAUGCAAUGAAGUGGAAAACACAAUCCAAUAUAUGGAUAUGCAUGCUAUAGGAAACCAUUCAUUUGUAGAUGGUAUUGUGUCACCAAUAUUGUAUUUAAAAAUCUACCCAAGAUAAAGAUGCAAUAUAUAGUUUGGUAAAAAAUCAAAACGAAGAGUUAACAAAGGAAAAGGAUUAAGACGUUGAAAAUACAAAACUGGAUUCUUUUAUUUGGUAAAGACGGUUCCCCCACUGGCUGUCUGAAACCACAAACACUUUUUACAUAGAAACUUUAUAAACUAAUAGAUUAAAAUAAAUCUAAGUGUUAUAAAUGAAAAAUCCUGGGAUUGAUAGUAAUGGCAUCAACAGUGCCACCACAUCCCAAAUAAAUGAAUGAAAAUAUAGUGAUUAACAUCCAACAAAGAAGCUCAAGCUUGAAAUAAACCAAGGCAUAAAAGCUUACCAAACUUUUCAAAUGGCUAAAUUGUUCAUUUAACAUGAUAACUUCUUCCUGCAAUCCAUAAGUAAGACCAUUAGAUGCGGUAAACAAAACAUCAUACUUCAUAUAUGGCAAUCUAGCAGAGAAACCAAUUGCAUUCAGAUGGAGCCUAAUUUGUGGAACUACAUUUAUAUGCACUGAAAUGCAUUAUCAUGUUGUCAUAUUUAAAAACUGAGGUUUAUGCAGUAUGCUAUCUUUAGCAUACACAAAAUUUUUGCCCCUCAUUUUUGAAGUUCCGCACUUCAUAAUUUAUAUACUUUCAGUUUCCCUUCUAAUGAAGGUAUGGACUGCUUUCCAUUUGGAAUUUUCGUAAGACAAUGUUAUGAUAUUCCUAAUUUAGAAUGUGUUUCCACUCUAAUGAAUGCAAGCCCUAAAUCAUAAAUAUUGUACAAUUAUGUGUUUGAGCACGUGGCAGGGCAUGAGAAUCAGAACCACUCCGUGUUGUUCUCCGCUUCGUGAUUUGGUCAUCAAACAAUACUUCAUUCCCUCCAUCCUUUAUCACGUCUUCUUGGUGAUCAUUUGUCCAUCUCCAAACUGUAUCCACAAAAAACUACAAAUUAAUCCCAAAAACAAUCAUACAAAAAAAUUGCGGAUUAGAUUUGAUUACGUACCAUUUUCCCAGGAUGUAGAGCUCAGUGAUGAUGCCCUCCUCGCUUUGCACCUUAAACAUCGACAUUUUAAACCAGAAACCAAAAUCAAACAAACAUAAAGAAAUACGACUGACAGAAUCACACUGUAAGACACCACUCCCUCGCUUCCACGGUUCCAACCACAACACCAAAAACAACAAUAACAAUAAUAACAAUGUACACUCAGACAAAACAAAAAUGCACCACAGCCCUCCAGUGCUAUAACAGCACUUCUCUUCUAGGACAACUUUGAUAUCUAUGGACUGUUCCCUUCUCCAUGUUACAACGAUAGUAUUAGAGCUCUUACAACAUCACAGAUGCAUGACCAAGAGUGUAUUCGACAACCUUUUCUCUGAUCCUUUUCAUCAGUUGGUCCUAAAGAUUGUAUUCUUCUAAAUUCAUCUUCUUUUUGGGUAUCCAGAGACAUUUAUCACUUCAUAUGCCGAACACAAAACACCUAACAUUUUGGGUGACAAAUUAGAAGCAACUAAUCGGAAUAUGGGUACUGAGAAUUGAAUUACUCUUUGUUCUUAUAGUCCUAAUGGAAAUUACUCGUUGAUUCACAAAAUUAAUCAAACUAAAAUGCAAGAAAAGCAAAAUCAACAACCCAUACAGAAUUAUGAAAAGAUCCCAACAAACCAACCAAACAAUUAACAUUUAAAAAAAAAAAUUGCAAAGUUGGAGGGAAAGAAGCACGAGAAAAAAUAUACACAUCCAAUGCUUUUAAUCUAAAGCUAGAAGUAGGAAUAACUGAGUAAGUUAAUGAAGGCAAAGCAGAGGGUAGGAAGCAGAACAUACCAAGAGACCAAUAGGGCAUCCGGGCCGGUCUGCCGAUGAACGCCGUGUCCUGGUCGACAACGCCCAACGGCGUCGGCCCUGCAAAGAAGUAAAAGUCGAAAACACUCCCAAUGACCUUGUAGGUGAGAGAAGUCCCUCUGUAGAACACAUCCAUGCCAUUGCUGUUGAUCAGCAUAACAGAGUGCGCGUAAGCCUCGUUGCCCACAUUCUGGAGAUCCAUGUAAAACCGGGUGGGACCCGUACAAAUCAGUGUUGAGAUUGAUCGCCGAGACUUCAGUGGUGAAGAGGGUGUGUGGAUCGUUCGGGUAGAGCUUGAUCCCGUGCGGCUGAGUGUUCUCUCCGAGGCCGUACAGGGAGGCGUCUUUCGGCGGUCGGGUGGAUAUCUCGAGGUACUGGUCCUUAAACACCAGUUCGCCAUAUGGGUCUUUGGAGUAGGAGCUCAAAUGAAGAGGACCUGCCCGUUGGACUUCCUCUUGAAGGCGAACCCAAAUGGGUCGGAGAUGAAGCUGAGAAUGAGCUCAGAGCCGGAGUAGUCUGAGACUUCGAUGGGGUUCUUCGUCUUCGCCUGAAACACGUUUUGGUUUCAAUUGAAAAGGCCAGAGCCUUGCAUGCGAGGAAGAUGACGAUAGGAUUCCAGAGAUAGAGAAAGAAGGAGUAAGACGACGGAGGCGAGAGAAGGAAGACGGCGGCAAGAGGAGGAUAGGACGGAGGCGAGACCAUCUGUAUCGUAGGUCUGUGAGACGUACAAGGCAAGGAGGGUUUGAGAAGGAAACGGAAAAGGCCUGCUUUACCAUUGCUAUUCCCUUCCCGCGAUCAUCAAGGCGUGCGCAACAAGAUCAGCGGCAGAGAGAGUCUGUGGCAAAUUUGUAUAUAAAUUGAAAUUCAUCCCAAAACAUUGUUCAUUUGAAUAAUGCAAUUGGAAUCCCUUCUUUAGACAAAAGUAAUUUUUAAGUAGAAUGCCAACUUAGAUUUUGAGGAAAACUAAUGAAAAUGACUUGAAAACUUUGAGUUUUAAUGAUAAGGACAAAAUAAAUGGUAAAGUGAAUAGUAUCAUAAUUGACUUUUUAGUGUAAAAAUAUGAUUUUUCGUUAAAAUGAAUAUUACCGCGGGUUUUUCAUUAAAACUCCCUAGAUUUUAUGCAAACCAAAACCUUACCAUUAUUCAUACUUGCCAGAAGGCCUCAGAAGUCUCCACUAAAAUGCUUCCCUAAGCACAAGUACAUAAUAAUGCCACUGACAACUAGCUCGUCGAUCACCUCAGCGCUGCGGUUAAUGCUUUCGGCGCCACUUUUACAUUUCACUCUUAGUAAGAUGAGAUGAAGACGGGUUCUCAGAAGAUCCAAUUCCGGUAUCUCAAUUCAAUUGCGCAAUUGUUCCUCGUUGUAACUCGAUCUUGAGUAUUGUACAACCAUCAUAUUGCCAACAGCCUUUGAGUCCCGACUACAAGCAGAAGCAUUUACCAAGUUGUCACAAGGCCCGUCAAUACUGGCAGUGUCAUCAGCGGAGGAUGAGUGAUUAAUCGUGCUUCUGUUCUUGUUUUCAGUUUCCAUUCUAUCAUUUUCUGUAAUGACACCUAGAGUUUCAGCCGCUUCAACCACUUGCGAUUCAACAGAUGUCUUGCAAAUAACAGCGGGAUCAAUAUCAUGGCUGUGGUAAUCAUCAGGAUGAGUUACUUUGCAUUGCUCUACAAACUCCAUUGUUGAGGAAAGGAUAUUCAUGUCCUUGUCCAUCGUAUUUUCUUGGCUAUUUCUAUUUAAGAUGUCAUCCUCAAAUCCGGUUGGAUUAGUGCGAGCAUCAUCUGCAGGAGACAGGUCUUCAUCUAUCUGUUAAACAAUGACCUGUGUUUGCUUUCAGAGAAGACACUGCUAGACACAACCUCGUCAACAGAAUGCAACCCUAGUGGGGAAAUGCAGAUGAAAGAGGGAUCAACUUUUCAUCGCCAGUAAUUUCUUCUCCAUAACUCUCAUUACAUACGCCAUUUCCACGUGCUACCACAUUACUCGGUUAGGUAGCCACUACCUUUGGUUCUCUCAGCAGCUACAUCUCCAUUACCACAGUUAUUCGCAUUUGGAGAUAAUACUUCCUCAUUUAUUGGAUCCUCAUUUACUAAUCCUUGAUCUCGAUUGGCAAAAGAUGCCACAUUUAUAGUGGUAUCAUUGCUUUCCAAAUUAACUAGUCCACUUAAUUGCUUCUGUACAAAGACUGCUAAAGAAACAGCAUGAUCACGAAUCAAAGAAUCAUGAGACGGGUAGUGUAGCAUAUCGAUCAAGGCCUUAUGGUACUGUGUGGCAGAUAUUAAUAACUUUGAGUAUAUGUUCACACAGGUUGCCCAUUUCUGCCCAAUGGCAGUUGCAAAUACCAAACUCGUCAAUAACUUUUGCACGAGUACCUUCUAUGAUAAUAUUGCAGUUAAGAAUCUUCAAAGCUUUACGCCAAGAUGUUAAACCACUCGCCCACUCAUCUUUCCAAUAUUGUGCAAAAUCAUCAUUCUCAGAAUAUUCAUCAAGCCAGAAGAAGGAAUGCACUUUUGUACCCAGCUUAUUAACCAACCAAUCAACUCGUUUUUACACUCUAGGUUUAUUCUCGUUCAAUAACCUAAGCUUUAGUGGCUGUGCUAGAACUCCAUUGCCGCAGAGGUUUCCUAGCUAGCAAGAGGAAGAGUUUGUAGUGCAGAUACCCACAUCCCUGAGUCAAAAGACAUUUUUCUUGUGCGAGUUAUUCAAGAUAAAGCAAAAGAAAAUUAAGGACCCUGUUUAAAGAGAAGGGGGUGAAGGAAUUAAACGACACACUUGUUACUUCGUAUCAUAAGGCAAAAUAUACCUCUACUAAAGAUGAUAGUAACUUAGCUAAUUCUAGGAUACUAAGUUGCCUUAAAGUAAUCUAUAAAAUCUUAUUCAUCAAGAAAAUCUUCUAUGAAGUCCUCAGACAAACGCUCGGCUCCUCGUUGUUGACAGAUGUUAUCCACUGCUUGACGAAGCCUUCUUGACAUUGUAGCUCGCAUCUCAUUGUCCACACAUUUCUUUACUAAGUUUGUAUGCCAUGCAUGAGGAACCCGCCAAAAGCUUAUCAACACUGAACACUGAAAUACAUCCCUGAGUAUAAUGAAAUAAAACUGUCAGUAUCAAGUUUGGGCGAGGACUGAGCAACCAACAGGAUGGUGAGCACAUCAGCUAGAGGAUCAUCCACUAUGAAACUAGCCAACUUCCAAACAGGAUCUUUCGUUUCAAUUCUAUUGUGAAGAGCUCUCAUCCAUUUAUGGGCAUUGGAACUUCCAAACUUUGGAGCCACUAUCCACGCCACCGGGAUAGUAAUAAUGUUGCAUGUCACAUCCCGGCCCGGGACAGAUCACUUCCCGGGCCCACUCCACCACCAUAGCACGAUAUUGUCCGCUUUGGGCUUACCAUUCCCUCACGGUUUUGUUUUUGGGAACUCACGAGCAACUUCCCAGUGGGUCACUCAUCCUAGGAGUGCUCUGGCCUCCUUCUCGUUUAACUUCGGAGUUCCUAUGGAACCCGAAGCCAGUGAGUUCCCAAAAGGAGUGAGUUCUCAAAAGGCCUCGUGCUAGGUAGAGAUGGGAAUAUACAUUUAAGGAUCACUCCCCUGGGCGAUGUGGGAUGUCACAAUCCACCCCCCUUAGGGGCCCGACGUCCUCGUCGGCACACCACGGCCAGGGUUAGGCUCUGAUACCAAUUUGUCACAUCCCGGCCCGGGGCGGAUCACUUCCCGGGCCCGCUCCACCACCAUAGCACGAUAUUGUCCUCUUUGGGCUUACCAUUCCCUCACGGUUUUGUUUUUGGAAACUCACGAGCAACUUCCCAGUGGGUCUAUCCUAGGAGUGCUCUGGCCUCCUUCUCGCUUAACUUCGGAGUUCCUAUAGAACCCGAAGCCAGUGAGUUCCCAAAAGGCCUCGUGCUAGGGUAGAGAUGAGAAUAUACAUUUAAGGAUCACUCCCCUGGACGAUAUGGGAUGUCACAUUGCAACAUGAACAUAUUCGGUUUCUCAUUAUUAUUAACAAUUGUAGUUAAUAAUAAAAGGUUAAACAAACUAAACGGACCUUCAAUUUGGUUGUUCCGAACCUUGAAUCAGAAAGCUAUAAGGCUGUGAUUGCCGAAGCAAAUCAUCUGUUGCAACUGCCACUCUGUUUGAAUGCCCAAAGUGAAAGGGUCCACAUAAGAGAAAUCCUAAUAGAAGAAAACAUGACUCUGAUGGUUUUCUACCCACAUGCUAAUGCUAACCGCAUCAUCAGCAUCCAAUUCAUAUAUAGAGCAUCGAAUGACCCUCUCCUGCCUCGAACAUACCUAUAGGUUAAAAGGUCAUCACGGUUAGAUGGACCACCCUGUUUCUCUACAGAUUCAUCGUGUCUCUGCAUUAUAGUCUCCACAGAGACCCCCGCAUAUAACAAAGAUUGUACACGAAGAAGCAGAUCCUCAGAGAUACAAGGGGCAAAUAUAGCACGUGUUCCAGCAGCCAUCUUAUCUUGUGGACCAUGGCAUGGCACUCAUUUCCUAUCUACAUGCUUAUCCUGAUUAUAUAUGAUACGCGCCACUAAAGAAUACCUAGAAUACCAUCAACCUUUGGUUUGUUAGGCGUCUAUGGCUGCCGCCGUCGCCUCGCUUCAACAUGAAAUCUUGUUGGACAUUCUUUAUUAGAGCAUUCACCCCUCAGAAAAUCGUCAACUCUAGGAAACGGAAUUAGAGCAACUCCAUCUUUCUUGUCCCGCCAACCUUCCACCUUUGACCACACAAGAUCAGAAGAAGAAAACUCCAGUGCAGGUGGACUCUGCACAGGAAGGGACAUAAUCUCAUCCCAUCUAGCCAUCUACAACAAAUAAAACGGAAAUGACAAAUUUAAUACAAUAGUCAUUUUAACAGAAGAAUCAAGACCAAAAUCCCAAUAGUCACACUCACACCUAACCCUUAACUAUUAGUUGAAUAAAAGGUUUUUCUAAUCGAAAAAAUGAACAAAAAUGGCGGAUUUUGCAACUGGCUUCGUAAAAUCACACGUUAAUAACAGUAAUAGAGGUCCUUUUUACUCUAAGCAGUACAAAAGAAAGUCAAAAACUUCAUAUCUGAUAACAAGAAAACAAACAAACAAACAAAAAAGAAGAAACAAUUUAAUUCAUGCAAUACAUUUCAUUCCCAACAAGAGAAGUUCAAAACUUUAGCAAACAAUUAAACUGAUUUCGUCUCUGUUUUCAUAAAUUCUCAGAAAUUAACAGUCGAAAAACACAAAUUAAAGGAAAAAAAAAGUGAAAUUCUUUGGGUUGUCAAAUAGAGAAAUUAUAUUCACACACCCAAAAUUUCUUCCACACAUUUUUAAUUUUUAUUUUAUUUUCUACACACUACUAACACUUGAUAGAAAAAGAUUAAAAAAUUAAAGGAUGUGAGGGAAGUAAUUUAGGAUGUGUGAAUAUAAUCUCCCUUUUAGAUAAGUGAAGUCGUUAGCUUCAGAGUCACACAUUGAGCUAUAUCGAUAUGUAUAGUAUCACGCCCUUUAUGCAAAAAGAUCCCCAUUUUUUCAAAAAAAUGGGGAUUAGGUGUAGGUCCACUCCACAACGAACUUUAAUGAUCUGAAUCGUUUAUUUUGUAAGGAACCAAAUCCCCUGCGGAUCCCUAAAAACUGAGCCUUCUGAGCAAAGAAUUAGGACAAUUGAAAUUUGAUCAAACGGUUACAAACAGGGCCCCUCUAAAAGUUAUAAUAAUUGUAGUCAUUGGAUUAAAUUUCAACGGCCCAAAUUCAUUGCUCAGGGGGCUCAGUUUUUGGGGAUCCAAUUCCAAUUUGUAAGUCUCAUUUCAUAGAUUAUUCUUACAAGAAUUCAAUUCAAUCCAAAAUCAUUUAUCUAUUUUGUAAGUCUCAUUCCAUAAAUGUCAUUAUAUCAUCAUUUCACGUGCUACCACAUUAUUCGGUUCAGCAGCCACUUUACCCUUGGUUCUCUCAGCAGUUACAUCUCCAUUCCCACAAUUACUCAUUUGAAGAUAAUACUUCCUCAUUCAUUGGAUCCUCAUUUCCUAAUUCUUGAUCUCGAUUGGUAAAAGACGCACAUCCAUUGUGGUAUCAUUACUUUCCAAAUUAGCUAGUCCACUUAAGGGUGCGUUUGUUGCACUGGAAUGUCUCGGAUUGGACUAGCUUUAGGAACUAAGCUGGAUUGUCUUAGAUUAGCUUAAUGAAGCAUUUGAUGCAGUAUCGGACUAAAAAGUAGGAUAAAAAUUAAUUUUCCUUUUUUUUUUAUCCAAAAACAAAGAACUCUAUCUGUCUCUCCAUUUUCUUUGGUCAAACUAUCUCUCCUCCUUUUUCUCCAUCUCUUCCAUUUUCCUUUCCCGUCCAAUUCCUUUUUCCUUUUCUUCUCGAUCACAAAUAUACACAGUUCACAUGCAAACCAAUUUUCCAUCAGACCAAACAACACCCAUCACCUGCCUUAUCAAUCCAACAAAAUUCCCAAACUUUCCCACCCUAAAAUUUGACAAUUCCAUUCAAAUUAAACAAAAGUUAGAGCUGGAAAACUGAGGAAAGAAAAAGAGAGAGAGAGAGAGAGUAAACGGAUCACCAAUAGUAGGAGGCGGCAACGCCAUAUAGUUUGAGGACGAGCAGUAGCGUAAAGGAGAAGAGGAGGCUAUGGGCCGCCAAGGCCUGCACGAACUUCAACAUUCUCCGCUAGUUCAUCAUCAUCGUAAAACAAUGUCGUCCGCUGCAAAAGUCGAGACUUUAGAUUGUGAGAAAUCUUAGGAGGAGGUUGAUGUUUCAGUAUACGCCAUUGAAACGAAAGAGGCAAGAAAUAUUCUUUCUCUCCUUCUUCUUUUUCAUCGUUCGGGUUGACCUAGAUGGCAAAAAAUCCCAAAUCACCAACCCAGAUGCCAAAAUGGCGCUGGGUUUGCAGGACGAUGGAGAUCAGAGACAACCGUUUCUGGAGAAGGGGGGUUAAUGCUACUCAUGUGGGUUCGUAGGACGCUGCUCGCAUACCAGGGAGACGGGACUAGCAAUCCCGUUGUUUUUGGGGGGCCUCGCUAAGACCUCCUAGUGAGGGAUUUAGUCGAGGCGAGUCCUCCUUUGUCCCAUUUACCUUUAGUCCCGCCAGUGAACAAACAUGGAUUGCACUAACUUUUAACUUAAGCGUCGAGUGAGAACUAAAGAAGGCAAACAAACACCCCCUUAAUUGCUUCUGUACAGAGACUGCUAGAGAAACAGCAUGAUCAAUUGAUUUUGACGGAGUUCUUCAGCUUAAUUUAUUAGUUUUGGAUUACAUUGCUCUUGUUUAAACUUUCAAGUAAUCUUUUUCCAUAUGAUUACUUCUAUUUAAGGGCUCAUGGCUUGGGAAUUGUUAUGCUAUUAUCACCUAAAUGCUCAUGUAAAUUGAAUUCGAUCAAAUUUUUACUAGAGUAGUCGAAUUUCUAUUAGAGUUGUUCUUAGUCAUGUUUGAAUUGCCAUGUUUAUCUUAUAUUUUCUUGAUGCAAACCUGGUCAUUUUUUUAUCUAUGCAUCCAGAGCAACAAUCAUGUGAUUUCUUGACAAUGAAUUGGACUUGUUUUUUUUUUUUUUUUUUUUUUGCACUUUAGUUGUUUAUAGUAACAAAUUCACUUGAUCAAUUGAUAUGUUCUUUCUGUAUAUAUAAAAAAUAUGUGCUAAAAUUCUUAAGUGUGUAUCAAUACACACACACACACACACACACACACACACACACACACACACACACACACAUAUAUAUAUAUAUAUAUAUAUAUAAUUGUAUACACAGAUGGUUAAGAAGGAAAGUAAUGGGGCAAGUGGAUCACAACUGCCAGCUGUAUGGAAUGCUCACAAUACAUCACUAUUUUGUGACGUGUGUAUCAAGGAAGUGGAGGCAGGAAAUCGUCCUGGUACCCACUUUAAAAAAGAGGGAUGGGAAAAUGUGAGUAUUAACCUAAAUAAAGAGACUGGAGAUGAGUAUAGUAAACAACAGCUAAAAAAUAAGUGGGAUGCACUUAAAGAGCAAUGGAAAUUAUGGAAAGAACUAAAGGGAAAAGAAACUGGUCUAGGAUGGAAUCCCAAGCUCAACACCGUUGAUGCUUCGGAUGAGUGGUGGCAUAAUAAAAUUCAGGUUUGUAAGCUUCUUGUUAGUUUCUGGAUGUUGUUUGUCUAUUAUUGAGCUUGAAUGCAUUUUAAUACUUGUUUCUUUAAAUUGCAGAUCAACAAAAAAUAUAAAAGUCUGCGUAGAAAAGGAAUUAGCCCUGAUAUGGAAGAUAAGCUAGAUAGGAUGUUCAUGAAUACCACUACUGGUGAUCAUGCUUGGGCACCCUCGUCUGGUGUACUUCCAUGUGAAAAUAAUGAUGAAUCUGAUGAGGAUGAUGGCAUUCAAAUUGACAGUAGUGAUUUUGAUGAUGUUAUCCCACUCAAAAAUACUCAAGCCGAUGAGAAGUAUUUGGGGAAGAAGAAAAAAAGAACUCAACAAUUUGAUACACAAGUUAAGAAAGAGAAUAAGGAUAAAGGAGUUGUUGCAAAGAAGGGGAAAUUGGGAGGUGCUGCUAAGUUGUCAGAACAGAUUGAUCGUAUGGUUAGUGCAAUUGAGAGUAGAAAUACAACAACUUCAAACAUGGCCAAGGGCUUACAAAAUAGUAGCAUUGCUGAAGUGAUGAAGAUAGUUUCAUCUUUACCUGGUGCAGGGCCUGGGAGCCCUUUGUGGUUAUUUGCAACUCGAUUAUUUCUAAAACAAGAGAAGAGAGAAAUGUUCUUAACUAUAGAAGAUCUGGACAUCAAGUUUCAAUGGCUUAACUAUGAGCAAGCUGAAAAUUAAGUGCCAUGUGAUGCAUUUAGUUUGCAAAGUUUUAUAUUUCGUGGUAGACAGUAUAGUCUAAGAUAUCUUUAAACUUGAGUUUAUUAUUUUGAUUUGUCAUUUGGGAUGGUUACUUGGAUUUCUUUGUGUUUUACUUGGGAUUAUAAUUGGAUGGUUUUGGAUUCUUUAUUUAAGAAUAAUUUUUUUUCAUGCAUGUACUCCUAUUUGUAGGAAUAAUGAUGAGAUUUUUAUUUUUUUUUCAAAAUUGCAGAUCUCUUUCAAGAUAUGGACAUCUUGCAAGAUGAGGAAGAGUUCAACCAAACUGUAUGCCUUUGUGUUCGUACUAUAGAACAUUAUUAUCAAACAUAUAUCCACAAAACACCUUGUAUGGAUUCAUCUCAAACAGGAUAUAAGUGGUUAAUGGAAAUAUUACGGGGAAAGAGGCGUUGUCAUAGGAUGUUCAGAAUGGAUAAAGAGGUAUUUAUGAGAUUGUGUAGUGACCUGCAAAACAAGUAUGGAUUGAGGGGUUCAAGGAGAAUGUGUCCUGGUGAAAUGUUAAGAAUGUUUUUGUUUAUUCUAGGACAAGGUGAAGGGAAUAGGUCAGCACAAGAACGAUUUCAACACUCCGGCGAGACUGUGAGCAGAUACUUUAGUCAGUUACUUGAUAUUGUAUGCCUUAUGGCUGUUGAUGUUAUCAAACCACUGGAUCCUAUGUUUAAUGGUGUCUCUGCAGAGAUAUUAAGCGACUCUAGAUAUAUGCCCCACUUUAAGGUAAAAAAAAAACUAGAUAUGAUACUUCUUGCUUUGUCUUAUGAAUUAAGUUAUAUUUAUUGAAAAUUGUGUUAUAAUAUUAUUUGCAGAACUGUAUUGGUGCUAUUGAUGGUGUACAUGUUCAAGCCACAAUACCUCCCGGAGAUCAAAUACCAUAUAUUGGCAGGAAAGGGACACCAACUCAAAAUGUAAUGGCCGUAUGUAAUUUUGACAUGCAAUUCAUCUUUGCAUGUGCAGGUUGGGAAGGAACUGCACAUGAUACAAGGAUAUUUUUAUCUGUUUUACGAAACGGUGCUUUAAAUUUUCCUAAGCCUCCUAAUGGUAAUGUCUCAAACUUGUGCAUAUGUUUGAAAUUUUGCAUUUGAUUAGACACUUUUUAUAGUUUCUUUUUAUAUCAUAGUAGCAUGUUUUGAACAUUACAGGAAAAUAUUAUCUUGUGAAUGCUGGGUACCCACAGAUGAGCGGCUAUUUAGGACCCUAUAAAGGUGAAAGGUAUCAUCUUCCUGAUUUUCGUAGGGGCAGAGAACCAACAGGAUCUAGAGAGGUAUUUAACCACAUACACUCUUCUCUUAGGAGUGUCAUUGAACGCACUUUUGGUGUAUGGAAAAAGAGGUGGAGCAUUUUAAGAGACAUGCCUAGUUACUCAUUUAAGAAGCAAGUAAAGAUAAUAAUCGCAACUAUGACGCUUCACAAUUAUAUAAGAAGGUAUGCCCGACGUGAUAAUCAUUUUGACAACAUGAAGGAUGACUUGGAUGAUGACACAAACUCGGAUGAAGAACAAGAAGAAUAUCAUAUUACCGAAGGACCCGAAGCACAAGAAAUAGAGACAUUGAGGAACAACAUUGCUGCAAGUUUGAUGUGUUCGUAAUUUUUUUUAUGUAUGCUUAUUUUAUUUUAUUAUUGUUUGAAGACAUUGAAGAAAAUUUUAUUUAUUUAAUAUUUGUUGUUUUUUUUUAACUUUUGGCAAUGCAACUACAAAUGUCAAAAUAAUUUGAGGGAAAAAAGAUUAGAUAUACUUGUGAGUCAUCUUUUUAACCAAAAAGUUAAUAGAAAACUAUUUUUCUCAUUACUUUAGUCUAAACUAGAAAAUGUGCCCGCGCGAUGCUGCGGGACUUAAAUGCAUCACCUUUAACUACAUGAAUAAGAUACAUUUCACCUAAAUAAAUUCAACACAAUCAUGAAUGAAGAGAGGAAUAGAUGAGUAAAUGGGGUCGGUAAGAUAUGCAACUUCGUUUUUAUAUACAUUGAACUGAACUCACAUGAAAAGACAUUGUACAAUGAACAGGACGAAACUGAAUGUUUUGGUUCCCUAAACUGAAACCCCUUGUCUCAGACACCCAACACCUCUCACCCUCAGAUAGCCCUAAACGAAGUGCCUCGUAGCAUCGAAUUGGCCUACAACACCCCCGAGCGAGAUUGAGACUACUUUUCAUAUUUUCAUUUUAAUGUACCAGCAAGGAAACGAUAGUAUAUUCCAAAAUUAGCAGUUUACAGAGAAAUAUAAAUAUUGUUUUCAAGAAAUUAAUAUGAUUGCAAAUGUAAUAGCUCCAUGCAUAGUGAGGUAGGAUAAAUGAUGGAAGACACACUGAAAUUUGAGGUCCAUAGGUUGAGAAGAGUCCAUAGCAUUGAUCCAGAUAUGGAUAGCUUGCACAGAUCUACAAUUCAAGCUCCGAAUAAAGUAUCAAUUUAUCAGCAAUUGUGACAUUCAUUAUUCCUAAAAAAGUUAUUGAUUCACAAAUAAACAAAUGAAAGUAAUCAGAAAAGAAACGCUUACCACAUGCUAGCUGAAUCCGAACUCAAAAUGACCACGAUAUUUUCCCAGCAAUGAUCACAAAGAGAUUGAUGCUUGGGACUUCUGUCCAUCCCUGAAAACAAUGGAAUAAUAUACCCAUUAAAAAACGUCACAAAAAGAUUUACAGUAACUGUCCCAACUAUUAUAAUUAUAUGGUCUUAUUGGCAUAUUCAGACUACAAAAUAAAAGCUGGCAGUUGUUUGCACUCGUAAACAAUUUCUCUUUACAAAACUAAAUAAAUUGUAAUGACCCAAGAAAUCAAAAUUUGAUUAGGCAUUAGAAACAAUGUUACCUUUUGGAGAAAAGGAUGCUCAACCAAAUGGAAGCCCAAAUUUAAAACAGCAACUGAAUGAAAAUCUGACGUUAUAAAAUCCAUAAGAAGCGUGUAAUGCGUCUAAUUUAAAAAGUCUCUCACACAUGUAAUUGCACGUAGGACGCCAGAUUCAAAAAAAAAAAAAAAACCUUGAAACCAAAGGACUGCAAAGGAUUGCUUUGUCAUAGAAAGUAAAAGAAUAAAUUGAAUCAACUGAACAUGCUUCUUGCAAACAAAGAAAGUAAAAUACGGGGGAACAAAAUCACAAAUCAACAUAGGCAUCUCUUAAGAAUUUAAAUAACCAAGAUUUUGAUGAACUGAUUGUAAGCAUAUGUGCAUAGAUGUCACUAUUUACAUAAAACAUGUAAAGGACAAUCAGUUUUGAGUUUCAAAAUAUAAAAUAUUAAAAUUUCCAUAAAAGAUAAGUAUUGGGAAACAAAGUUGGCAUCUCACCUUCCACAAUAGGUCGACAAAUCCUUUGAUUACGCUUUAGCUUCUUGUUUAACUGAAACACAAAUUCAUUGUUCAGAAUAUCAUAAUUUCAUGAAAUGGUUCACCUUUGAUUACGCUUGCUGCUUAGUGACUUGAUAAGUCGGUCACAAAGAUAACAUGUAGAAUGCAAAUAUGGAUCAGGAAAAAACAACAGCUAUAGAAUUGAUUAUAUAGAAGAAGAAUACAUACUUAUUGUGAGGUUAUCCCAGCUAUCCACUAUGACCCAAUAUAUAUAGCAAGUAAAAACUAUGGCAGCAAAGAUCUCACGUAUAUAAAUCUUGCAUAAACUUUGUUUUUGUACAAUGUCUUCUCCCUUCAAUGACAGUUUGUUUCUUAUUCAGGAAAAUAAAAUGAGCAGGUUAAUGAUACUCACAUGUGCAAAAUGCUAAUCCUAUGGUCUAAAGUUAACUGAAUUUUUUAGUGUAAAAUACCUAAUUUCACUGCAUUUCAAUUGAUCACAGUUCGUGCCUUGUUAAACUUGAUAUACCCUUAGACAUUUUGGGAACUUGACAGCUUAAAUUUUCUUUAGUUACAGAUGUGCUCAUAAAAGCAAAUUACAGCGACCCAAUAUAUACUAAAAACUUGGAGAAGGGACUCAAUUAGUUAACGAACAGGUGCCUCGCCUUUCAUGUUAAGACCAAAGAGAGAAAACCAAGCCGAACUCUUCAAAAUUCAUUGGCACACAUGCAUCAUCAGCUCAAUUGAAUGGAUAAUGCAUACUUAGAUACAACCAUUCAAACAAUUGAUGUAGAUUGACAUAAGCCUCCAAACUUCAAAAAAAUUGAAACCUUAUAAAAGCAAAACCUUUUUUCCUUCAUAUUUGAACUGUUUCGAUUACCUUAUCUCUCUAUCACUUGAUUCAUUAUUUCUAAAGGAAGUUCUAAUCACUACCAAAACAGCUUAAUAACAGUUGAUUAUCUAAAAAAAAAAAGAGGGAAAACAUGAAAUACUAACUGCACUCAAAAUCCCAAAUGUGUAACACAUGAUUCUAAUCUAAACCCUGAUUCUAAAAUUUAGAAUUCGACACAAAAAUGAAAAUUGGAAUGAUUAACAUGGAAAUGAGAGAGGGAGAAGUGUGAGGGAAUCUACACAUGAGGGCUUCGGAUCUGAGUCCAGAGCUGGAAGCGGCAGAGGUUGCGAACUUAAGAGUAUGGAAGAGGCGGGAAGGAUCCUUGUAAAAACAAUAAAAAUUAAAUAAGAAACUCGCCGGAAACUCGGAAAACCUCGUCGAAAAAACUGGACAGCAACUUACCUCGGAUUCACCUUUAACUCGUAACAAAUCUUUUCACAUUAUUCUCUAUUGCCACUUGUACUUCACUCAGUACUAAUCGAUAUAGCUGAAAGUCUGAAUCAUGAAGAAUGAGAAGUUGAAGUAUAUCAAAUGAUAAAGUUGUCAACAAUGAAGAAUGGGACAUUGACCAUGGAGACACUGCAAGAAGCAAAAGUGAGCAAAUUAAAUAAAUACCAGCAUCAACAUUUAGAAAAAAGUAAGAGCAGCAACUAUAAAUGAAGAAUGUGCAAUCAACAUUAAAAGUGUAUAAUAGGAACACGGAUCUCAUAACUAAAAGACAUUUUCUCACCAAACAAUGGAAAAUAAUUGGAGAUGCAAUUCAAUAAAAAAAGAAGUUAGCACUUGCUUAUUGCCUUCCAAAGAAGCUAAUGAAUCCAUCUGGUUGAAGAAGUGUUUAGCAUUGCCAGUAAAAACAACAAAAAUCACAUCAAAUUUCAAAUUAAUCAACUCAAUAGCAUGCGUACCUUAACAUCUAGAUGACGAAACAUUGGUUCCUCGAACGAAUCGUAAAGAUCACAAACACAAAUCAUGAAUUAGAGUUCGAAUACGCAUCUCCCGAUUUGAAACCCUAACGUAAUUCCCCACUUGGAAGAUGCAACCUUUGGGGUUCUGGCUGCUAGGGUUGAGAUGUUAAACCUUUGACUAAGAAAAUGACAUUGGGCAGCAUAGGAUACAUACUGCUCCCCCAGAUAGACCUGCAUGAAGAUUUAUCCACCAUCACAUGCGAAAAGGAAGAUGGUCAGUAUAUGUGUUUUAGUAAUCAAUCUAUAUUUGAAGCAAUGAAAAAAAAGCAUAUGACAUGAGCUAUCAUAAAUUAAAAUUAUCAACAAUCUCUUCCCAUUACGAAACAUAGAGAAACUACAAACCAUAACAAAUACAUUGAAAUACGCAAAUAUGCAGCAAAUCCCUCAAGCAAUUAAGAAAAAAAAUGCCUCUUAAAUCAGCAACCAAAUUCAAAUUAACAAAUGUCUCCAUAAAAGAAGUAAAAUGGAUGAAAAGAUACCUGGCUUUUUCAAAACAAUUCAAAUUCCACAACAUUUCAUUCAAAACAGUUCAAAAUUCAUAACCCCUCAAGCAAUUGGGGCUGUAAGUUACGUAAUCGGAUGGCUACAACCAAACGAAGAGCUUCAAUCAAUUAAAGUCAACAAAAUAUCAAUAAUUAAUCUAAAAAAAAAAAUUAAAUAAAUGAACACCAGGGGACUGAGGAAUGCUACUAAACAUCAGUAAGAACAGAAACGAAUAAUUUAAAUGCUUGAGCUUCAAUGAAAGCAUUUUACCCUUGCAAUUUUCCAAGAUAGCGGAGAGGCAAGAUGCACAUGUAUUAGUGAGAGGAUUUUCAAAGAUAUUGAGCACUUCCAAUCGAGCAGAUAGCAAAGGGCAUUCGCAAAUCUGAAGAUUGAAAUUAUUGAUCGAGACAGCCAAAUGAAUAGAGAUAUAAUCAUACAAUCCCCAAAAUCCAAAUCCAAAUCUGAAACGCCUGAUCCGUUUCUGGAAAAUGGCAGAGAAAAAUAGAAGAACUACGUUUUUAGAUGACCGGAUUGAAUUUGAGGCAGAGAGAGGGGGAGAGAAAGAGGGAGGAAGAGAAGCAGAAAAGCGAUAGAACAAAAUGGAAGACGCUUGAAGGGUCUUCCUUACCAACGACGUGAAAUCCAAUUGCCAUUUCAAGCUCCCUCAAUCACGACCUGUAGGAAAAUAUCAAACCCAAACAUAAGUUCACUGAAAUUCGAAUUCAAUAUAAUCAAACACAAACAAAAUAGCAAAAUUAAAAUAAAUAAAAAACUAAACUAAACUAUAAAUUAAAACUUUCAAUUGAAUAACCCCACAAUUUAAAUUACUAAACAGUAACAGAUUUCUCUGAGUAAUCAACUUCUCGAUUAUGGUCAUCGAACACGACAUUCUCCAAAACUGCCAAACACAUGCAACCAUAUUUGAUAAGAAUUUGAAAUAUCACUCCAAUCAUGACACAGAACAUAAACAUUUUGCGCACUGUCAUUUUUAAAGUAGAACGUUCAAUUAAAUCAUGAUGUUAAGUACCAGUCCCAAAUUUGAUAGCAUUCCAAAUAUCUGGUUCCUUGUCCAUUGACAAAUCAAUGCACUUGGCAUAGCAACCACCUUCAAUGUUUGACACACCAUUGUUGCCCCAGCAGUGCUCAUCAUCUCCAAUUAGAUACCGAUUAUGAUCCGUAGACAGAGUCGUCUUCCCAGUGCCUGCAACAAACAUCCCAGGAUCAGUUACACGAACACAAAAGAAACUGAAACACAAAAGAUUGAUGUAUCCAUCACCAAUUGAUCAUUGUACACAUAAAAUUAUCAUGAUUCAUACCUCUGCGUCGAUAUGGAAUUUUAUAAACUGGACAAAUGGAACCCAAUUUCAUCGACUUCACGGUGCAAGUGCUGUAAAAAAAUAAGCAAACACUGGCAAUAUGAUCAAGCACAUUCCAAGUAUUAAUACAUCCAAAUAAAACCUAACAUUCAUAUGCAAAUAACAAUGAAGGUAGAGAUUACUUGUAAGAGAUGAUUGCAAUUGAGUGAAUCCGCAGAACUCAGUAGACUCAAACUGCAAAACAGAUGGGGAAAAAUCAAACCCAUUAACAGAGUGAAGAAAUUUUUUAAAUCUUUAAACGAAUUCUGGACAGAAUCAUGUAAAGGGUCUGUUUUGGCUACCGAGAAACUUAGUAUACAUUUAAAUAUUAUUACAUGUUAAUACAAAAAUUUAGCUUUAUUCAGAUGGGAGAGAUCAAAGGUUGCAUCAUUCAGCUUCACACAUGGCUACAACACAAUUUCAAAAACUCUUGUCAUCUCAAAGUCACAUUCUUUAUCAAACUCCCACUCCAUAAUCGAACAGAGGUUGAUAACGGACAAAAAGAAACACAAAGUACGAAAUAUAAUCAAUAUCAUCAGUCAAAACUUACUGCAAAGGGUGAGGGGUCAACCAUGUGAUUUUUUGCCCCUUAACCUCGGCCUGCAUGGACAAACAACGGAAGAAUUCAUACCCAAAUAACACAAUAACAUAAAAUGGCAGGAAUGUAAAUAAUACAAAAUCGAGGGUCCAACACACGUUGAUAUGUCAUCGUGGUUUCCAAUUGAACCAUGAAUUCCAGAAUGUAAAUCAUACCUUGAGUAUAAGAAAACCAGAAAAGGAAAAUUAAAUCCCUCACAAAUGGUGGAAGAAAAUAUGAGAAACCUAUAUUAGUCCCAACGGUGUGAGUUUUCAUCAAAGAAGUAGACAAUCCACACGCUAAAUCACCAAUCAAACAUGAAGAUGAUCACAAAGAAGAAAUCCCUAAAACCAAUAUUUUAUUAGAGUUGAAAAUCGAAAUUAAGCCAAAACGGAACCGACACUACCCAAAUUAAGCUAAAAAUUCACUAACCCAACAUAAAGGCAAAGAAAAAUCACCUCUAGAUGACUGCCAUUGAUUCAAUGCAAAGAGAGCUCAAGCUGCUUAAUAUUGUUCUGAAAUUAGAGAGAGGGUGUGAGAGAUCAUGAGAGGACGGAGGGGCGAAUGGCGGAGUGAGAUUCAGCGCGUCUCUUCUCUGCAUAUAAAAGAUGCCGCACAAUUAUGCAACUUACUCCAUAGACUUAUAAACAUCACAAUUAUAAAUUCUGAAACUGAUAUAAAUUGAAUAGAAAUACACAAAGCAUAAACAAAUUCAGCAUAUGAACACCAAAACUUACCAAACUCAUGUGCUUGCUUGAAGCUGUUUUUGAUCAUUUUUCUACAAUCUACUGCAUAAAAAGGACCAAACUAUAACGGCAAACUAUAUAUAUAAUUUGCUAUAAUACCCAAAAAAAUUAAAUUACAUUAACAUUUGAGUGGAAGCCACGACCAAAGUGGUAAAAUUGAAGAAAACAUCAAAAUCCCAGAAAAAAAAACAAAUUCUUUCAGAAAAAAUCAAAGAAAUUUACUCAGGUAAUCAAUCAAUUAUGUACCUAAUUCCCCUGAUGUCUUGAAUAAAUAUAACACUCCAAGAUAAAUUAACUACCCAAUAUUAAUUUUUCCUGUUUCUUUCUUCUUAUUCUCGGGAAAGAAACAAACCCAAAACAAAUAAUUGAAGAAAACAUACAGAAAAUAUUGGGGAGGAGUAACAUACAAUCUGCUGAGUUCUUAUUCGCUUUGUAGAUAAGAGAUGGUGGCUUCUCAUCGAGUUCAUGUAUGUAUUGCCUGGAGUGAGAUGGUGAGCGGGCGUGAGAGAAUAGGGCAGUGAGAGAGAGUCGGGAGAGAAAAAGAGGGAAAGAAAUGGCGAUGGAAACGGACGGAAACGUAGUCGAAGCAGAGCAAUCCACGAUGAUUAACGCGUGGGCGCUCUUAAACUGUGCAAAAGCAGUGGUAAUUUUGUAAAUAAAUCGAAAUUUUCAAUUUGCGGUGAAGAGAUGAUGGUAAUUUUGUAAAUAACUCAAAAUCCACUCCAAGUUACUAUUCAUUUGAAUAGUGCAAUUGAAAAGCUUUCUUUAGACAAAAGCUAGAAAAAAUGCCCGCGCUUCGCUGCGGGUUUUGAAACUAUUAGCCAUAAUAGACGUGAAUAAUUGGCACGAAAAGAUGCAUUACAAAGGCGACACAAAUGGAGUCAUGUCCUAAAAUGAACCAGUGCAGAUGAAUAAUUUGCAAAAUCACAUUCAGUUUCAUUUCUAUAGGUCAAAAAACAAAGAAAACAUGUAUAUUAACUUGUCAUAUUUUAUAAAACUAAAAGCAUGGACAAUUCAGUGCACCUUGGUUGCACAUUUGUCAUAUCCAGCAGCUCACAUCGGCCACCCCCCACUGGAAUCCAAGGCUGAGGGAAGCCAUCUGCGGGAGUUGUCAUCUGAAGCACCACUCUUAUCUUUGCCUUUGUCUGAUUUGAUAUGUUGCUUACUAUUGCAUGGAUGCCAAGUAGCUUCAACAGCCUUCGAUGUACACAUAUCUGAAAUGCGGUCUUGUCCUACUGUUAGAAGCAAAGAUAGGAGCCCUAAUAGCAUAUUCUCAAGAGCUUCAUAGAGAGCUCUUUUGUUUCUCUUUGUCAACCACUGCAAGGAUUGCAAUUCAAAUUUAAUCAAAAUAAUUCAUUUCACAUUCAUAAUAAACCCGAAAGUGACUUGAUAAGAUGAAAUUAACCCAAUUACGUGUGAAAGGAAACCUUUCCAAUUAAAUGAAUGAAAUAUUUGAUGUGGAUCAAAACCAAAACCAAAUGAAAACAAAUAUCGACAACUGCCCAAGUUGGUGUUUGCCCCAAAGGUCUUCCUCCUCCUCCUCCUGCCAUCCUUUAAUUGAAACCCUAAUUUUCCUUACUACUAAAUAAUGCUAUUUUCGAUCUAUUUCUUUCGGUGUGUAAACUUUACUAAUUCUCGAUAAUUUUCAAUCACUUCCACUGUAAUUAAAAUAAGUACUGAGUAUAUACACACUCAUAAAAACACAAAUUCAGUUUUCCAUUCUAAAAAAUGAACGAAAGCACAUACUCCAAGUCAAUGUUCCUACUAUAUUCAUUAAUCCAACGAUGCAUCAAAUAUAAAAAUUAAAUUAUACCUCUAAUUUAUAACCUUUUGAUCUUGCUUCAUCUGCAGCUAAACCAAAAUUUGGACAAUCCCCAAUAUAAUUCCGUCAAAAUCCACAUAGCAACACCAUGUAAGAAUCAUAUUGGGUGUCUACACCCACACUUAUCAAUGUACACAUAAAUUUGAAAUCUGAAUCACUUGGGCUUCAAAGAAGGCCAAAAGUCUUUGUAUUCAAGCAUUUAAUACUCUACAGAAAUUAACUAAACACAGCCACAUUGAAUACCAAACCCACUUACUUACCAUCUUAUCCAACUCUUAUUUCGUAAAUUUUUCUGGUAAAGAAGCGUAGUUUAUCCUGAGCUCUGCAAUAGAAUAAUUCAAUUCUUCUUCAUUGCUUUUCAAUAGGAUCCCUACAAUCAAACAAACAUAAUUACUCUAGUAAAUAACUUCAAUUUAAAAUGCAAAGAUAUAACAGAAAGGAAAGUGAUUAAUUAAAAAAUAAAACUGUUAAAACAACAGACUGAUACACUUAACAUGCCAAUUUAUAUACUAUAUAACAAUACUAAAUCAAUUAAUUUAUAAAGAUUAGAAAUGGAUUACAAAAAGCAGAAAUCUUAUUUGGCAUGUAUGAAAAUGAUACACACAUUCUUAGCCAAUCAGCAUGAAAAAGGUAUAGAAAACUAAUUUACUUUGUUAACUUUGGACAACUGGAGAGAUGAAAGAACUCUUAGUUUUUACUAUAAGUAUGACAACCAUGUGAUUUCAUUGUUAAUUGGGACUGAUGUGUGUCAUUAGGAUUGCCAAAAUUAGUGAUCUUAGAGUUUGGCAGCCAAUGACCGAAUUGGACUCAAGUUUAUCAACAUUUGAUUCAACUAAACUAAAUUGGAUACGCUCAUUAGCAUAGAAAUAUGUAUACCAUAUGACAAUAUUGAAUCAAGUUAUUUGCAAAGAUUUAAAAUGCAAUGUAAAAAGGAAAAAAUUUAUUUUAUAUGUAAUAAAAUGAUUAACAAAUUUUUUAUUGAGCAGUAUAAAAAAGGUAUUAAAAACUAACCUAAUUUAUUAAGUUUGGAAAAAUUGGACAGAUAAAAGAAAGCUUUUAAUCCUUACUAUAACUAAAAUAACUAUGUUAUUUCAUUAUCAAAUAGGAUUCAUACGUGUAAUCAGGGUUAAGAAAAUCACUGAUUAAAGAAUCUGCCAGAAAUCAUCAAAUUGGACUUGAACUUACCAAUUUCUGAUUCAAAUAAACUAAGAAAAGGAGUUGGAAUCAAACUAACCUCUGUUUUCUAUAUGCAGCAAACUGCAUCUUGUUUUUGCCCUUGUUAACAACAUAUCUUCGCUCUGUACACACCAAAAAACAGUAAACACCUCAUUCAUUACUAACAGCCAUUUCAAUCAAUUAAUUAUUUAGACAAAUUUUUCAACGAUUCCGAAGCUCAGACAAAAAUUGCAUGAGAAAAUUGAGAUUAUAUGCAAUUGGAUGUCAAAGAACCUGAAAAUACCAUAUAUCCAAUAUUUAGUGCAUACACCUAAAAACUAAUCUUUAUAUAUACUUUAAAAUAAUACAGAUCAAUGUAAUCUAAAACAUUGGAAAUGCAUAUCAGUGCAAGCCAAGGUCUCAAGUUCUCAGAGUGGGGAAUUACUGAUUAGAACAGUUAAUUCUCUGCUCCUUUUUGGGUAUGAACUAAUUAGCAUAGUAGCCAUAAAAAUACGAAACAAAAGCUCAAUAAUUUAUGCAAUUUGGUUAAAUUUUAUACAAUUUCUAGCAAAACCCAAAACUCAAUAAUACAAAAGGAACCCAAUAGAUGAUUAAAGCAAUUUUAUACACAACUUAUGCAAGUCCAAAGAAACGCAUUUGAUCAAACUUACUGAAUACUGAAAAAAAAAAUUACAAUCAAAGUACGGAUUAAUAACUACCUCAACAACUAACAGAGCCAAAGCCAAACCCUAGAGCUUCGAAGGGCAGAGACGAUCACAGAGACAAGAAUAGUCCUUAUUCCUUCCCACUGCUGCUGCUGCCACUUUCUCUCUCUAAAAACCAAUUGGAAAUUGUUUAUAAAGAGACAGAGAGGAGAGGGCUAUGAUGAUUGGAUGAAAGAAGCAUGAAAAACUAAAAGACAUGUAAGCUUGAAUUCGAGUCCCAAAUUGAAAAUAUAAGGGAGGAGUGUAAGGGUGGCUUACCGAGGUCAGGAGAGGUGAGUCUCAUAGGAAAAGUCGACGAACAGUGGCAGGAGCCAGUGCACAGUGAAAGGCCUCGCCUGUGUCUCCUGAACAGAACAGAGUGAGUGAUAGUGGUUCUGUGAGAUGGAGCGAGUGGUGGUGGUGCUGUAGUCAUGUUUUGCCGGAAAAUGGAGGCUUUGGUGCGCCUCGGUGUUUACAGAGAAAAGAAAGGGGAGUCCAGGGAGCUAGUGGUUGUUUGAUGGAGUUGAGGCUCGCCGGAGUGGCGAGUUGUGAUGUGGACUCAGGCCUCUCGGCCUCUGGGUUUUACGGAGAAGGGGAAGAUGGUUUAGGGUUGAGAGAGAUGGAGGGACGGCUAGGUUUUAGAAAAGAUGAAGAAGAAUGGGGGUGAGCAGCGCUGGGGCUACAUGUUGAGGGAAAUGAAGAGAGAGCAAGAAGAAGUCGAAGGCAGUGAACCCUACGGACAAAUUUACCCUUCUAAGUUAUAAUAAUUACCCUUCCAACCCAGCCCAAAUCUGAUGGGUUCCUUGUAAAUAAGGUGAAAUCAAGUGGCAAACAAUUGACUGUAGCCAUGAACAGUAAGGAACAGUGCCAAUUGAAAAGCCUUCUUUAGACUAAAGUAAUAAGGCUUUUCAAUUGCACUAUUCAAAUGAAUAGUAACUUGGAGUGGAUUUUAAGUUAUUUACAAAAUUACCAUCAUCUCUUCAUCGCAAAUUGAAAAUUUCGAUUUUUUCACAAAUUACCACCGCUUUUGCACAGUUUAACAGCGCCCACGCGUCAGUCAUCGUGGAAUGCUCUGCUUCGACUACAUUUCCGUCCGUUUCCAUCCCCAUUUCUUUCCCUCUUUUUCUCUCCCGACUCUCUCUCACUGCCCUAUUCUCUCACUCCCGCUCACCAUCUCACUCCAAGCAAUAGAUACAUGAACUCGAUGAGAAGCCACCAUCUCUUAUCUACAAAGCGAAGAAGAACUCAGCAGAUUGUAUGUUACUCCUCCCCAAUUUUUUCUGUAUGUUUUCUUCAAUUAUUUGUUUUUGGGUUUGUUUCUUUCCCGAGAAUAAGAAGAAAGAAACAGGAAAAAUUAAUAUUGGGUAGUUAAUUUAUGUUGGACUGUUAUAUUUAUUCAAGACAUCAGGGGAAUUAGGUACAUAAUUGAUUGAUUACCUGAGUGAAUUUCUUUUAUUUUGUCUGAAAGAUUUUUUUUUUUCUGGGAUUUUGAUGUUUUCUUGAAUUUUACCACUUUGGUCGUGGCUUCCACUCAAAUGUUAAUUUAAUUUACUUUGUUUGGGUAUUAUAGCAAAUUAUAUAUAUAGUUUGCCGUUAUAGUUUGGUCCUUUUUAUGCAGUAGAUUGUAGAAAAAUGAUCAAAAAUAGCUUCAAGCAAGCACAUGAGUUUGGUAAGUUUUGGUGUUCAUACGCUGAAUUUGUUUAUGCUUUGUGUAUUGUCUAUUCAAUUUAUAUCAGUUUCAGAAUUUAUAAUUGUGAUGUUUAUAAGUCCACGGAGUAAGUUGCAUAGUUGUGCGGCAUCUUUUAUAUGCAGAGAAGAGACGUGCUGAAUCUCACUCCGCCAUUCGCCCCUCUGACCUCUCAUGAUCUCUCACACCCUCUCUCUAAUUUCAGAACAAUAUUAAGCAGCUUGAGCUCUCUUUGCAUUGAAUCAAUGGCAGUCAUCUAAGGAUGAUUUUUCUUUGCCUUUUUGUUGGAUUAGUGAAUUUUUAGCUUAAUUUGGGUAGUGUAGGUUCCGUUUUGGCUUAAUUUCGAUUUUCAACUCUAAUAAAAUAUUGGUUUUAGGGAUUUCUUCUUUGUGAUCAUCUUCAUGUUUGAUUGGUGAUUUAGCGUGUGGAUUGUCUACUUCUUUGAUGAAAACUCUCACCGUUGGGACUAAUAUAGGUUUCUCAUAUUUUUUUGCACCAUUUGUGAGGGAUUUAAUUUUCCUUUGUGGGUUUUCUUAUACUCAAGGUAUGAUUUACAUUCUGGAAUUCAUGGUUCAAUUGGAAACCACGAUGACAUAUCAACGUGUGUAGGACCCUUGAUUUUGUAUUAUUUACAUUCCUGCCAUUACCAAAAAGCAUGGGCUGCAGAGAGAGAGGGAGAUAGGCGGGGGAUGGCAGGGAGGGGAAGGGAGAGGGAGGAGUGAGGUUGCUAUAAAAAGGGGUUAUGGUUGAUUUUUUUUUCUCCUCAAAUCAAGGGUUGGUGUCGGGAUUAAGGGAUGUGUCAAAAUUGCCAAUAGAAGCCUAAAUUAAUGGGUAGUUGUCGGUGAUUGAGAGAUUGAGAGGGAGAAAAUUGGGGGAGGUUGUCACUGACCCGAUGGAGUGAGGGAUUUUGUGAGGAUUAACUAACUUAUUGACUAGGAACACAAGACAAGACAUGCUUCCGGUAAACCGCCUCCGUCGCUUUCCUCCUCUCGCCUCCGUCUACCUCCUCUCCCUUUCUUCGUCUCCCCCUCCUCCUCUCUCUCUCUCUCUAUGGAAUCGAUCGAUCUUCGAAGAGGAUAAAAAGAUCUGAAAUGGUGUGCUUCUUCUACUGUGAUUCUGUGUUUUUAAUUUUUCUGGGUUUGGCUUCUUCUUUUAUUCCACUACUAAUUUACAAAAAUAAUGAAUUUUGUACAUUUUGUUUUUAUUUUACUUUUUGUUAUAUUUCAUUGUAAUAUCAAAUAGAGUUGGUAUUUUAAAAUCUCACUGCAAUGUUUUUUGUUAUAUUGUUGGUGGGUAUCUUUAAUUAUGCCCUGAUGGAGAAAGGCAAAGAGGACAGACCUGGAUUUGGGGCAUAAAAGGGAUCUUUAGAUUUCUGUGAAAGUACUUUGUGCCUUUUUGCUAUUGGUGAUGAGUGUUCAUGAAUAUUUAUGCUUUAAUAUAGCUGUUACAGGAGCAAGUUGUUUAGUUAAAAUCCUAAGAAGAUUAGGGUAAAACAUUCCGGCUCUCUCAUUAUUGAUAGUCUGAAUUUCUGCAAUCUCUGAGAUAUAUUUGGGAUAGUUUUAUAGUGAUAUACAUCAAGGUUCAAGAAAAACUUUGCUGCACUGCACUAUAGGAGUAUCUGGUUGAUGAAAUUUUUCUGAUUUAAGCAUUUAGCUCCUCGAUUGCAUUAAAUCAGUAUUUAAAGAAGUUUUUGUCUGAGAAUGCAUUGAUAGAAUUUUUUUUGCCCAAAAAUUAACUCACAGAGCUUCCUGUGAGUUAGUCUUAGCUUUUGAUUUAAUUUUUUUAGAAUUAUUAUCAUUUUUUUUAUCUCUGCUGCUGUUUUGGAUUUUUUUUAAUGAUUUUUAUGCGAUGUUCAUCUGUGUAGGCACUCAAAUUAGUGUUUUGGAGUGCAUAUGGACCAGACACCACAAAAGAGAAAACGGAAACCAAAAUCAGAGCCAUCAAAACAAACAAAUGCUGGUAUGUCCUAAAAAAGGUUGGUUUGUGCACUUUCAAAGAAUACAUGGAAGAAGAUAAUAUUGAUCAUGGUGUAGAAUGUGAUGGUAAUGUGGUUGAAAAAGAUAAAAUGUUGCACGAAAAGAUCUCAGAGCUCAUUGACGAAAAUAUGCAGCACCAGGCUGAGUUGAUAAGGAGAAACAAGGAGAAUAGUGAAACAAUUGAGUGGCUUUUAUCCCAGGUGCAUAAGCUAACGGAUGAGAACAAAAUUUUGAAGAUUAAUCUGGGAAUCCAUAAGGAUACUACUGAUCAUACAAUUGCAAUCCAUAAGGAUGCUACUGAUUAUACAAUUACAAGGCAAAACAAGCCUCAGUUUUCAAAGUCUAAGUCCAUAGGGCCAUCUUUCCCUGGAAGGCUCACUGGAUGCCUAGAACUUGGAUCUUAAUUAGCUACUUUUCAACUUUAGUAGGUAGCGUUAUAAGUUUUCAAAUGUAUCUGUUUAUAUGCUUUCAUAAUACAUGUGAAGAUUCCGAGUCAAUUAUAACAUAUUUUAAUUUUUAAUUUUAUGAGUAUAGAAAAGGAAUUGAAUGCUUCGUUAUUUUGAUCUUGCAGCUGAAGCCAAGUCUGGAUAGAGAGAAAGAUCUCAUGGUAGGAAUCAUGGACUUGAUGAAGGUGAGGUUAACAAAGUGUGCUUUAGCACCAAGAUUGGAAUCUGGGUGUUCUGAGUUUUGUUUUGUUGUGAUUUUUCUAUAAUCUAGAUGCUGAAAUACUUGGAGUUGGAAUUAAUAAGAAUUGAUUGAACAUGGAUUUUUUAUUAGAUUGGUAUGGCUGACAUAGUUAAGAAGUAGUUUAAGAUGCAGUGAUUAGGGCAUUUCUUUAACUGAACAUAUUUGUUUUCAUGAGGUAGAUAGAAUCCUCUGUAAUUUAAUUAAUUAGAUUGAAAUUUGGGGUCUGGAUUCUUAAACUACUAUGGUGGUUAAUGUAGCUUUUUUGGUGAAUUUUUCAAGUGGGGAAAAAGAGGUGGGUGUGGGAUUUAUAUUGUUAUUCUCAGUUGGUAUAUAAAUAUUUGAGUGUGCAAGAAAUGGUUACCAUACAAAAAAUACAAGAACUGAAAUUAGAAGGGAUAAUGGCAGUUUGCAGAGGGUUGGUUCAGGGAUGGUAAAAGUUGUGUACGUGGCGAGAUUAAUGGAGGUGGUUUCGUGGUGGCGUAGUUCUCCGUGAAAAAUGGCGACGGUGGUCGCCUUGCUAUUUCUGUGCAGCGAGCACAGUAUCAAGAGAGAGAGAGAGAGAGAGGUGAGGGAAAUAGGGAGAGUAGUAGAGAGGGAGUGAGACAUGAGGGUGGUGGCAAGCUGGUGCCUUGAGGGAGUGGCGAGUGAGGUGGUGAUAGUUUCUCGAACGGGAGAUUUAUGGUGUACUAGAGAACUUGACUCCUCUCUCAGUCUGGUCUCCGGAAGAGAAAACCAAACAUAGCUAUGCAUUAGCAAAGUUUGAAAUGAGGGUUUUUAAUCUUUGGCAUGCUAUUGUCUUUAUUUGAUCAUUCUUUGAAAAAAAUUAUGAUGGACAAGUGAAAUAAACUGAAUGAAAACUUGGAGAAGAAGUUCUGAUUUUUAAUAUCUUUAAUCCGGGAUUAUUGUGAUGCCCUUUGACAAUUGAAAUGUGAAUGCAUUAUGUUGCUUAGAACACAAGUCAAUAUUUUUUAAACUGUGUUAGGUAUGAUGGAUGCUAUAGAUAGAAAAAUGUUGGCUUAAGGUUGGAUUCCAGGUAAAUAUGUGCUAUCCUGGAUGAUGGAAUUGCAUAGCAUCCUAAGUUUCUUUCUAUAUUUUCCUGAACAGAUUUACUGAAAAUGUUUUUCAAGGAUAUUCAACAAUAACUUUAAUCUUCAGACUUUCUCAUUGUUGCAGUCUCUAAUGCUUUAGUUAAUCCUAUUAGCCUAUUGUUAGAUCAAUUAAAAGAGUGUUUUAGCCUUCUGUUAGUGUUUCAUCUUAUAUACUUUCUCUCAUUGUUAGAUCAGUUGUGAUUCUGUGUGGUUCAUGUUUCCGGGUGUAAAAUUGUUCAUACAAUCUCACUUUUGCAUCUAAUUAGUGAGCCAAAAAGAAAAUUUUUAACAUUUUAAAUCCUAAUUAUCUCUAUUUCAGCCAAUGCAUAUUUUUUCCACCUAAAAGUCUUUGAUGCAUGUCUUCUUUUUUUUUUUUUUAGUAUUGAAACAUACAUUGUUCGAAAUUUGUUGAGCACUUGAAACUUUACAAGUUAAGAUUUGGAAUUUUAUGAUAUAUGAUAACUGCUUUGUAUGUUUGUUGUUGAUUAAGCACGUGGGAUACAACUCGGUCUUAGACACUUAAUAAAGGUUUAUCGUUUGAAAUUAAUGGGGCACAUGUUAUUCUCAUGAUAUUGGCUGCAAAUGCUGCAGAGUGAUUACAGAAACCAACGCAGAAAAAGCUUUAUAGGUAACUUUUACAUUUAUAGCAUUUCAGAAUUCGCAUAAAUACCAGAAAACAUCUUGAAAGACUACCAUUUCAAGUGGAUCUUUUCUUUCAUGUGGAAACCAAGCUUCCUUUUUCUUAACUCAUUCUAUUAAAACUUCAAAUUAUGUUCAAUUUGUUGAUUGGCUGUUAGCACUUAAGUUGAUCUAUUUAUUUCCAAUGUACCCUUUUUUAUGCAUGAGUGCUUUUCUGUUGCAUGUUUAGAAGAUGAAUGCAUCAAUUCUUAGGUAACCUUCUUUUUGUUCUGUGACGUAGGACAGAGUAGGACAGCGGAAAUUAGAUUGUUUAGCGGAAGUGAAACGACAUAAAACUUAAAUUGAAACAUCAUAUGCUUCUGUUUUAUAGGACUGGGGGGGGGGGGGAUAAAAACAGUAUAUUUUGUUGUUGCAUGUUUCAUUUAAUUCAAACUUUCAAAUAUACACUCUCUCUCUUCAUUAUGCACAGUAUGUUGAUGUGAACUGAAUCUAAAUAAUUUGUCUUUCUGUCGAAAAUAUUCAUAGUAUGUCCUGCAUUACAGUUUCAAAACCCACAGCAGCACGUGGGCAAUUUUAUUUUCCCUCUCCCUAUAUGUAGUUUAAUAUAAUUCAACGAGUUCAAAGAGAAUGAUCAGAAUGAAGGUUUGUAUUAGAUCCGAUGUGCUUCCUCUUUCUAUGCAUUUUGGUUCAAAUUAGGGUUUUAGGUUGAAACCCGAAACGAAAAGAGAAUAAAGUUUUCAGGAUGUUCGGAUUUUGUGUUUCGAUGAGAGGAAAAAAUGAGAAAUUUGUUAAGAAAAGUUGUGGUCGGAUUUUACAUGUUUACCGUUUUCAAGGUACGGUGUUCAUCGAUCUUAACUUUAAAUUUGUUUCUCAAUUUUUUUGUAGUUUUGGAUUUGUAAAAACCCUCGAUUGAAUCGGGUGCUGGUAUGGUCCCUUACAGGAAAAAAAAGUUUCAUUUUUUUCCCCUUAAAAUUUUAGUUUUUGUUAUUUUCUUUUUUCUUCACAAAGGAACUUAGGUGGUAGCUGUAUUACUAAUUAGCUACAGAAUUUAUAUAUUCUUAUGAGUACGGUAUGGGUGCAGGUUUGCUAUGUUGCUUUUUGGGAUGAAAUUACUUUAAAUACAAAGGAAAAUUUGAUCGAUAUUAUUGGGUUGUACGCAGAAAUCUAAGUUUUACCUAUUUUGAUAAUGCUUGGUUUUUGUGUAUUGAGUUGGAUAGACAGUUCAUAGGUUUGGUUCCAUAUUUAUUCGGAGAAGAAAAACACAAAGAGGGCAACACAAUAACCCUAGGAUGAUUAUAUAUGGAAUGAAUUAAAUCUAUUAACGAAUUAUAUUUUGGGUGGUGUUAGGGAGAAACGCCUACACUCCAAAUAUUUAUGAAUUGGAUUCAUUAUAAAAUAGGUAAAUUGUAUGCAUUACUUCUUUUGGCACUAAAUCUUUUGUUAAAUUUUAUUUUGCUGACUUUUAGUUUUUGACUUUCCUUUGGCAGGACUUUUAAUUAAGCAUGCAUCUUUGGUGUAAUAUUAUCAUAUUCUUGAGGUUUGAAUUUUUUACUCUUACUUUUGUGACCAUUAUAUGUUUGCGUAUCUCUCUUUUGGGUUAUCCAUCAAUUAAAAAUUAUUAUGUGAGGAUUUUGAUUGUUGACUUAUCAUUGGUAUAUUUCAAGUGGUUUUUGAUAUUUUGAUAGGUGUUGGAAAAAAAAGAUGAAAUUGUUUUGCGCUCAACGCAUAGUUAAUCUUAAAAUAGGGUUUAUUAAAUUGGUUUGAUGAUAUAUAGGUGGUAACAAAUUAAUGAUGUCAACUCCUACAAGGAAGAGGCUGAUGAGAGAGACUUCGAGAGGCUGCAACAAGACCAGCCUGCGAGGAUUAGUGGGGCGCCUCAGGAUAACAAUAUAAUGUUGUCGGCGAGGUUAGUUAUUUUUUAGGCUUUGCUUCUACAAACGUGAACUCUUUACAUGGAAACCGAAUUUUAUGUGAAUUUUAAUAGUUAUAUAUCAAACUCCUCUGCACUGAACUCUGUGUAUUACAACAAUUAUAAUUAGAACUUGGAUGAAAUGGGCUCCAUCCAGCAAAACUCCUGCCCUAACAAUAAUAAUUAGAACCAAAUUUGAUAAUUUCUCAUAGUUUAGGCCAUUUGGCCAAGUCAGAAUGAGAAACAUAGAUGUUUUCUUUAUCUUAUGCUAUUUGUUUGGCUGUAAAUCGUAUGGAGUAAAUCUCAUGGUGUCAUUCUAAAUAAACUGGAAAUAUGUCUCAUGCAAAAUUAAUGUUGAUGUUUAUCAAUGGAAAUAAGUUUUGAAGUGAUUACCUUUCUUUAUACAAGUUCUCUUCACAAUGAAACCUAUAUUAUAGUGUCACUUUUACUUGCUUUCGCACAAAAGGGGUGUCUGGACAUGUAAUUGGCGUGUCAUUACUCACUAAAUCUUUUUUAUCCUUAUCUUCUAUAUUAAUAUCACCAUUUUUUUGGGUGCUCAUUGAGUGGUUUGGCAGGUAAUAGAUAAAGGUUUUAAUGCAUUCAUUUAAUGUUAUUACAGAUCUGCUAAAUUCUUCAAGAAGUCCGGUUUACAGAACUGAAGCUGUUUAAGCACAAGGUGUCCCAGUUUAUAGAUGAGGUAUUAUAAAAUUUAAAAAGCGUCAAUAUUAUCAUUACUGAUCCUUAACAUUUAACUAUCAAAGCUUGAGUUUAUAAUAAUUAAUUCUUCACUGAUGAUAUGUUGUGAUGGGGUUUAGUAAUUUUCAGUAUUCUUCAAUUCUUUUAAUCUGCAAAAUCAAAUAGCCCAUGGAAUUUAUGGCAUACAAUUAGUUUCCUUUCAGUUGGGUUGAAAUGAUAUUGAUUGUGUUGUUAUGAAGCUCCUUUUUAUAGUUAGGUUGAAAAUCAUAUUGAUAGAUUCUUUAUUUGGUUGGUCCUAUCUGUAACAAAUGGGAUUGUUUUGUUUGAUGUUUGAAUCAAAAUUUGAUCUUUUUUUGUGUGAAAUUAUGAUGGAAUCGCAAAUUUGUGAGGUAUAUCUUAGAUUAUUGGUUGCAUAGUCACCUUCCCACAACUAUCACAUUGUCUCUUGACUAGAUGAAUUUUUAUAAUUUCUAGGAUCUACGGUUGCAAUGCUUUUGAUGCAUGCAAUCAGGAGGAUGCUACUACUCUUAUGGAGCUUCUUUGGCAUGGUAAGUUGAAGUUGCAUAGCAUUUUUUUUUCGUUCACGAAAUUCGUUAUCUUGCUAUCCUGGCAAUUAGCAGUGUCUGACAACUGGUGAAGUAUAUGAAUAUAUGUGGAAGUUUGAAUUAUACAAAUGAAAGUGAACUUUUAACAACUCUAACUUAGAAUUUUUAUUAAUUUCUUUCAUUUGUGUUCGACUAUUUUACUUUUUUGGUAUAUAAGUACAACUAUAGAUCGAAAACCACAUAAAUUACCUAACAGCCAAGGAAUUGUUUGUGGUAGAACAUAACAUGAUGUAAAGCUCAAAUUUUGGGCACUUAAAUAUAUGUUUUUUUUUUUUCAAUUACAAUCAGUCAGCAUGAAAGUUCAAUUGGAUUUGUUCUGGUCUCCAAAAAUUUUUCUUUGUUUGGUUACCGAUUAAUUUAUGUGGUGAGAGUUUAGUUUUUGCUUUUCUGCCUAUGUAUAUAUGAUUUGAAAUGGACAAUUCAAUUUUCUAUAUAUAAAUUUGUAGUCGAAGAGUUCGAAGGAGAGGUGAAUUAGAAACAAUGGGGGGAAGAGUGAUGGAGUUGAGGAGUUGAGAGUUAAUGAGGUAUACUUGAAUUUCUGUAUGAUGUCCUUGGUAUUGGGAGAUCAUUGAGACUAACUAUCUGGUUGAUUAAUCACGAUGUCCUUGGUAUUGGGAGAUCAUUGAGACUAACUAUCUGGUUGAUUAAUCACUAAUUUGAACUAUUUGUGCUUGGAAAAUUAGCUACUUGAACAAGUACUGAACGCUUUCUAUGUUUUCUCUUAUUAACUGCUGAAAUAGGUGCCUGCCCUAUAGGACACAUAUUUUGCCUUCUUAACUACAAGGGAAAAAUAUGUGUGAAUUGCAUGUUGCUUAUGUUUCUUAUGGAAACAGAACUUUUUUUGGCAACCAUGUCUUUGUGAUCAAGAAUGUUCAGUUUCUUCCUACUAAUUGUGCAAUGUCUUUACAUGUCAACUUAGUGGAAUGUAUAUAAAAGUCAAACUACUUAUCUUAUCGAUCUCAUUCACUCAUGUGUCCCUCUGUUCAUUCAUGAUUGUGUUGAAUUUUUUCAGGUAAAAUGUGUCUUAUUCAUGCAGUUACGCCUGAAAUAGUGGUUCCCACUGCAACACGUGGGCUUAUUUUCUAGUUAUGUCUAUUUUUGUCAUUAUACAAAAUUUCCAAAAUUUUACAUUAGUAUUUACCAAACGCUUUUAUACUACUUUUCAUACUUACAGCAGUUUUAAAAAUACAGUUUACCAAACGUUCAGCUGCUUUAUUUUACAGCUGAUUAUUCUUAAAGCACAACUGUUGACCCUAAAAACUACAAAGCCUACGUGGCGCGCAGGCCGAGUAAUUAAUGAGCUAACUACGUCCUUCGGUGAAUGCGGGGCGUGCCAACUCGUCGGCCGAGCUCGGCCGAGGAGUAAAUUUGUUGAUGUUGCGUUGGGUCGCGCUACUGACUUCUGCGUCUUGCCAUUGCGGCCGAGAAAGGAACACGUCUCGGCCUCUUGGGCUCUCGAACCUGAAGACAAGGUUACUAUUCUUACGAAGUUCAAAAUCAAAUUCGGCUUUCAAUGUGCCGAAUGUAAUAACUGUAACACCUCACUUCGCCGAGAAGGCUGAUGAGAUGACCUCGACCAAUAAGGAUUUAGAAACCCUUCUCGACCGAGACUUGGAUAGGUAAUCAAUCGUUCUCGCCGCAGUGCUGUUGAUGCCAACGGAAGGUACUGCGAGACCGACUGACUCUACAGUGACAGAGCUAUCUAUGCCGACUUAAGAUAUCACCGGUUGCUUCCACAGUGCUGUUGAUGCCAACGGAAGAUGUGUCAGUGAAAAAGGAAAAAGAAAAAUCACAAGUUGUGAGAGUUUGCGCAGGGCAAUUUUGUAUUGAUUUUGUGGGUCUCGUUCCGUUGCCACUGCCUCUCUAUUUAUAGAGCUAACUUAGCAUAAAACCCGGCCGUGACCAUCAAUCACCACCACAAAUAAUAAUCGUUACGCGAGGAUGAUUAUCCAAUGAGAAUCGUAGCACUCAAAUCUCUUUGGUGCUAACGCAUUUCAGCCAAAACCACAUAACAAAUCAUGGCAUGCCAAUUCCGUCUUUUGCUAAAGAUAAGCAUUGUCGUUCAAAUCCUAGUCCCAAAGCCCUGGCAUAUCAAGCUUUAUCCAUAGGAUAUUCACUUCACCUAUUUGGCAACCUUGAAUUUGCUAAUAAUUAUCCCAUGCAUGCAUCACAUUAGCUUACGUAAUUAAUCUUUCAAGUUGGACUCCACCUUGAUCACCAACUGAUGCCACCACGUGCUAGGACUCUUCUCAUAAUGCAUGAUGCUUAAUCCCCGCGUCGAAUGAUAAGAAUCCCACAUUAAAUCGAACUGUUCUGCUUGCUUCGGUAUAGUUUGCGUCACAUUUAUCUUGUAUAAAAAGUGUCAAGAUAAUUCAUUAUUAAAAGAUCAUUAUUAUGAUUAAAAAUCAUAAUAUUAUCCCCUAACAACAAUAAAAUUAUCUUAACUUUCCUAUCCGACGGUGUGGAGCAAUGCUCACUCAACGGCCUUGAUCGCACGGGCCGAUGAUGUAAAUUGAGGUCCAAACAACAACAGAAGCAGUUUUAAAAAUAAGAACAGCAAUCCCAAACUGGCCCUUAGUCGAGGCGAGUCCUCCUUUGUCCCAUUGAACUUAGUCCUGCCAGUGAACAAACACGGAUUACACUACCUUUUAACUUAAGCUAGUCCAGUGAGAGCUAAAAAGGCAAACAAACAUCCCCUUAAUCGUUUCUGUACAGAGACUGCUAAAGAAACAGCAUGAUCAAAAUCAAAGAAUCAUGAGGCGGCCCCAGCAAGCCCCUCAGCGGCUCUACGUCCCUCCGUCGUCGCGCGACGGAAACAGCCACGACAACUACGAAGACACCGACCUCGACAACAUCGAUUACGACGACAACGAUGGUUCCAAGGACCCCGGGAGUGACGACAACAACCACGGCAACGCUGGCAGCGGUGAUGAAGAAGUCGAUCCUCUGGAUGCUUUCAUGGAGGGGAUUCAUGCGGAGGUGAGGUCAGCUCCGCCGCCGAAGCUGAAAGUGAAGGCCGAGAAGUACAGGGACGAUGAGGAGGAGGAUCAUAUGGAGAGGUUUCUGAGGGCUAAAAGGGACGUGGUGCUCACGCUGGCAUCAGAUGCUUUACACACCAGAUAUGACUCCGAUGAAGAGGUAUAUGCGACCGCCAAGGCCGUCGAUGCCGGGUUGUUGGAGUACGAUUCAGAUGAUAAUCCCAUUGUUCUGGACAAGAGGAAGAUCGAGCCGAUUUCAGCUCUCGAUCAUAGUUCAAUCGACUACGAGCCGUUUAAUAAGGAUUUUUACGAGGAGAAAGAGUCGAUUUGAGGUAAAUUCCAACCGAACUGAGAAUUUGGUUUCUUUCUUUUUUUCUUUCCAUUCACAUUUGUUUUUUAAAUUUUUGUGUGAAUUUAGUCGAAAUGCGUAGCAAAGUAUUUAAAUUUAAGUGGGAGAGAAUAUUGACCGGUAGAAGUUCUCAAGGAGAGAUUUGAAAUGGAAGACUAGAGUUAACUGGUGUUUUGGUUUCCUUGUUUAGGGAUGAGUGAGGAGGAUGUUUUUUAGUACAAGAAGAGCUUGGCCAUCCGUACGUCGGGGUUUGAUGUACCGAGGCCAGUUAAGACAUUUGAAGAUUGUGGAUUUUCUUCACAACUCAUGGCUGCCAUAAAAAAACAAGACUACCAAAAGCCGACACCAACACAAUGCGUAGCUCUACCCAUAGUUCUUUCCCGGAGAGAUAUAAUUGGUAUUGCGAAAACUGGUUCUGGAAAGACUGCCACUCUUGUCCUUCCAAUGAUUGUCCACAUUAUGGAUCAGCCAGAGCUUCAAAAAGAAGAAGGUCCAAUUGGAGUGAUAUGCGCUCCUACUAGAGAGCUGGCGCACCAAAUAUACUUAAGAGUCCAAAAAAAUUGCAAAAUCACAUGGGAUACGUAUCUCUGCUGUAUAUGGUGGAAUGUCUUAAGCUUGAUCAGUUCAAAGAACUUAAGGCAGGAUGUGAAAUAGUUUUUGCUACUCCUGGGAGAUUGAUCGACAUGCUUAAAAUGAAGGCACUGACAAUGCUUAGGGCAACUUACCUAGUACUUGAUGAGGCUGAUCAGAUGUUUGACCUUGGGUUUGAGCCUCAAAUUAGAUCUAUUGUUGGUCAGAUUCGGCCAGACCGACAGACAUUGCUCUUUUCUGCGACAAUGCUCCGUAAAGUUGAAAAAUUGGCUAGGGAGAUUCUCUCAGAUCCUAUAAGAGUUACAGUGGGUGAGGUGGGAAUGGCCAAUGAGGAUAUCACUCAGGUUGUUCAUGUAAUUCCUUCUGAUGAUGAGAAGCUGCCCUGGCUUUUUGAGAAGUUACCAGGAAUGAUUGAUGAGGGUGAUGUUUUAGUAUUUGCUUCAAAAAAAGCUGCAGUGGAUGAGAUCGAGUCACAGCUUGCUCAGAAAGGUUUUUAAGUCACAACUCUGCAUGGUGACAAGGACCAAGCAUCUCGGAUGGAUAUUUUGCAAAAAUUUAAAUCUGGCAUUUACCAUGUUCUUGUUGCAACUGAUGUUGCUGCUCGUGGUCUUGACAUCAAGUCAAUUAAGUCAGUUGUGAACUUUGAUAUUGCAAAAGACAUGGACAUGCACAUCCAUUGAAUUGGUAGAACAGGUCGGGCUGGUGAUAAGGAUGGCACUGCGUACACUCUUAUUACACAGAAAGAGGCACGUUUUGCUGGUGAGUUGGUUAAUAGCUUGGUUGCUGCUGGUCAGAUUGUCUCCACGGAGCUCAUGGACCUUGCGAUGAAGGUAAUUUUGCAUUACUAUUAACAUUUUUUUUUUGUGGUUUAUAUAGCGAGUUUAUACAUGCAUCCAACUACUUGCCUUUUUGUUUUAGAGAUGGUGGUUAUAACCUUAGUUUGUAAUCCUAUAAUGCAUUUAAGGCGAAUACAAGUUAUUAAUAUGUUCUCUGGUAAAACGUGCUCUUUUUAAUGCAAUAUGGAUUCUGGACAAUUACACCUACUGGUGUUUGUCUCACAAAUAAACUACGUUAUCUUCACUCUACUAUAUAGGUGCAUAGGUUGCUUCUGAUUUAGAGUGCGCUUUCGAGAGAGAUGGAUUUGAUGACCAUUUGGUCUUCAAGGCCUUAUUUUGGAAAGCUUUAGUAUGUCCUUGGAAUUACAGGGAUCUUGAGAUCGUUGACUUCAUAACGUCAAGAUAGUCAAUUUCAGGAAAUGUGCUUAGUUUAGGGAGAGAGUAAUUAGACAGUCUUUAGUAGUCCCAUCUUUACUUCAUACCAUGCUCUGCUUAGAAAAGGGGUUGUUGGGGGUGUAUGUUGGCUUGUUGGGUUGUGGAUUGAAGCAUAGAGAUGACUUGAAGAUGAAGCUCAGUCUGGGGACGUAAUAACUUUUGUGUAUUAUUAAGUACUCGCUUGCAUUCUGGGCUACCAAUACAUCGGUUGAGGCCAACCAAUUUGCAUUUAAGAACUAAGAGAAAAAUCGCAUUUUAAGUACUAAAUCUUAAUUACCACAUGGACCCUUAGUAAAUUGUCACUUAUUUUCCCUUGUGCCAAUAUAUCUCAUAGACAUAAAUGCACAGCUUAUCAUGAUAGGUGGCUGCACCUGCAUUAGUUUUAGAAGUUUUACACUAUGAGAGCCACUCAUGCAUCAUUUCUUCAGUCUUGUGACUUUUAAUUCUUGCCUUGCUGCUUGUAGCUUUGUAUUUUAUAUCCAUCAUAAAUACACUGGUUUCCAUCUCCUACAUGGAUGUGCAGUUAUUUUGGGUGCACCUUGUCUGUGGAACUUUUGUUGCUUUCCCUUACUAUGUUUCUUGUUUGAUAGCUUUAGAUGUUAUGUUAGAUUUCAGAUUUUACAUUCUCUAUUUUAAUGGGAUUUACCUUGUUUAUUAUCAGGAUGUUAGAUUCAUAUCAAAAUGUGAUUCAAGAAAAGGAGUUAUAAACUUUAAUCAUAUUAAAAUUUCAAUUUUCUUAAGGUUCUUUUGCAAUUUCAUAUUAAAUAAGCCUUUUUCUACAAUUCAAAUGAUGAUAUUAUAUGGAUUCUGCAGGUGGAAAGAAAGGUAGAGGGAGGGGCGGCGGUGGUCGAGGUGUGCGUGGGGUGGAUUUUGGUCUGGGUAUUGGAUAUAAUACGGAGUCCAAUAGUUCUUCAUCGAAUACUGUUCCUAGUCGAUCUGUUGCAGUAACUCCUCAGAGGACAGGAAUGAUGUCUCAGUUCAAGACUAAAUUUGUUGCCGCUUCAUCUAACUCUCCAAGUCAAGGUUCAGCUAACAGCUCUAGUGUGCCCAACAGACAGGCAUUACGAGGAUUUGUAUCCGGUGGUUCAAUAGGUGGUGAUGUAUAUAGAACUCAGGCAACCAGUACAAUUACUCCUGCUCCUGCUCCAACAUCAAUGGUAAAUAAAACUGCUACUCCGAACACUGGACAAAAUUCAAGUCAGAAACCCUCCGAAAGGUUAAUUAAACUGAUGCUUGGUUAGAAUUUUUUAUGUCUUUACUUAUUUGAUUGGUGUUGAGCAGUUUCAUUUGUGCCGAUUGCAGUUCUAGAGAUAAACCCAGAGAAAGGCGGAGGCGCUCCGUUUGGGACUGUUAACCGUACAGUUGAACUACACCACUCUCGCAUAAUGAAUUACAAGUUUUACUUUUGUUGUAGGUCAAGUCCUGAUAUUCCUAUAUUAUUGUUGAUCUUUGUCACUUUCUUUGUCGCUCUGUUUAUAAGUUAAAAGAAACAGAAGAUUUUGUAAACUCAGAUCGACUUGUUGCACAAAUAGUGGAUGAUUUAAAACAUAGACUGUUCGUAUCAUUAAAAUACGUUAUGAAGUAGAUUCUACAAAAAGUUGUGCCGUGUAAAAAAAAUUGUGAUGUUUCACAUGUGCUCCGUAUGUUAUUUAUAUUAAUCAUUCUGAAUUACAUCAUAACUCAACGACUUGGUAUAUAAUACAAUAAGGCCUUGUUGGAUGUCAAUGAUUUGAUUGGUUAUGACUGGAUUAGAUUGGCUUAGUUUGGAAAAUUCACUAGAUUCAGUGAAUGUUGAAAGAAAAUAUGGAUUGCUAUUUUGUUCAAGUGAAGAUGGAAGAGAAAAAGAAUAAGACAAGUAUAACAAAUCAAAUAUUGACGGAGCAUGCAUAGGUUUUUAAUUACAACUAUUCGUCAAUUGGUGCUUAUAAUUUUUGGUUUUAAAUGCUAUUAUCUCUUAAAUAAAAUAAUUAUGUUGCUUUAGUCUCCUCAUCGUAUUAUACGUGUCGAAUUCGUGUGAAGUCUGGUGGGACAAGAGAGAGAUAAGGAGGUUGACUUUGAUCAAUUGACCUCCUUUCCAUAGCCAUUUUUCUUUACCUUCAUCCCCUUACACAAAGUCCAUUCUUAAGAUCUCUAGUUCUCUCUCAAUGGCUGCUAAAAGUUCCCGAGAUUCUUCUUCGUCCUCUUACCAGUGUUCCUAUCAUGCCUUCUUGAGUUUCAGAGGCCAGGACACGCGCAGGGGCUUUACUGAUCACCUCUAUAGAGCUUUGGAGCUAGCAGGAAUCCACACCUUUAGAGACGAUGAUGAAAUCAAGAGAGGGGAGAAUAUUGAGUCGGAGUUAGAGAAGGCGAUAAAGGAGUCACAAGUAUCCAUAAUUGUCUUCUCCAAGGACUACGCUUCCUCAAGGUGGUGUUUGAACGAACUUCUGAAGGUCGUGGAACGUAGAAAUACUGAUCGUAGACAUGUGGUUCUGCCAGUUUUCUAUGAUGUGGAUCCAUCCGAUGUCAGGAAGCAGAGUGGUACUUUUGCUGAAGCAUUUGCCAGACACGAGGAGCGAUUCAGUACGGAGGAGAUGGACAAGGUGGAGCUGUGGAGAAGAGCUCUUAGACAUGUUGCAAGUUUGGGAGGCAUGGUUUUAGGAGAUCGGUAAUUUCUAUUCUCAUUAUGUUCUCACGCUAAUUGAAAGUGUCUUUUAAAUUAAGUAAAAUUGUAGAUGGCAGUGAAACUUGAAGUUGUUCGCCUAUAUAUACUGCAACUUUGAUUUAUAUGUUCCUAUCGAUUCAAAUGAAUUACAGGUAUGAGGGGCAGUUCAUCCAAGAUAUUGUUGGAGAGAUUAGAAAUAAAGUGGAUCACGUAGCUUUAGACGUCGCUCCCUUUGCAGUUGGAAUGGAUGCUCGUGUGAGACGCCUAAACAUGUGGUUACAAGAUGGAUCAAAUGAUGUUGGUUUAGCUGUCAUCUGUGGGAUGGGUGGAAUUGGCAAGAGCACCAUCGCGAAAGCCGCUUAUAACCGCAACUUUGAUAGAUUUCAAGGUAGCAGCUUUCUUGCAGAUAUACGAGAAUCUUCAGAACAACCCAAUGGUUUUGCUCUCUUGCAAAGAAAACUUCUUUCAGAUAUCCAAAACGGGAAAGCAAAGAAAGUAUACAAUAUGGAUGAAGGAACAAUCAGGAUCAAACAAGCCGUAGGUUAUAAAAAAGUUCUUAUUGUUCUUGAUGAUGUGAGCAACCGGGAUCAACUCAAUGCAAUUCUUGGAAUGCGAGAGUGGCUUCAUUCAGGAAGUAAAAUUAUCAUAACAACUCGACAUGAACAUUUGUUAAAUGCUCACGAUGUUUUUGAAAAGUUUAUGGUUCAAGAACUGAAUGAGUACGAAUCACUUGAGCUUUUCAGUUGGCAUGCCUUCAGACAAUCCCAUCCGGAAGAAGGUUACAAGGAGCUUUCAAGACAUGUGGUGCAGCACUGUGGAGGGCUUCCUGUAGCUCUUCAAGUUCUGGGAUCUUCUCUAUCUGGAAAAAGUGUAGAAGUAUGGCAAAGUGCAUUGCAGAAGUUAGACGUGAUCCCUAAUGACAAAAUUCAAAAAGUUCUGAGGAUAAGUUUUGAUUCUUUACAGGAUGAUCAUGACAAAAAUUUAUUCCUUCAUAUAGCCAGUUUCUUCACAGGAAAGACGAUGGAUUAUACAAGUACAAUGUUGGACAGCUUAAAGUUUUACACAAGGAUUGGGAUUGAAAAUCUAGUUGACAGAUGCCUAGUGAAAAUUCAAGGCUCGAACAGGUUGUUGGUCAUGCAUCAAUUGGUGAGAAACAUGGCAAUGGAAAUUAUUUGUGAAGAAUCACCUGAUGACCCUGGAAAACGUAGUAGAGUGUUGCAGAAAGAUGCCUCUAAUAUUUUGAGAAAAUUAAGUGUAAGAACUAUGUUUUCAUGUAUAUGUAUUUUUAGUUAUGAUUUGUUGUCCAGUACUAGUUAUAUACUUAUUCAAUGCUCUGAUUUGUUAGCAGGGUACGGAAAAUAUUAAGGGCCUCAUGCUUAACCUUGCUAGCAAAAUAACGUUUGUUGGAUGUCAUAAAAAACGAUGCCAUGAUGAAGAUUAUGAUGGAAAUUGUUCAAGACGACGUCGUCUUGGUUUCUUCUCUUGGAAGCCAGUUAGCUUUCCGUCCACAAACUCAGCUUCUGCAUCAAAUGAGAUAGAUUUCAAAUCUGAGGCGUUUAGAAGGAUGCACAAUCUUGAAAUUCUCAUGCUCAACAACGUCAACGUCAGGGGAAGCUACGAAGAAUUUCCAAAAAGUUUAAUAUGUUUAUCUUGGAGAGGAUUCCACUUAAAAUCAGUACCAGAAAAUUUUUAUUUGGAAAACCUGGUUGUUCUUGACAUGCGAAAUAGUAGCCUACAACAUGUUUGGAAUGGGAUCAGGGUACGUAACUCUCUCUCUCUCUCUCUCUCUCACUCACUCUCACACACACUUUCUCUCACACAUGUCCAUUAUAUCUUCUUAGAAAUUGAUUAAUACUUCUUAUUGAAAACAGUUCUUUCCGAGGCUGAAGAUUCUUAAUCUCAGUCAUUCGCAUGGCCUUAGGACAACCCCUGACUUCUCAGGACUCCCUAACCUUGAGAGAUUGAUUCUUAAACAUUGCAUAAAUUUGGUUGAGGUUGAUGAGUCCAUCGGAUACCUAGAGAAACUUGUUGUUUUGAAUCUAGAAGGCUGCAAAAAUCUCAUGAAGCUUCCAAAAUUGAGAUCUAUUCAGGAUCUUAUUCUUUCUGGUUGCUCAAAGCUUGUGCUUGGUGCCAAUACGACUGCCACAACUGGUCACUUACAAUCUACAGCUUGUGAAUUGAAGAAACUCAAUCUGCUAUCAGCUAAAUCAUGGUAUUCAAUCUGGUCGCGGGUGUCCCCAAGAAAAAAUAUUGAACCAAGCAGUUUCUCAUUGGCAAGUUUACCACAUUCCUUGACAAGUUUAAGUCUGGAUAGCUGCAAUCUAUCAGAGAUUCCGAGUGCCCUUACUAUGCUGUCUUCGUUAGAGUACUUGGAUCUGAAUAAGAAUCCAAUUACAAGCCUACCAGAGAGCAUGAACAAUCUUGUUAAGCUUCACACUCUUGCAGUAGAUGGUUGCAGAAACCUCACAAUGCUUCCAGAGCUCCCACAUAGUUUGAAACAAUUGAAUGGUAGAGGUUGCACAUCAUUGAAAAGAAUAACAAAUUUACCGAACUUGCACAUAUUACCGGCCACACAUCCCUUCGGCAUGCAAAAGGACAUAGAUUUAAAGUAUUACAACAUAUUAUUGGACUCAAAUUUAUGGUAUUGUGGGAAACUAGUUGAUGUUGUAAGCUUGUUUAAUACACUACCAUUGAGCAGCUUUGACAUAAAACUCCUCAAAGAUAUCGAUCUAUUCGAUUUGAAACCCAACGGUGGCGUUGAGGUCCAAAGGAACAGCGAUUGUGCAAGUUUUGGCAAGCCCAGGCGCUCCAAGGUUCUUCUCUCUCUCUCUCACUGCUAUGUACAAGUGCUUAUAAUAUGAUCUAUGGCGUAAACAAUUAGAUUGUAAUCACAUCACCAUGAAACUGCAGGGAACUUUUGAAUGCGGCAUAUUUAGCAUAUUUGUCCACGAGAGCAAGAUUCCAGAUCGGUUCAAUUACAGGAGCAUGGGUAACAGUGUGUUCUCUAUUAUUGUUCCUUCACAGCCUAAUAUCAAGAUCGUAGGUUUAAAUGCAUGUAUAUUGUAUGCCCGGCAAUCGGAUCGAAGCCCUGAGAUUGCACUUGGAAACUAUCAUUUCUAUUCGCUUGAACUUAGGAAUGAGACAAAGGGCCUUAAGUGGCGUUUACCUAUGUUCAAUGAGGUUGAAUGGAGGGUGAUGAACGAAGAUAUGUUAUGGCUAAGCCAUUGGAUUAUGGGGAACGAUGAAUUGGAAUGCGGGGAACAAGUGCGUUUUGAAAUAAUCGGAGUGCAAGACGGUUUCGUCACAAAGGAGAUUGGAGUCCAGUUUGUGUACGAGCAGCAAAAUAAGGAUAAGGAGGAUGUCCCAUCAAGUAGUGAAGAUCCAAUGAUCCUACCUGACAGAUCGUUUCGGGUCUGGAGCAAAGUAUCGCCUUGGCACUGGAGCGUAGGUUUCGCUGGAAGGGGUGGCCCUAUUGGGAGAGAGACCGGGGUGGAAUACAUCCAUAACAAUGAGAAGAAAGUUAUUUCAACUGUCAUGUGCGCGGCUCAAUACAUUCUCUGUAACCAUGAAGUGAUCGAUCUUGAGAAUGAAUCCCGCAUGACCCCGUAGUAACAACGAGUGCUCUAAACUAUUACCCAGUUUAAUUCAAAUUGAUGGUGAUGAUGCACAAAUCACUAAAUUCAAAUGUGUAUUGGUUGUUAUGCUUCGUUUCUAUCUAUUUUCAAUUUUUCCCUAAAAAAUUGUUUUCAAUAAUUUAAUAUACAAAAUUUCAUACCAAACAAAUUCUUGCCUGUAUAAAGUAUGAAUUUAAAACCUGUUUUUAAGAAAAAUAAAGUUUCAGACCCCAACUAGAAAAUAAGCCCACGAGUUGUGGCGGGAACUAACUGUUUCAGGCGUAACUGCGUGAAUAAGACACAUUUCACAUGUAACUGAAUAAAUAAGACACAAAGUGCAGGAAGUAAAGCUCAUAUUUAGCAGUGUUAUUUUAACAACAAUUGUUCAAGUGGUGGAUUGCCCCCGGUGGGUUGGGCAUUUCUCUUAGUCCUACUGCAUUCCGGGUUCAAAGUUCCAACCAUCCCCCGUACCAGUUUAAGCACACCAAAGACCAAAUUUAGCAUGUUCUUUCGUCAUCCACCCAACCCCAGCAGAUAUACAAAAUUCAAAUAGAACUUGGCAAAUUCAUCCUCUUAAAAUACAAAACGAAAAUAAUUUAUGAUCACUGACCUCUGAGAAUCGAAUGAUAUUCGGAUUCUUCAAUGAUCUGUGGUUCUUGAUUUCCCCUUGAACAUGUUCAUCCAUCUGCAUCACCAAAAAAAAAAGUAUAUUUAAAAAAAAAUACAAAAUGAAAAUAGUUUAUGAUCACUAACCUCUUUGGAUCGAAUGAUAUUCGGAUGGUCCAGUGAUCUAUAGUUCAUGAUUUCCCUUUGAACAUGUUCAUCUAUCUGCAUCACCAAAAAAAUAAUAAAUAUUUAAAAAAAAAUACAAAAUUUAAAGGAUAAGAAUUGCGAAGAUUCUUAGGUCUUAGUUCGAAAUGUAAUAGCUCAUCUCACCUCCAUAUAUUACCAAAUCUUAGUCUAUAUGAUUUUGCCAGAGCCACCGAAUGUUGAAUAUAUAUCUGUUGAAUGUUCUACUACCAUCAACAUUAUAAAGGUUUCUAAUCGAAUCAUAUAUUUAAAAUCCAAGCAUGAAAGUUUUACAAAGAUAAAUAAACAAAUGUAAAUAACUAAUUAGGCAAUACACAGCAGAGAGGGGAGAGAGAGAGAGAGAGAGAGAGCAAUUGAAGGGAAUGCAUAGUUAUCUCUAUCUUCGGAAAAAAGAAAAGAAAAAAAGAGAGCAGUUGAAGGAGUGAGAAGCAAAGCAGCAUACCAAGUGGAGGGUAAGCAAUUAAGCAUAGUCAUCUCACGUACGGAUUGCCUGAGAACUGAUCUUUGCUUCUCUUCCUUAUGAUCCUCUUAAAUGCAAUUCUACACAUUUCUAAACCAAAAUUGCAAAGCAGAAUUCAAAGAAAUUUAAAGAAAUCUAGUAAAGAUUCAAACUUUUUUAUUAUCCAAAAGAUGUACAUAACCCCAUGUAACAAAAACAAAUUUAUGACACAAAAGAAAUUAUCUUUAGCCAACAAAAGCAAAAAAGAGAAAGAGAGAGAUUUUGCUUUUUGCACUAUGCAGAAUGUGCAGAGAAUCAAAAUAUCAUAACCCAUUUAACAACAUGAUAUUUUAGGCAAAAAGGCAUCACCUUUAGACCCCAAAUGAAAGAAUUUGAGAGAGAGCGCAUACGUGGUUGCCAAGAAGAGGAAGAGAGCAAUUCUAUUUCCUGUAAAAAUGAAGAAACAGAGCAUUAACAAACACACAUGCACAAAUCUCAAAAGGAAAUUGGUAAGAAAUAAUCGUAAUUGAGAAAAUAAUCAAAAAACUAGAGAGCACACAACUGGAGUCUAAUUCUACAGAACCCACGAGUCGACAAACAAAUAUCCAAAAUUAACAGAUUACAGUAACAACAUUCCAACAAAAGUAAGAAGACCAGAAAAAUUAUCUAUUCUAAAGUACAUUAGUUCCAUCAUGCAUAAAUCAAGGGAGUCACGGAAGGCCAGUAUCUUAAGGUAAUCCAACAUGUUAAAGCAUCCAAACAGAGACUCAGAAUUACAAAACGCAUGAAAAUUCACAUUCCAACGUGUUAUGGAAUCACCAAUUUCAGAUCAACCAAAAUCAAAUAAAUUUAUAUCAGUACGCAUCAAACCCACCAAACCCAAAAUCAAAAGAAGGUGAUCAAAUGUUUGAUUUUGCUAAAUAUUACAAAAUAAAAUAAAUAAGAAUAUGUACAAAUCAACAUGCAUACCUUGUAGCGGUGCAGGGAACAGUAGCGUGAGCUGCAUCGAGGGCAUGUGUACUGGGAAAAUUGCUACUGGCAGCUGCAACUAACAAAAACAAAAACAAAACAAAAUUGAAUAAAAUCAAAAUCGGAAAAAUUUCCAGAAAAUAAAUAAAACAAAUUAUCAAGCUUUGUUGAUGAAAGAGAGGUGGGGUUGGUGAAGAACAUACACGCGGCUAUGAGCAGUAGACAAAAGAUUUCAAAAUGAUUUCUUCACUUUUCAAUCAGGACAUGCACGAAUAUAAAAAUGGCAGAGAGGAUUAAAACCAUACCAAACACUAGAAAAUCAAGUAUAAAAAUCGUACUUACCUUGUGAAUGAGGACAUGCAGACACAUGAUGGAUGAAGGACAGCAAAUCCCGCAUACACGAACCUAACUUGCCACUGUUCGCCACCCCCACCCCUCCCUAUCUCUCUCUCCCUGCAAUCGCGACGAUUUCUGUCACUGUCACCCUCCCACUCCCGAAUCGAAUAUCCGCACGAAAUCUCUCUCUCUCUCUCUCUCUCUCUCUCUCUCUCUCUCUCUCUCUCUCUCUCUCGCUCGGUUUCUCUCACUGUCACCCUCCCACUCCCGAAUCGAAGAUCCGCACGAAAUCUCUCUCCCUCUACAAGCGGCAUGGCCGCUGUCCCUCUCUGUCUGCCCUCACCAUCAAUCCCAAUCCCAAAAUUAAGAUGACAAAAGUGCCCUGCAACCCUUUAAUUCUAGCCGCGUGAUCCUAACCCUAGAUGAAUAUUUCUGGAAUUUGAACACCCAAAGUAUCUCAUCAAAUGUGGAUGUACCCACAGUAUGAAUCUGAGAAUUUCUCAAUUCAACUCUCGAAAUUACUGUGACAGUAUUAAUAUAUCAUGUGGAAUGAGGUGGUAUUAUGGUAAAAGAUAGAACUUUAGCUGAUGGUAAACAACAUUUGGGAAUUUGAUGUAAGCCGGCUGGGAAUCCCAAAUGUUGUUUACCAUAAGCUAAAAUUUAAUCUCUGAUUAAAAAAAUAAUAAUAAAAAGCACACCUCAAACUGACAAGGACCAUAAUUUUCAAGUGACACUGCUUUUCAAUGGUUACCAUAAAAAAAAUAAUAAUAAAAGAACUGAUCAUUUGAAUUAUUCAUGACAGAACCAAUUUUGAUUUGAAAUAUGAUGGCCAAGAACAAAUCACACUGCUUUUCAAUGGUUACCAUAAAUUUUCAGAAGUUACAGAAGAUUUUUUUAUCAAAUGAAAAGACAAUGGUCACAUAUAUCUACAAUUAACCACCAGUAAGCGUGAAAUAUUACAUCACAAUGCAAUAGCAGCUAUACAGGAUGCCAUGCCAUUCAUACUAUGACAAAUCACAAAAGUGACAAUUAAAGGGCACCUAACAGACACCCCCAUCUCUCUCUCUGCAAUAGCAGAAAUCCCUCGGGUUUCAGAAAGCAAAUGGAAAACAAAAUGCUUUUACAUCCCCUACCCAUACCCAUACCUCCCUUUACCCGUUCCCUUUACCCUCGCAGAAAAUCCUCCCAUCUCUCUCUCACCCUUGUCCCAUCUCUCUGUCUGCAAAUCGCAGAAAAGAAACCCUGAACAAAUCACUUAAAUCCCUCGCCUAAAUCCUCCCACAUUUCUCUCAGACACCCCCUAUCUCUCUCUCUUUGCAAACCCUAAACCAAAUCUCCUAAAUCCUAUCUCGGACACCCCACACAAAGCCAAGAAGCCAAGAUAUUAAAGCAAUCUCUACAUAAUACUAUGGAACAAUGAAGCAAAAUGGUACUUACUUGUUCCUUGUCCAAAACCGUUGGUGCCACCGCACAUUGUUAUCAAUUGUGGGUUGAUCAAAUCCUUCAUGGCUUAGACUGCAUGAAGAAUUAGAAACUAAAAGAUGAAUAUAUGCUGUAAAUCAUCAUAUAAAUGUAAUUGCAUUUAAAAAAAGAAGGGAAUGAAAAAAUUGAAUUCUAUUUCAUCAGUAUGUAACUGCAUGAAAAGUUACAUUGAAUGCAAACUCAAUCAAUUUCCCCAAAGUCAUUGUUAACUGAAAAUCAAUACCAAACCCAUAUAUACCACCAUUGAAUUUGCGAAACCCAAAAACAAAAUACAAAAAUUUACUCAUAUAAUCACAGAAAAACAUGAAAUUUGAGCACACAUUUGGCAAAGUUAAAGGAUAAAGGCACUCACAUCAUCGUAGUACUCUUUGGGAAGAUCUUCUAAUACUGGUUCUUCCUUUUUCUUGCUCUUCCUCAGAGCUGCCAUAAAAAAACCCAGAGAAGCACACAAAUUCAGAAAAGAAGAGGUCCAAAACUGCCAUAAAAAAUCCAGACAGCAUACAAAUUUAUCAGAACAAAAACCAAAUGAUGUGAGUGAUAGUGAGAGAGGUUGUGUUAGGCACCUGAAACACGUUUUGGUUUCAAUUGAAACGGCCAGAGCGUUGCAUGUGAGGAAGAUGACGAUAGGAUAUCCACAUUCUUUUUUCUUGGGUGAACUAACCAAACCAUAUUAUAUACUAAAACGACAUAAAAAAUCAUUAACAAAAUCACAACAAAAUAGAACAAAAACAUUCACAAAAGAAUUCCCCAAGUUUUCAAAUGGAAAUUAAACAUUUACAUAGCUUAUAUAAAAAGCCAAAAUAUAAAAAAUUAAUCAAAAGGUUGAGAUAACUCACAUCCCAGUAAUGCUUAUUGCUGAUAUUAACACCCACUGACAGCAGCCCUCGGUUUGUGGAAUUCCCACGCCCAACUCCAUGACCUCUCUCUCUGCCAUCCCUCUCUCCCUCACAACCAUACCCACUUUCGACCCACCCCUCAAUCCCGACACCAACCCUUGAUUUAAGGAGGAAAAAUCAAUACAACCACCCUUUUCGCAAGCCUCACUCCUCCCGCUCCCUUCCCCUCCCUGCCAAUCCCAUGCCCAUCUCCCUUGUUGUAGCUCUGCAACCCACGUUUUUUGGCACCAAACACUAUGUCCUAGGAUGAUGUGACAAUUUAUCAAAGUCAGAAAAUGCAUUAUCUCAGUUUAGGUUGGUAGCAUAUAUGAUCCCCGUGCAGCAACAUAGAAUACUUAGUAAAAGUUGCAUUUCUGAGAACAAAUAACCAAGAUGCUUGACCGAAAAAACAAUGCAGAUGCUUUAGUAAUACAGAAUUACAGUUUUAUUCAAGCUUCUCAGUCACAAACUAACCUUCCUUUGUCGAGCAGCAAGGAAGAGGGGGCGAAAAUUGAUUCCUGGAUGAGCUUUUUCGUUCAAAACUAAGUCGAGCUGCAAGGACGAAGGGUCGAGGAUUGUUCGUGAGCUGGUGUUGCGGAUAUAAACAUAUAGAAAGCUCCACUGUGUCAUAACAAACACAAAUCAAAUAUGAUCACCAUGUCACAUUAAUUACCUAAAAUUCAAAAUGUUAUAUACAUUAGUAUGUUGAACAAAACUCCGCCUAUGUAAGUUUAUCUUACAUUGCCGGUCCCAAGCCCGGAUAAAGGAGGAGGGGGAGGGCGUCAGGUAGUCGACAGCCGGCACUCCAUGAUCACGUCGAAUCCUUAUGAAAAUGAAUCCAGAACGAAAUCGCGCUAAAGCUAGGGCGUCACCCGUAAGUGGCGCGCUGUGUAGCCCGAGCACAGUGAUAAGUGAGCAAGGGUCGCUGUAUCUCCAUCGGCACCCGGAUACAGUGUUAAAUGAGCAAGGGGGCCAUAGAAACUUCUUUUCGAACGACUCCACUCAAAGUUGUUUGGGAGCAUAUGCUCCUAUCAACUUUACACGGGACACACAAAAGAAGUACUUUGAUCCUAUUAGACGGGAGAGGGUGAAGAAGCUAGGACAGAAGGGUAGAGUUCAAGAGAGCAAAAUGCGUUUAGGAACGUGGAAUAUAGGAACCUUGACGGGAAAAUCUAUGGAAGUAGUGGAAGUUAUGGUGAGGAGAAGGAUAAAUAUUAUGUGCCUACAAGAAACUAAGUGGGUUGGUCGUAAGGCAAAGGAUCUAGAAAACUCAGGGUUUAAACUAUGGUAUUCGGGCACAAAUAGAACGAGAAACGGUGUUGGCAUCAUCGUGGACAAGACCUUGACACAAGAUGUUGUAGAUGUCAAGAGGGUAGGAGAUAGAAUCAUGGCAAUCAAGAUUGUAAUAGGACAAGAACUUAUCAAUGUGAUUAGUGCGUACGAACCUCAAGUAGGGUUGGAUACGAGUUCGAAGGAGAAAUUUUGGGAAGACCUUGGAGACUUGGUGCGAGGAAUUGCUCAGACGGAGAAGUUAUUUAUAGGAGGAGAUUUAAAUGGACACGUGGGCAGGGAGACAGGCAACUAUGGAGGUUUUCAUGGUGGCCAUGGUUUUGAGGAGAGAAACGAGGAUGGGGAAGCUAUCUUGGAUUUUGCAAUGGCAUAGAGGAGGGGGAGGGCGUCAGGUAGUCGACAGCCGGCACUCCAUGAUCACGUCGAAUCCUUAUGAAAAUGAAUCCAGAACAAAAUCGCGCUAAAGCUAGGGCGUCACCCGUAAGUGGCGCGCUGUGUGGCCUGAGCACAGUGAUAAGUGAGCAAGGGUCGCUGUAUCUCCAUCGGCACCCGGAUGCAGUGUUAAAUGAGCAAGGGGGCCAUAGAAACUUCUUUUCGAACGACUCCACUCAAAGUUGUUUGGGAGCAUAUGCUCCUAUCAACUUUACCCGGGACACACAAAAGAAGUACUUUGAUCCUAUUAGACGGGGGAGGGUGAAGAAGCUAGGACAGAAGGGUAGAGUUCAAGAGAGCAAAAUGCGUUUAGGAACGUGGAAUAUAGGAACCUUAACGGGAAAAUCUAUGGAAGUAGUGGAAGUUAUGGUGAGGAGAAGGAUAAAUAUUAUGUGCCUACAAGAAACUAAGUGGGUUGGUAGUAAGGCAAAGGAUCUAGAAAACUCAGGGUUUAAACUUUGGUAUUCGGGCACAAAUAGAACGAGAAACGGUGUUGGCAUCAUCGUGGACAAGACCUUGGUACAAGAUGUUGUAGAUGUCAAGAGGGUAGGAGAUAGAAUCAUGACAAUCAAGAUUGUAAUAGGACAAGAACUUAUCAAUGUGAUUAGUGCGUACGCACCUCAAGUAGGGUUGGAUACGAGUUCGAAGGAGAAAUUUUGGGAAGAUCUUGGAGACUUGGUGCAAGGAAUUGCUCAGACGGAGAAGUUAUUUAUAGGAGGAGAUUUAAAUGGACACGUGGGCAGGGAGACAGGCAACUAUGGAGGUUUUCAUGGUGGCCAUGGUUUUGGGGAGAGAAACGAGGAUGGGGAAGCUAUCUUGGAUUUUGCAAUGGCAUAUGAUCUCUUCUUAGCCAACACCUUCUUUAAGAAGAGAGAAGAACAUGUGAUCACCUACAAGAGUGGGUCGUCAAAAACACAAAUAGAUUUUCUUCUAAUGAGGAAAGGGGAUCGUAUAACUUGUAAGGAUUGCAAAGUUAUACCAGGAGAGAGCGUGGCUAAUCAACAUCGCUUGUUGGUGAUGGAUGUACAUAUCAAAAGAGUAAGACAAAAGAACAAGACUUGGAAGUGCCCAAGGACUAGAUGGUGGAAUCUAAAAGAAGAAAAAACAAGCCAUUUUCAAAAGAGAAGGUAAUCACCCAAUGUGUGUGGGAUAGAGAGGGGGAAGCUAGCCAAAUGUGGAAUUCCAUGGCUAGUUGUAUCCGAAAAGUAGCAAAAGAGGUAUUAGGAGAGUCCAAGGGCUUUGCCCCACACCAAAAGGAAUCUUGGUGGUGGAAUGAGGAGGUACAAACAAAGGUGAAGGCUAAGAAGGAAUGUUGUAAAGCCUUAUACAAGGAUAGGACCGAUGAAAAUGGUGAAAGGUAUAGAAAAGCGAAGCAAGAGGCGAAGAAAGCUGUCAGAGAAGCUAAGUUAGCGGCUUACGACGAUAUGUAUAAACGACUAGAUACCAAAGAAGGAGAGUUGGAUAUCUAUAAACUAUCUAGAGCAAGGGAAAAGAAGACAAGGGACCUAAACCAAGUGAGGUGCAUCAAGGAUGAGGAUGGAAAGGUUCUUGCUACAGAGAACGCGGUUAAAGACAGAUGGAGAGGUUAUUUUCAUAAUCUUUUCAAUGAAGGACAUGAAAUGAGUGCUUCUUUAGGGGAGUUGAGUAACUCAGAAGAGUGUAGAAACUACUCUUUUUAUCGUAGAAUCCGGAAGGAAGAAAUGGUUGUAGCUUUGAAGAAGAUGAAGCAUAGAAAAGCAGUAGGCCCAGACGAUAUACCAAUCGAAGUGUGGAAAGUUUUGGGAGAGACAGGUAUAACAUGGCUCACUGACCUUUUCAAUAGGAUUUUGAAAACGAAGAAGAUGCCAAAUGAGUGGCGAACGAGCACUUUGGUGCCUAUCUACAAGAAUAAGGGCGACGUACAAAAUUGCAUGAACUAUAGGGGUAUUAAGCUAAUGAGUCAUACAAUGAAGCUCUGGGAGAGAGUCAUUGAGCAUAAAUUGAGGCAAGAGACACGGGUUUCGGAUAACCAAUUCGAGUUCAUGCCAGGGCGCUCAACCAUGGAGGCAAUCUAUCUCUUACGAAGAUUGAUGGAAAGAUAUAGAGAUGGGAAAAAGGAUUUACACAUAGUCUUUAUAGAUUUGGAAAAAGGAUUUUAGAGAAAGGAGUACGAGUAGCAUAUAUCCAAGCUAUAAAGGAUAUGCAUGAAGGAGCAAAGACUGCCGUAAGAACUCAUGAAGGACAAACCGAAAGCUUUCCCAUAACUGUAGGAUUACAUCAAGGCUCAUCCUUAAGUCCUUACCUUUUUGCGUUGGUAAUGGAUGAGUUAACAGGACAUAUUCAAGAUGAUAUUCUUUGGUGUAUGCUUUUCGCAGACGAUAUAAUGUUGAUAGAUGAAACUCGGGAAGGGGUAAAUGCAAAGCUUAACCUUUGGAGAGAAGUGUUGGAAUCUAAAGGUCUUCGCCUAAGCCGAGCAAAGACAAAAUAUAUGGAGUGCAAGUUCAAUGCAAAUGGAGGCCAAAACGAGUUAGGGGUGAGGAUCGGAGAUCAAAAAAUACCAAAGAGCGACCGUUUUCGUUACCUAGGAUCUAUCUUGCAAAAGAACGGAGAAUUAGAUGGAGAUCUCAACCAUAGAAUACAAGCUGGAUGGAUGAAGUGGAAGAGUGCAUCCGGCGUGUUGUGUGACCGCCGUAUGCCACUGAAGCUCAAGGGAAAAUUUUAUAGGACGACAAUAAGGCCGGCGAUGCUGUAUGGCACAGAAUGUUGGGCGGUGAAGCAUUAACACGUACACAAAAUGGGUGUAGCGGAGAUGAGGAUGCUUCGUUGGAUCUGUGGGCACACGAGAAAUGAUAAGAUUAGGAAUGAGGAUAUCCGGGGUAAAGUAGGAGUAGCCGAAAUUGAAGGAAAGAUGAGAGAAAAUCGGUUACGAUGGUUUGGACAUGUGCAAAGAAGGCCUACUGACGCUCCGAUUAGAAGAUGCGACUAUGGGACAGAGGUUCAGGGCCGAAGGGGUAGAGGAAGACCUAGGAAAACUUUGGAAGAGACCCUAAGAAAAGACUUAGAGUACUUGGAUCUAACGGAGGACAUGACACAGGACAGAACACAAUGGCGUUCUAAGAUUCAUAUAGUCGAUCCCACUCAGUGACUUGGAUUUUCCAAGUCUCCAACCGAGAAGUUUUCCUCACUCGGGAAAUUAAGGGAACACUACCUCAACCUACAUGCUCCACUCACAAAGCUUCAACAUACAAGCUUCAACAAAAGAAAAUUCAAAUAACUUAGCGAAGAAGGCUUUGGUGUAUUUAACACAAUACGUUGAAAUGAAGGAAAACUUAUUUAUUGAUAGCCCUGAUAAGUUACAAAUAUGUACAUAUACAUGAGUCAAAAUAAACAAACAAGAGGGAGCCUUCACAAAGGUCGCUUAGGAGAAGUCUCAGCAGUCGGUAGAGCCCCAGAAAGAAAAGGCACCGGAGGGGGAUCAUUCGGAGCCUCAGUACUGGACAGAACCCUAGAAGGAGGAGGCAUCAGAGGUUGAUCACUUGGAGCUUCAUUACGCGGUACAGCCCCAGAAGACGAAGGCAAUAAAUGCCUUUGGAACAAACCCACAAAUCUCUGAUGAUCAAGUAAAACCUGACCAUCAGAUUCUUUCAUCUGGUCAAGCUUCCUCUUCAUGUUUGUAGCAUAGUCAUGUGCGAGCCGGUGCAACUAUUUAUUCUCAUGCUUGAGCCCUCUAAUCUCCUGUUUGAGACUCAUCACUUCAGCCGCCAAUGAUUCAACUUGGCGGGUUCGAGCAAAUAGGCGUUGGGCCAUAUUAGACACAGAACCUGCACACUGAACACUGAGAGCCAGAGAAUCCUUAACAGCCAACUCAUCAAACCGUUUGGAAAGUAGUCUGUUAUCUUUGGGAGUGAGAACGUUCCUGGCCACUAUCGCAGCGGCCAUAUCAUUCUUCAUCACGGAAUCCCCAACGGUAAGAGGACCAGUAGGGGAGAUGAAGGAUGGGCGCCAUAUGUUGUUUGGAGAAGGCGGGGCUGCCUCUUCAACAAGGUUCAAGUCAAAACGACGGUCGGAGGGGCCAGACAUUUUCAAAGGUGUUGAAGAGAGAAGAGGUCGGACAAAUCAAGAUCUUAGAAGUGCAAGAAUGAAGCUUCUACUGGUGAAGAUUCAAGUGUGCUUUGGAACUUAAUGCUAGCCUCUAUAAAAAUCUGCACUAGACGAAGCUUCAGAAAUCGAAGAGGUGCCUGCUCAGAAAUCGAAGAGGCAUUUGCUUUCUCAAAAGCUGGGCUGCUCAGAGACCACGAGGGUCGACCUCAGAAAUCGAAGAGACGUUUGCUUUCUCAAAAGCUGGGCUGCUCAAAGACCACGAAGGCCGAUCUCAGAAAUCGAAGAGGCUUGCUUUCUCAAAAGCUGGGCUGCUCAGAGACUACGAGGGCCGAUCUCAGAAAUCGAAGAGGCACAUACUUUUCCAGCCUUGUCAACACCUGUCACACGCACACUCAGCUUUGCGGAAAUUAUUGGCAUUCUGUCGAAGAUUUCUGAUGAAGUAGAAAGCACAUGAAUCGUACUGUUCAAUCACCCACUUCCCACACGCAACAGUAGCUCGAGGGUACCACAGAUAACUUUGCCAAAGUUAUCUGACAAAGUUGAGACACGUGAAGCUUACAGCUCCCACUACAUCGCUCUGGCCAAGAAGGGUAAAAGAAUAACAAAGAAACAACACUAACAAAGUUUAGACACAUAAAUUUUGAAGGUCUAGCUACCAUAUUAUUACCCACAAGGGUAAAGGAACAGUACCAUUGCUAGAUAAUUGGAAGGUCCCGGUGUGUCAACCUCUGUACUUCGUGGCACGAUAGACUAGCAAACAUGCAUAACCUUUACUCACAUUCGAGAAAACACUUCCAACAAGAUUGCUUGCUCCAAUAUCGAAGAGGCACCGCCUUCCGAAUCUCGAGAGCCAGACUCCCAACAUGAUUACUUUCUCAAAAAUCGAAGAGAGGGUAAAGGAACAGUACCACUGCUGGAUAAUUGGAAAGUCCCUGUGUAUCAACCUCUGUGCUUCGUGGCAAUGUAGACUAGCAAACAUGCCCAACCUUUACUCACAUUCGAGAAAACGCUCCCAACAAGAUUGCUUGCUCCAAAAUCGAAGAGGCACCGCCCUCCGAAUCUCGAGAGCCAGACUCCCAACAUGAUUACUUUCUCAAAAAUCGAAGAGACACCGCUAUCCGAAUCUCGAGAGCCAGACCCCCAGCAGGAUUGCUUUCUCAAAAAUCGAAGAGGCAUCAUUCUCCGAAUCUUGAGAGCCAGAUCCCUGACAGGAUUGCUUGUUCGAAAACCGAAGAAGCACCACUUUCCCAACUUCAAGAGCUGGAUCUCCUUAGAUAAAGCUUGUCUGUAAUCUUCACACGCAACAUCAGCUUUCCAGAUACCACAGACCACUUUUUCAAAGUGCUCUGACAGAGUUAAAACAUGUGAAGCUGGCAGCUCCCACUACCGUGCUAUGACCAAGCAGGGUAAAGGAAUAGCAUUAUUACUUGAUGUUAGGGAGACUCAUAUAUAUGUCGACCUCCAUCCCCAAUGGACAGGCAGACCUGCAAAAAUGCUCAACCCUUCCUCUUAUCUGAGAGGGCACUCCCAACAAAGCCUUUCGAAAUAUUCAGCUUUCUUUCUUCCCGAUAAUACCUCUGCAAACAAGCUAUACUAGAGCAAGAAUAUCUCAUAUCAUCAGGGUUAAAAGCAAGAGUAUCCCAUAUCAUGCUUUUUCCCUGUCUUUUCCUUUGACCUUGUUCUUACCUGCAAAACAAGGAGAAAGAGAGCAAUCAGUCAGCACUUGGAAUCAAGCUUCCAGCCAGGAACUGACUGCCUGGAACCCCUUACCUGAGUACUUACCUGGCAUUGCUCUCGAGUACUCAUCUUCAACAUCUUAUGCUUCCAGGGAAGAUACCGCAUCUGCUUGAGGAACAGAUAGGGCAAGUGAGAAGGAUACAAAGAAGCAUGUGGAGACAAGCGUAACAGCACACGUGCCAAUACAUCCACUACUCUGUCAAAAGCAAAAGUAUCCCAUAUCAGCAGGGUCGAACGUACUCUAGAUUUGAUGGACUUGUUUUGACCCUCAAAUUCUUCAGUCGGCCUUAUACUUUGGAGGAAACCAAAAAACCCUCCAGCCCAGUUCAAGAAUAAGCCUGUGGAAAGUUACUUCUUCAAAAGCAAAAGUAUCCCAUAUCAUCUCUUCUCAUUUUUCUUCUCUUUAUCCUUCAUGCUGCCUGCAAGAUAGGGAGAAUGUGAACAAUCAGCCGGAGCUCUGAUUGCUUACCUUGUCUGUCACCUCUUUCAGCAGAUCCCCUAGCUCGGCGACUUGGGGGACUCCUACUACAUGGUUUGUAUCGCGCUUGACCAAGCCUGAAAUUACAAGUAAGCUUCAAGUGAAAUUGAUACAUUACCUUGUGCAUCUCCACCAGUUAAAGAUACCACCCCUGGAUGGAGGAAGAGUACUUCCAGAGAAGAUGCCACAUCUACCUAUGAGACAGAUAAGGCAAGUCAAGACGAUACCACACUCCGGUACUUAGAAGUUUCGUGAUUACGAGAUCAUUCUCCCACAAUAUUUCCUAAUGUCAUUUGUACUAAAUCAUUCACUUGUACUCACUAAAGGAGAGUUUGAACCUAUGUACUUGUGUAAACCCUUCACAAUUAAUGAGAACUCAUCUAUUCAGUGGACGUAGCCAAUCUGGGUGAACCACGUACAUCUUGUGUUUGCUUUCCUAUCUCUAUCCAUUUAUAUACUUAUCCACACUAAUGACCGGAGCAAUCUAGCGAAGAUCACAAAAAGCGAUCGUUUUCGCUACCUAGGAUCUAUCUUGCAAGAGAACGGAGAAUUAGAUGGAGAUCUCAACCAUAGAAUACAAGCUGGAUGGAUGAAGUGUAAGAGUGCAUCCGGCGUGUUGUGUGACAGUCGUAGGCCACUGAAGUUCAAGUGAAAAUUUUAUAGGACGGCAAUAAGGCCAGCGAUGUUGUAUGGCACAGAAUGUUGGGCGGUGAAGCAUCAACACGUACACAAAAUGUGUAGCGGAGAUGAGGAUGCUUUGUGGGAUGUGUGGGCACACGAGAAAGGAUAAGAUUGGGAAUAAGGAUAUCCGAGGUAAAGUAGGAGUAGUCGAAAUUGAAGGAAAUAUGAGAGAAAAUCGGUUCCGGUGGUUUGGACAUGUGCAAAGAAGGCCUACUGACGCUCCGGUUCGAAAAUGUGACUACGGGACAGAGGUUCAGGGCCGAAGGGGUAGAGGAAGACCUAGGAAAACUUUGGAAGAGACCCUAAGAAAAGACUUGAGUACUUGGAUCUAACGGAGGACAUGACACAAAACCGAGCGCAAUGGCGUUCUAGGAUUCAUAUAGCCGACCCCACUUAGUGGGAAAAUGUUUUGUUGUUGUUGUUGUUGUUGUUGUAUUAGUAUGUUGAACAAAUUAGUUACAUUUCAUUAUACUAAAAAAUUUACAGAAUAUGAGAAAUAAAGAAUUUGUAUUGUUUAUAUAAAAAUAGAAUAACAAAGAACAUCAUUGACUACCAUUUUAUUCGGUAGUUUCCUCCAACUGCAAUUGUUGAGAUUGUAGGAGAUCUUCGAAUAAAGCCUUCAAUUCAACCAUCCGUACACAAACAUAAUAGACAAUGUUUUUUAGCGAAUUAUGGACAAAGCUUAAUAUUCAAAUGCAAUGAAAUGGAAAACACAAUCCAAUUCUAGGACGAAUUGAAUCCUUAUUAAUCCUUCCUGGUCUAGUACCUAAGAACCAAUGAAGUGGCAAUAUAUGGAUAUGCAUGCUAUAGGAAACCAUUCAUUUGUAGAUGGUAUUGUGUCACCAAUAUUGUAUUUAAAAAUCUACCCAAGAUAAAGAUGCAAUAUAUAGUUUGGUAAAAAAUCAAAACGAAGAGUUAACAAAGGAAAAGGAUUAAGACGUUGAAAAUACAAAACUGGAUUCUUUUAUUUGGUAAAGACGGUUCCCCCACUGGCUGUCCGAAAUCACAAACACUUUUUUACAUAGAAACUUUAUAAACUAAUAGAUUAAAAUAAGGGAGUUUUGACAAAACACUCCCGGUACUGUUCAUUUUUAACGAAAAACCACUUUUUUACCUUUAACUGGUACUAUUCACUAUACCUUCAUAAAGGGUUUUUCGUUAAAAGAGAAGUUUUUUUGGACUUUUUGUUAGUUUUCCUUUAAAUCUAAGUGUUAUAAAUGAAAAAUCCUGGGAUUGAUAGCAAUGGCAUCAACAGUGCCACCACAUCCCAAAUAAAUGAAUGAAAAUAUAGUGAUUAAUGUCCAACAAAGAAGCUCAAGCUUGAAAUAAACCAAGGCAUAAAAGCUUACCAAACUUUUCAAAUGGCUAAAUUGUUCAUUUAACUUAAUAACUUCUUCCUACAAUCCAUAAGUAAGACCAUUAGAUGCGGUAAAUAAAACAUCAUACUUCAUAUAUGGCAAUCUAGCAGAGAAACCAAUUGCAUUCAGAUGGAGCCUAAUUUGUGGAACUACAUUUAUAUGCACUGAAAUGCAUUAUCAUGUUGUCAUAUUUAAAACUGAGGUUAUGCAGUAUGCUAUCUUUAGCAUACACAAAAUUUUUGCACCUCAUUUUUGAAGUUCUGCACUUCAUAAUUUAUAUACUUUCAGUUUCCCUUCUAAUGAAGGUAUGGCUGCUUUCCAUUUGGAAUUUUCGCAAGACAACGUUAUGAUAUUCCUAAUUUAGAAUGCGUUUCCAUUCUAAUGAAUGCAAGCCCUAAAUCAUAAAUAUUGUAUAAUUAGAUCUCAAUUACUCUGAUGUGUUUGAGCACGUGGCAGGGCAUGAGAAUCAGAACCACUCCUUGUUGUUCUCUGCUUCGUGAUUUGGUCAUCAAACAAUACUUCAUUCCCUCCAUCCUUUAUCACGUCUUCUUGGUGAUCAUUUGUUCAUCUCCAAACUGUAUCCACAAAAAACUACAAAUUAAUCCCAAAAACAAUCAUACAAAAAAAUUGCGGAUUAGAUUUGAUUACGUACCAUUUUUCACCUUAAACAUAGACAUUUUAAACCAGAAACCAAAAUCAAACAAACAUAAAGAAAUACGACUGACAGAAUCACACUGUAAGACACCACCCCCUCGCUUCCACGGUUCCACCCACAACACCAAAAACAACAAUAACAAUAAUAACAAUGUACACUCAGACAAAACAAAAAUGCACCACAGCCCUCCAGUGCUAUAACAGCACUUCUAGGACAACUUUGAUAUCUAUGGACUGUUCCCUUCUCCAUGUUACAACGAUAGUAUUAGAGCUCUUACAACAUCACAGAUGCAUGACCAAGAGUGUAUUCGACAACCUUUUCUCUGAUCCUUUUCAUCAGUUGGUCCUAAAGAUUCUAUUCUUCUAAAUUCAUCUUCUUUUUGGGUAUCCACAGACAUUUAUCACUUCAUAUGUCGAACACAAAACACCUAACAUUUUGGGUGACAAAUUAGAAGCAACUAAUCGGAAUCUGGGUACUGAGAAUUAAAUUACUCUUUGUUCUUAUAGUCCUGAUGGAAAUUACUCAUUGAUUCAAAAUUAAUCAAACUAAAAUGCAAGAAAAGCAAAAUCAACAACGCAUAUCAGAAUAAUAUGAAAAGAUCCCAACAAACCAACCAAACAAUUAACAUUAAAAAAAAAUUGCAAACUUGGAGGGAAAGAAGCACCAGAAAAAAUAUACACAUCCAAUGCUUUUAAUCCAAAGCUAGAAGUAUGAAUAACUGAGUAAGUUAAUGAAGGCAAAGCAGAGGGUAGGAAGCAGAACAUACCAAGAGACCAAUAGGGCAUCCGAGCCGGUCUGCCGAUGAACGCCGUGUCCUGGUCGACAACGCCCAACGGCGUCGGCCUGGCAAUGAAGUAAAAGUCGAAAACACCCCCAAUGACCUUGUAGGUGAGAGAAGUCCCUCUGUAGAACACAUCCAUGCCAUUACUGUUGAGCAGCAGAAAAGAGUGCGCGUAAGCCUCGUUGCCCACAUUCUGAAGAUCCAUGUAAACCCGGGUGGGACCCGUACAAAUCAGUGUUGAGAUUGAUCGCCGAGACUUCAGUAGUGACGAGGGUGUAUGGAUCGUUCGGGUAGAGCUUGAUCCCGUGUGGCUGAGUGUUCUCUCCGAGGCCGUACAGGGAGGCGUCUUUCGGCGGUCGGGUGGAUAUCUCGAGGUACUGGUCCUUAAACACCAGUUCGCCAUAUGGGUCUUUGGAUUCGGAGCUCGAAUUGAAGAGGACCUGCCCGUCGGACUUCCUCUUGAAGGUGACCCAAAUGAGUCGGAGAUGUGGCUAAGAAUGAGCUUAGAGCCGGAGUACACUGAGACUUCGAUGGGGUUCUUCGUCUUCGCCUGAAACACGUUUUGGUUUCAAUUGAAAAUGCCAGAGCCUUGCAUGCGAGGAAGAUGACGAUAGGAUUCCAGAGAUAGAGAAAAAAGGAGUAAGACGACGGAGGCGAGAGAAGGGAGACGGCGGCAAGAGGAGGAUAGGACGGAGGCGAGACCGUCUGUAUCGUGGGUCUGUGAGACGUACAAGGCAAGGAGGGUUUGAGAAGGAAACGGAAAAGGCCUGCUUUACCAUUGUUAUUCCCUUCCCGCGAUCAUCAACGCGUGCGCAACAAGAUCAGCGGCAGAGAGAGCAUGUGGCAAAUUUGUAAAUAAAUUGAAAUUCAUCCCAAAACACUGUUUAUUUGAUUUAUUUGAAUAGUGCAAUUGGAAUCCCUUCUUUAGACUAAAGUAAUUUUUAAGUAGAAUUCCAACCGAGCCGUUAGAUUUUAUGCAAGCCAAAACCUUACCAUUAUUCAUACUUGUCAGAAGGCCUCAGAAGUCUCCACUAAAAUGCUUCCCUAAGCACGAGUACAUAAUGAUGCCACUGACAACUAGCUCGUCGAUCACCUCAGCGCUGCGGUUAAUUGCUUCUGCACAAGGCCUUGAUCACGAAUCAAAGAAUCAUGAGACGGGUAGUGUAGCAUAUCGAUCAAGGCCUUGUGGUACUGUCUGGUAGAUAUUAAUAACUUUGAGUAUAUGUUCACAUAGGUUGCCCAUUUCUGCCCAAUGGCAGUUGCAAAUACCAAACUCGUCAAUAACUUUUGCACAUGUACCGUCUAUGACAAUAUUGCAGUUAAGAAUCUUCAAAGCUUUACGCCAAGAUGUUAAACCACUCGCCCACUCAUCUUUCCAAUAUUGUGCAAAAUCAUCCUUCUCAGAAUAUUCAUCAAGCCAGAAGAAGGAAUGUACUUUUGUACCCAGCUUAUCAACCAACCAAUCAACUCGUUUGUACACUCUAGGUUUCUUCUCGUUCAAUAACCUAAGCUUUAGUGGCUGUGCUAGAACUCCAUUGCCGCAGAGGUUUCCUGGCUAGCAAGAGGAAGAGUUUGUAGUGCAGAUACCCACAUCCCUGAGUCAAAAGACAUUUUUCUUGUACGAGUUAUUCAAGAAUAAGGAUCCUGUUUAAAGAGAAGGGGGUGAAGGAAUUAAACGACACACUUAUUACUUCGUAUCAUAAGGCAAAAUAUACCUCUACUAAAGAUGAUAGUAAUCCAUAAAAUCUUAUUCAUCAAGAAAAUCUUCUAUGAAGUCCUCAGACAAACGCUCGGCUCCUCGUUGUUGACAGAUGUUAUCCACUGCCUAACGAAGCCUUCUUGACAUUGUAGUUCGCAUCUUAUUGUCCACACAUUUCUUUACUAAGUUUUUAUGCCAUGCAUGAGGAACCCGCCAAAAGCUUAUCAACACUGAACACUGAAAUACAUCCUUGAGUAUAACGACAUAAAACUGUCAGUAUCAAGUUUGGGCGAGGACUGAGCAACCAACCGGAUGGUGAGCACAUCAGCUAGAGGAUCAUCCACUAUGAAACCACCCAACUUCCAAAUAGGAUUUUUCGUUUGAACUCUAUUGUAAAGAGCUCUCAUCCAUUUAUGGGCAUUGGAACUUCCAAACUUUGGAGCCACUAUCCACGCCACCGGGAUAGUAAUAAUGUUGCAACAUGAACAUAUUCGGUUUCUCAUUAUUAUUAACAAUUGUAGUUAUAAUAAAAGGUUAAACAAACUAAACGGACCUUCAAUUUGGUUGUUUCGAACCUUGAAUCAGAAAGCUAUAAGGUUGUGAUUGUUGAAGCAAAUCAUCUGUUGCAACUGCCACUCUGUUUGAAUGCCCAAAGUGAAAGGGUCCACAUCAGAGAAAUCCUAAUAGAAGAAAACAUGACUCUGAUGGUUUUCUAGCCACAUGCUAAUGCUAACCGCAUCAUCAGCAUCCAAUUCAUAUAUAGAGCGUCGAAUGACCCUGCCUCCGAACAUACCUAUGGGUUAAAAGGUCAUCACGAUUAGAUGGACCACCCUGUUUCUCUACAGAUUCAUUGUGUCUCUGCAUUAUAGUCUUCACAAAGACCCCUGCAUAUAACAAAGAUUGCACAUGAAGAAGCAGAUCUUCAGAGAUACAAGGGGCAAAUAUAGCACGUGUUCCAGCAGCCAUCUUAUCUUGUGGACCAUGGCAUGGCGCUCCUUUCCUAUCUACAUGCUUAUCCUGAUUAUAUAUGAUAAGCGCCACUGAAGAAUACCAAGUAUACCAUCAACCUUUGGUUUGUUAGGCGUCUAUGGCUGCCGCCGUCGCCUCGCUUCAACAUGAAAUCUUGUUGGACAUUCUUUAUUAGAGCAUUCACCCCUUAGAAAAUCGUCAACUCUAGGAAACGAAAUUAUAGCAACUUCAUCUUUCUUGUCCCGCCAACCUUCCACCUUUGACCACACAAGAUCAGAAGAAGAAAACUCCAAUGCAGGUGGAUUUUCUUUGCAACUGGCUUCGUAAAGUCACAUGUUAAUAACAGUAACAGAGGUCCUUUUUACUCUACGCAAUACAAAAGAAAGUCAAAAACUUCAUAUCUGAUAACAAGAAAACAAACAAACAAAAAAGAAGAAACAAUAUAAUUCUUGCAAUACAUUUCCUUCCCAACAAGAGAAGUUCAAAACUUUAGUAAACAAUUAAACUGAUUUCGUCUAUUUUCAUAAAUUCUCAGAAAUUAACAGUCGAAAAACACAAAUUAAAGGGAAAAAAAGUGAAAUUCUUUGGGUUUUCAAAUAGAGAAAUUAUAUUCACACACCUAAAAUUACUUCUCACACACAUUUUUAUUUUAUUUUUUAUUUUCUACACACUACUAACACUUGAUAGAAAAAGAUUAAAAAAUUAAAAGGAUGUGAGAGAAGUAAUUUAGGAUGUGUGAAUAUUAUCUCCCUUUCAGAUAAGUGAAGUCACUAGCUUCAGAGUCACAGAUUGAGCUAUAUCGAUAUGUAUAGUAUCAGGCCAUUUAUGCAAAAAGAUCCCCAUUUUUUCAAAAAAAUGGGGAUUAGGUGUGGGUUCACUCCACAUCGAACUUUAAUGAUCUGAAUUGUCUAUUUUGUAUAGAACCGGAUCCCCUGCAGAUCCCUAAAAACUAAGCCUCCUGAGCAAAGAAUUAGGACCGUUGAAAUUUGAUCAAACUACUACAAACAGGGCCCCUCUAAAAGUUAUAAUAAUUGUAGCCAUUGGAUUAAAUUUCAACGGUCCAAAUUCAUUGCUCAGGGGGCUCAGUUUUUGGGGAUCGGAUUCCAAUUUGUAAGUCUCAUUUCAUAGAUUAUUCUUACAAAAAUUCAAUUUAAUCCAAAAUCAUUUACCUAUUUUGUAAGUCUCAUUCCAUAAAUGUCAUUAUAUACAUCAUUUCAUGUGCUACCACAUUAUUUGGUUCAGUAGCCACUUUACCCUUGGUUCUCUCAGCAGCUACAUCUCCAUUCCCACAGUUAUUCACAUUUGAAGAUAAUACUUCCUCAUUUCCUAAUUCUUGAUCUCGAUUGGUAAAAGAUGCACAUCCAUUGUGGUAUCGUUACUUUCCAAAUUAGCUGGUCCACUUAAGGAUGCGUUUGUUGCACCGAAAUGUCUCAAACUGGACUAAUUUCAAGAACUAAGCUGAUCUGAUUUAGACUAAACUAAACUAGAUUAAAGCAUUUGGUGCAGUAUCAGACUAAGAAGCAGGAUAAAAAUUAAUUUUCCUUUUUUUUUUCCAAAAACAAAGAACUCUAUCUGUUUCUCCAUUUUCUUUGGUCAAACUAUCUCUUCUCAUUUUUCUCCAUCUCUUCCAUUUUCCUUUCCUGUCCAACUCGUUUUUCCUUUUCUUCUCGAUCACAAAUAUACACAGUUCACAUGCAAACCAAUUUUCCAUCAGACCAAACAAAACCCAUCACCUGCCUCAUCAAUCCAACAAAAUUCCCAAACUUUCCCACCCUAAAAUUUGACAAUUCCAUUCAGAUUAAACAAAAGUUAGAGCUGAAAAACUAAGGAAAGAAAAAAAAAAGAGAAAGGGGAGGGAGAGUAAACAUAUCACCAAUAGUAGGAGGCGGCUACGCCGUAUAGCUUGAGGACGAGCAGUAGCGUAAAGGAGAAGAGGAGGCUGUGGGCCGCCAAGGCCUGCACGGACUUCAACACUCUCCGCUAGUUCAUCAUCACAGUAAAACAAUGUCGUCCGCUGCGAAAGUCGAGACUUCAGAUUGUGAGAAAUCUCAGGAGGAGGUUGCUGUUUCAGUAUGUGCCAUUGAAACGAAAGAGGCAAGAAAUAUUCUUUCUCUCCUUCUUCUUUUUCGUCGUUCGGGUUGACCCAGAUGGCAAAAAAUCCCAAAUCACCGACCUAGAUGCCAAAAGGGCACUGGGUUUGCAGGACGAUGGAGAUCGGCGACAACCGUUUCUGGUUUGGUCAUUGGAGAAAGGGGGUUGAUGCUGCUCAUGUAGGUUUGUAGGACGCUGCUCGCAUACGAGGGAGACGGGACUAGCAAUUCCGUUGUUUUUGGGGGCUUGCUAAGACCUCCAAGUGAGGGAUUUAGUCGAGGCGAGUCCUUCUUUGUCUCAUUUAACUUAGUCCCGCCGGUGAACAAACACAGAUUGCACUAACUUUUAACUUAAGCCAGUCCAGUGAGAGCUAAAGAAGGGAAACAAGCACCCUCUAAUUGUUUCUAUACAGAGACUGCUAAAGAAACAGCAUGAUCAAAAUCAAAGAAUCAUGAGGCGGCCCCAGCAAGCCCCUCAGCGGCUCUACAUCCCUCCGUCCCUCCAUCGUCGCACGGCGGAAACAGCCACGACAACUACGAAGACACCGACCUCGACAACAUCGAUUACGACGACAACGAUGGUUCCAAGGACCCCGGGAGUGACGACAACAACCACGGCAACGCUGGCAGCAGUGAUGAGGAAGUCGAUCCUCUGGAUGAUUUCAUAGAGGGGAUUCAUGCGGAGGUGACGUCAGCUAGGCCGCCGAGCUGAAAGUGAAGGCCGAGAAGUACAGGGAUGAUGAGGAGGAGGAUCAUAUGGAUAGGUUUUUUAGGGCUAAAAAGGAUGUGGUGCUCACACUGGCAUCGGGUGCUUUACACGCCGGAUAUGACUCCGAUGAGGAGGUAUAUGCGACCGCCAAGGCCGUCGAUGCCGGGUUGUUGGAGUACGAUUCAGAUGAUAAUCCCAUUGUUCUGGACAAGAGGAAGAUCGAACCGAUUCCAGCUCUCGAUCAUAGUUCAAUCGACUACGAGCCGUUUAAUAAGGAUUUUUACGAGGAGAAAUAGUCGAUUUCAGGUAAAUUCCAACCGAAUUGAGAAUUUUGUUCCUUUCUUUUUUGUUUUCCAUUCACAUUUAAUUUUUUUUUUAUGAAUUUAGUCGAAAUGCGUAGCAAAGUAUAUAAAUUUGAGUGAGAGAGAAUAUUGACCGGCAGAAGUUCUCAAGAAGACAAUGGAAGACUAGAGUUAACUGGUGUUUUGGUUUCCUUGUUUAGGGAUAAGUGAGGAGGAUGUUUUUUAGUACAAGAAGAGCUUGGCCAUCCGUACGUCGGGUUUUGAUAUACCGAGGCCAGUUAAGACAUUUGAAGAUUGUGGAUUUUCUUCACAACUCAUGGCUGCCAUAAAAAAACAAGACUACCAAAAGCCGACACCAAUACAAUGCGCAGCUCUACCCAUAGUUCUUUCCGGGAGAGAUAUAAUUGGUAUUGCGAAAACUGGUUCUGGAAAGACUGCCACUUUUGUCAUUCCAAUGAUUGUCCACAUUAUGGAUCAGCCAGACCUUCAAAAAGAAAAAGGUCCAAUUGGAGCGAUAUGUGCUUCUACUAGAGAGCUGGUGCACCAAAUAUACUUAAGAGUCCAAAAAAUUUGUGAAAUCACAUGGGAUACGUGUCUCUGCUGUAUAUGGUGGAAUGUCUAAGCUUGAUCAGUUCAAAGAACUUAAGGUAGGAUGUGAAAUAGUUGUUGCUACUCCUGGGAAAUUAAUCGACAUGCUUAAAAUGAAGGCACUGACAAUGCUUAGGGCAACUUACCUAGUACUUGAUGAGGCUGAUCGGAUGUUUGACCUUGGGUUUGAGCCUCAAAUUAGAUCUAUUGUUGGUCAGAUUCGGCCAGACCAACAGACAUUGCUCUUUUCUGCAACAAUGCCCCGUAAAGUUGAAAAAUUGGCUAGGGAGAUUCUCUCAGAUCCUAUAAGAGUUACAGUGGGUGAGGUGGGAAUGGCCAAUGAGGAUAUCACUCAGGUUGUUCAUGUAAUUCCUUCUGAUGAUGAGAAGCUGCCCUGGCUUAUUGAGAAGUUACCUCGAAUGAUUGAUGAGGGUGAUGUUUUAGUAUUUGUUUCAAAAAAAGGCUGCAGUGGAUGAGAUCGAGUCACAGCUUGCUCAGAAAGGUUUUAAAGUCACAGCUCUGCAUGGUGACAAGGACCAGGCAUCUCGGAUGGAUAUUUUGCAAAAAUUUAAAUCUGGCAUUUACCAUGUUCUUGUUGCAACUGAUGUUGCUGCUCGUGGUCUUGACAUCAAGUCAAUUAAGUCGAUUGUGAACUUUGAUAUUGCAAAAGACAUGGACAUGCACGUCCAUCGAAUUGGUAGAACAGGUCGGGCUGGUGAUAAGGAUGGCAUUGCAUACACUCUUAUUACACAGAAAGAGGCACGUUUUGCUGGUGAGUUGGUUAAUAGCUUGGUUGUUGCUGGUCAGAUUGUCUCCACGGAGCUCAUGGACCUUGCGAUGAAGGUAAUUUUGCAGUACUAUUAACAAUUUUUUUUUUUUGUGGUUUAUAUAGCGAGUUUAUACAUGCAUCCAACUACCUGCCUUUUUGUUUUAGAGAUGGUGGUUAUAACCAUAGUUUGUAAUCCUAUAAUGCAUUUAAGCGAAUACAAGUUAUUAAUAUGUUCUCUGGUAAAACGUGCUCUUUUAAUGCAAUCUGGAUUCUGGACAAUUACACCUACUGGUUUUUGUCUCACAAAUUAACUACACUCUACUAUAUAGGUGCAUAGGUUGCUUCUGAUUUAGAGUGCGCUUUCGAGAGAGAUGGAUUUGAUGACCAUUUGGUUUUCAAGGCCUUAUUUUGGAAAGCUUCAGUAUGUCCUUGCAAUUACAGGGAUCUUGAGAUCGUUGACUUCAUAACGUCAAGAUAGUAAAUUUCAGGAAACGUGCUUAGUUUAGAGAGAGAGUAAUUAGACAGUAUUUAGUAGUCCCAUCUUUACUUCAUACCAUGCUCUGCAUAGAGAAGGGGUUGUUGGGGGUGUAUGUUGGCUUGUGGGGCUGUGGAUUGAAGCAUAGGGAUGAAUUGAAGAUAAAGCUCAGUCUGGGCCCUCUGGGGACUUAUUAACUUUUGUGUAUUAUUAAGUACUUGCUUGCAUUAUACCAAUACAUCGGUUGAGGCCAACCAACAUUUAAGAACUAAGAGAAAAAUCGCAUUUUAAGUACUAAAUCUUAAUUACCACAUGGACCCUUAGUAAAUUGUCACUUAUUUUUCCUUGUGCCAAUAUAUCUCAUAGACAUAAAUGCACAACUUAUCAUGAUAGGUGGCUGCACCUGCAUUAGUUUUAGAAGUUUUACACUAUGAGAGCCACUCAUGCAUCAUUUAUUCAGUCUUGUGACUUUUAAUUCUUGCCUUGCUGCUUGUAGCUUUAUAUUUUAUAUCCAUCAUUACACUGGUUUCCAUCUCCUACAUGGAUGUGCAGUUAUUUUGGGUGCACCUCGUCUGUGGAACUUUUGUUGCUUUCCCUAACUAUGUUUCUUGUUUGAUAGCUUUAGAUGUUAGCGUGAGACGUUAGAUUUCAGAUCUUACAUUCUCUAUUUUAAUGGGAUUUACCUUGUUUAUUAUCAGGAUGGUAGAUUUAGGUCAAAACGCGAUUCAAGAAAAGGAGGUAUAAACUUUAAUCAUAUUAAAAUUUCAAUUUUCUUAAGAUUCUUUUGCAAUUUCAUAUUAAAUUAGCCUUUUUCUAUAAUUCAAAUGAUGAUAUUAUAUGGAUUUUGCAGGUGGAAAGAAAGGUAGAGGGAGGGGCGGCGGUGGUCGAGGUGUGCGUGGGGUGGAUUUUGGUCUGGGUAUUGGAUAUAAUACGGAGUCCAAUAGUUCUUCAUCGAAUACUAUUCCUAGUCGAUCUGCUGCAGUAACUCCUCAGAGGACAGGAAUGAUGUCUCAGUUCAAGACUAAAUUUGUUGCCGCUUCAUCUAACUCUCCAAGUCAAGGUUUAGCUAACAACUUUAGUGUGCCCAACAGACCGGCAUUACGAGGAUUUGUAUCCGGUGGUUCAAUAGGUGGUGAUGUAUAUAUAACUCAGGCAACCAGUACAAUUACUCCUACUCCUGCUCCAACAUCAAUGGUAAAUAAAACUGCUACUCCGAACACUGGAGAAAAUUCAAGUCAGAAACCCUCCGAAAGGUUAAUUAAAAUGAUGCUUGGUUAGAAUUUUUGAUGUCUUUACAUAUUUGAUUGGUGUUGAGCAGUUUCAUUUGUGUCGAUUGCAGUUCUAGAGAUAAACCCAGAGAAAGGCGGAGGCGCUCCGGUUGGGACUGUUAACCGUACAGUUGAACUACACCACUUUCGCAUCAUGAAUGACAAGUUUUACCUUUGUUGUAGGUCAAGUCCUGAUAUGCCUGUAUUAUUGUUGAUCUUUCUCACUUUCUUUGUCGCUCUGUUUAUAAGUUAAAAAGAAACAGAAGAUUUUGUAAACUCAGAUCGACUUGUUGCACAAAUAGCGGAUGAUUUAAAAGAUAGACUGUUCAGAUCAUUAAAAUACAUUAUGAAGUAGAUUCUACAAAAAGUUGUGCCAUGUAAAAAAAAUGUGGUGUUUCACAUGUGCUCCGUAUGUUAUUUAUAUUAAUCAUUCUGAAUAACAUCAUAACUCAACGAUUGGUAUAUAAUACAAUAAGGCCUCGUUUGAUGUCAAUGAUUUGAUUGGUUUUGAUUAGAUUAGAUUGGCUUAGUCUGGAGAAUUCACUAGAUUCAGUGAAUGUUGAAUGAAAAUAUGGAUUGCAUAUUUUGUUCAAGUGAAGAUGGAAGAGAAAAAGAAUAAGACUAGUAUAACAAAUCAAAUAUUUACGGAGCAUGCAUAGGUUUUUAAUUACAACUAUUCGUCAAUUGAUACUUCUAAUUUUUGGUUUUAAAUGCUAUUAUCUCUUAAAUAAAAUAAUUAUGUUGUUUUAGUCUCCUCAUCGUAUUGUACGUGUCGAAUUCGUGUGAAGUCUGGUGGGACAAGAGAGAGAUAAGGAGGUUGACUUUGAUCAAUUGAUCUCCUUUCCAUAACCAUUUUUCUUUACCUUCAUCCCCUUACACAAAGUCCGUUCUUAAGAUCUCGAGUUCUCUCUCAAUGGCUGCUAAAAGUUCCCGAGAUUCUUCUUCGUCCUCUUACCGGUGUUCCUAUCAUGCCUUCCUGAGUUUCAGGGGCCAGGACACGCGCAGGGGCUUACUGAUCACCUCUAUAGAGCUUUGGAGAUAGCAGGAAUCCACACGUUUAGAGACGAUGAUGAAAUCAAGAGAGGGGAGAAUAUUGAGUCGGAGUUAGAGAAGGCGAUACAGGAGUCACAAGUAUCGAUGUCUUCUCCAAGGACUACGCUUCCUCAAGGUGGUGUUUGAACGAACUUCUGAAGAUCGUGGAACGUAGAAAUACUGAUCAUAGACAUGUGGUUCUGCCAGUUUUCUAUGAGGUGGAUCCAUCCGAUGUCAGGAAGCAGAGUGGUCCUUUUGCUGAAGCAUUUGCCAGACAUGAGGAACGAUUCAGUACGGAGAUGGACAAGGUGGAGCAGUGGAGAAGAGCUCUUGGAGAUGUUGCAUCUUUGGGAGGAAUGGUUUUAGGAGAUCGGUAAUUUCUAUUCUCAAUAUAUUCUUGAGCUUAUUGAAAGUGUUUUAAAUUAAGUAAAAUUGUAGAUAUGUUCCUAUGUAUACAGCAAUUUGUACGAUGAGCAAUCAUCUCCGUACGACAUAUCAUUUACUACAACUUCAUGUAAAAGAAAAUAACUUAUUUCUGCUUCAUGUAUUUUGAUUCAAAUGAAUUACAGGUAUGAGGGGCAGUUCAUCCAAGAAAUUGUUGAAGAGAUUAGAAAUAAAGUGGGUCACGCAGCUUUAGACGUCGCUCCCUUUGCAGUUGGAAUGGAUAAUCGUGUGCAAGACCUAAACAUGUGGCUACAAGAUGGAUCCAAUGAUGUUGGUGUAGCUGUCAUCUGUGGGAUGGGUGGAAUUGGCAAGAGCACCAUCGCGAAAGCCGCGUAUAACCGCAACUUUGAUAGAUUUCAAGGUAGCAGCUUUCUUGCAGAUAUACGAGAAUCUGCAGAACAACCCAAUGGUUUUGCUUGCUUGCAAAGAAAACUUCUUUCAGAUAUCCAAAAGGGGAAAGCAAAGAAAGUAUACAAUAUGGAUGAAGGAACAAUCAGGAUCAAACAAGCCGUUGGCAAUAAAAAAGUUCUUAUUGUUCUUGAUGAUGUGAGCAACCGGGAUCAACUCAAUGCAAUUCUUGGAAUGCGAGAGUGGCUUCAUCCAGGAAGUAAAAUUAUCAUAACAACUAGACAUGAGCAUUUGUUAAAUGCUCAUAAAGUUUUUGAAAAGUUUAUGGUUCAAGGACUGGAUGAGGAUGAAUCACUAGAGCUUUUCUGUUGGCAUGCCUUCAGACAAUCCCAUCCAGAAGAAGGUUACAUGAAGCUUUCAAGACAUGUGGUCCAGCACUGUGGAGGGCUUCCAUUAGCUCUUCAAGUUCUGGGAUCUUCUCUAUCCGGAAAAUGUGUAGAAGUGUGGCAAAGUGCAUUGCAGAAGUUAGACGUGAUCCCUAAUGACAAAAUUCAAAAAGUUCUGAGGAUAAGUUUUGAUUCUUUACAAGAUGAUCAUGACAAAAAUUUAUUCCUUCACAUAGCCAGUUUCUUCACAGGAAAGAGGAUGGAUUAUACAAGUAGAAUAUUGGACAGCUUAGAGUUUUACACAAGGAUUGGGAUUGAAAAUCUAGUUGACAGAUGCCUAGUGAAAAUUCAAUGGAACAGGUUGGUCAUGCAUCAAUUGGUGAGAAAAAUGGCAAUGGAAAUUAUUCGUGAAGAAUCACCUGAUGACCCUGGAAAACGUAGUAGAGUGUUGCAGAAAGAUGCCUCUAAUAUUUUGAGAAAAUUAAGUGUAAGAACUAUGUUUUUCAUAUGUAUGUAUUUUUCGUUAUGAUUUGUAUGUGCAGUACUAGUAAUAUACUUACCCAAUUCUCUGAUUUGUUAGCAGGGUACGGAAAAUAUUAAGGGCCUCAUGCUCAACCUUGCUAGCAAAAGAACGUUUGUUCGAAGUGAUAAAAAACGAUGCCAUGUUGAAGAUUAUGAUGGAAAUUGUUCAAGACGACGUCGGCUUGGUUUCUUCUCUUGGAAGCCAAUUAGCUUUUCCUCCACAAACUCAGCUUCUGCAUCAAAUGAGAUAGAUUUCAAAUCUGAGGCAUUUAGAAGGAUGCAGAAUCUUGAAAUUCUCAUUCUCAACAACGUCAACAUCAGGGGAAGCUACGAAGAAUUUUCAAAAAAUUUAGUAUGUUUAUCUUGGCGGGGAUUCCACUUAAAAUCAAUACCAGAAAAUUUUUGUUUGGAAAACCUGGUUGUUCUAGACAUGCGAAAUAGUAGCCUACAACAUGUUUGGAAUGGGACCAGGGUAUGUAACUCUCUCUCUCUCUCUCUCACAAACACACACAAAUUAAUAGGGGCCAUUAUAUCGUCUUAGAAGCUAAUUCAUUUGUAUUAUUAUUGACACAGGUUAUUCCGAGGCUGAAGAUUCUUAAUUUCAGUCAUUCGCAUGGCCUUAGGACAAUCCCCGACUUCUCAGGACUCUAUAACCUUGAGAGGUUGAUUCUUAAACAUUGCUUAAAUUUGGUUGAGGUUCAUGAGUCCAUCGGACACCUAGAAAAACUUCUUGUUUUGAAUCUAAAAGGCUGCAAAAAUCUCAUGAAGCUUCCAAUAUUGAGAUCUAUUCAGGAUCUUAUUCUUUCUGGUUGCUCAAAGCUUGAAAUGAAGAAACUCAAUCUGGUAUCAUCUAAAUCAUGGUAUUCAGUCUGGUCGUGGGUGUCGCCAAGAAAAAAUACUAAAUUAAGCAGUUUCUCAUUGGCAAGUUUACCACGUUCUCUGACAAGUUUAAGUCUGGAUUGCUGCAAUAUAUCAGAGAUUCCAAGUGCCCUAACUAUGCUGUCCUCGUUAGAGUACUUGAAUCUGGAUGGUAAUCCGAUUACAAGCCUACCAGAAAGCAUGAACUAUCUUGUUAAGCUCCGGACUCUUAAAGGAUCUGAAUGCAGAAACCUCACAACACUUCCAGAGCUCCCACGUUCUUUGACGAGUUUAACGCUGGUUCGCUGCAAUAUAUCAGAGAUUCCAAGUUCCCUAACUAUGCUGUCCGCGUUAAAGUACUUGAAUCUGCAUGGUAGUCCGAUUACAAGCCUACCAGAAAGCAUGAACAAUCUUGUUAAGCUCCAGACUCUUAGAGUAUCUGGUUGCAGAAACCUCACAAUGCUUCCAGAGCUCCCACGUUCUUUGACAAGUUUAAAUCUGGCUUGCUGCAAUAUAUCAGAGAUUCCAAGUGCCCUAACUAUGCUGUCCUCAUUAAAGUACUUGGAUCUUGAUGGUAAUCCGAUUACAAGCCUACCAGAAAGCAUGAACAAUCUUGUUAACCUCCAGACUCUUGAUGUAACUGGUUGCAGAAACCUCACAAUGCUUCCAGAGCUCCCACGUAGUUUGGAACAAUUGCAUGAUAGAGGUUGCGCAUCAUUGAAAAGAAUAACAAAUUAACCGAAGUUGGCCAUGUCACCGGACUUAGAUUACUGGUUUUCUUGCAUAGUAAUGGACCCAAGGCUAUGGUAUUGUGGGAAACUUGUUGAUUUUAGAAGCUUGUUGGAUACACUAGCAUUGGUCUCAUAUCUCUCAGAUCUAUUCGAUUUGGAACCCAAAGGUGGCAUUGAGGUCCAAGGGAACUAUUGUGAGAGUUUGGGCGUCAAGGUUCUCUCUCUCUCUCUCUCUCUCUCUCUUAUGUACAGGUGCUUAUAAUAUGGUGAAUAAGAUCUCUAUGGCGUAAACGAUUAGAUUGUAAUGACAACAUCACCAUGGAACUGCAGGGAACUUUUGACUGCUGCAUAUUGAGCAUAUUUGUUCAGGGGAGCAAGAUUCCAGAUCGGUUCAAUUACAGGAGCAUGGGUAACACUGUGUUCUCUAUUAUUGUUCCUUCACAUCUUAAUCUCAAGAUCGUAGGUUUAAACGCAUGUAUAUUAUAUGCACAGCAGUCGGAUCGGAGCCUUGAGGUUGCACGUGGCCAUGAUCACCGUUCGCUUGAACUUAGGAAUGAGACAAAGGGCCGUAAGUGGAACUUAAGAAUGCGGAAUGAGGUUGAAUGGAACUUAAGAAUGCCGUUGGAUCAUGGGGAACAAUGAGUUGGAAUGCGGGGAAAGAGUGUGUCUUGCAAUCAAAGAGGACAAUGGUUUCCUCACAAAGGAGAUUGGAGUCCAGUUUGUGUACAAGCGGCAAAAUAAGGAUAGGGAGGAUGUGCCAUCAAGUAGUGAAGAUACAACGAUCCAACGAGAAAGAUCUCCUUGGGAGUAGACCCAAAGUUUCCUUGAAACCACAAGACCCCGUGUUCCGGGGGGUGUAGAGACGGGGAUUCAAUGCAUCCAUAGCUGCGAUAAGAAAGUAAUUUCAACUGUCAUGUGUGCGGCUGAAUACUAUUUCUGUAACAGUGACAGGAUCGAGAGGCUCUACCGCAGUGGGUCGUAGGCUUUCGGACUUUUAGCCAAAAUAACCCAGUUUAAUUGAUGUUGGUGAUGCCCAAAUCACUAGAUUCAGAUGUGUAUUGGUUGUUAAGCUUUCGUUUCUAUCUAUUUUCUGUUUCCUCCUAAAAAAUUGUUUUCAAGAAUUUAAUAAAAUUCCAUACCAAACAAGUUCUUGCCUAGAUAAGAGUAUGAACUAGCAAAAAUGCCCGUGCUGCGCUGCGUGGUUGUGUGACACGCAUUUGGUAAGCUUCGGGGGAGAUAAGAGUAAUGGUAGAACUUAAUGAAACUUGGUUGAUUAGAUUUUUUUUUUUUUUUUUUUUUUGUUCAUAGUAACGGGCAUUGUGCAGGUAAGUCAUUUUCUUCAGAGAAUUGGGGAACAGGUUCAUGGUCUUCUUUACACAAAUCUAUGUUUAGUUUACCACAUAGAUUAGUGGCAACGAUCACACGACCAUCGCCAACUACCGCUACUUCGAAAUCAAAAAACCGCAAACUAAGGUUAAGUGUUGGUAAAGAUGAAAGGUUAUAUGUAUUAUGUGACUAAUGACUGAUGUUGCCGAGACACGAAAAACAUGAAGCUUCCUGGAACUAUUUGGUUUAGUGAAAAGUAAAUUUCGAACAUUGUUUCGUGGUGUUACGCAUGCCAACCACAUACUCUGCGGGUGCUCACAAGGAUUCGACAUCUUCUUCCUGAUGCUCCAGAACAAUGGUGGCAAGAGCAAGUCUAUAAGCUGAAGAUCUCAAAUUCCUGACUAGAACAUAUAUUUCCUUUCGUCUUCGCUUAGCUGGCACCAAAUCCCAUUGUUCCUCUCUGAGACGAGCGAGUACAACUGCCUCGCAAAAAGCUUCUGCUACUGGCUUCUUGCUGCAUAUAAAAUAAAAUGCAAUUUAGCACAUGGAAAAUGAUGAACGCAUAGCAAAAUAGAAAGAAAAGAUGGUCGUUGUAAAGUGGCAAGAGGCUGUGAACUAACAUCCCUCUAACAAAACCAGUGGUGACGAAGCCCAUUGGCGAACGAUAAGUUUCUCUAAGAACAGGGUCCUCUGGCAUUUGGAGUUCCCACUUACCAGAAGAUUGCUCUGUGAAGUACGAAGCCACAGCAGAUUGAGGCAUUUGAAGUCCUCCAUCGAAACUCUCUGACCUGCAAGACACACACAUGAAGCUUAUUUUUCAAAAUUAUUGGUCUGCAGCAUGAAUGGUGCUCUGAAAUACGUAUAAAGUCUUUCAAAAAUAGCUGCAAAACUUCAAGUCACUCCCACGAUUAAAAUUUUCAACGGUUACAUUAAAUCUCAGAAAAUUUUCAUCAAUGCAAGUUCUGAAUAAGAGACGUAAUGUAAAUAGGUCACAUUAUCUCCUCUACUAGUAUAUAAAAGACGAGAAAAUUUCAAGCACCACCGUUGUAAUACAAUCAUAAGCUUAUAGGAUAGCAUAUAAAUCAUAAGCUUAUAGGAUAUCAAAGAAAAAAUGACUACCUAGUCCACAGUGAUAUGUCCGUCAGUCGAGGAGCUCCCUCUUCAAGAAAACCUUCCUUGUAAGCAUGGAGUAAUACUCCAACAAAACAUAGUUUAUGAUUGUACUUAAAUCUAGUAAACUGAUCUUGGCCCGGACCAAGCUUGAUUUCGACCCUCAUAAACUUCGUGAAACUUCUCUCCUUAUCAGCGACAUAUGGAAACAGACGUAAAUGACAGCCUUGAAUUUCACUCAAGAAAUUUGUCAGCAAAAAACUCGUCUGUGCGAUAAAACCAUCAAAUGAAUUUCCAUGACAGCCGGCUAAUGUAGUAUCAGAAUUUCCAGAGUCUGAAUUAGUGAUGAAUAGCUUCUGAUGCCAUGUUGCUGCCUAAAACUUUCAGCAUCUCCAACUGCAUUUGAUUCUUCGUUUAAAGCAACUUGGAUACUAUUCCAUGGGGAUAAAAUGGGAACCCUCAAAGGUCUUAUGGCUGGAGGAUGAAGUUCCUCUUUAAGAUUAGAGGCAGCAGCUUCGGUCUCCUUGAGGCAUAAAUAUGCAUCGCAAUCAGGAAAAUCUGAAGGAAUAUAUGGCAACCCCAUCUAGAAAAUAAAAGGGACUUAGAUGCAACAUUCGAUAACCUGAUAUUAAAUAUUAUAAUUUACACGUAAUAAGUUUCAAUGCUUACUUCACACGAAAUCCAGCGCUUCUCUCUCAACCCCAUUGCAUGAGCCCCCUUAGAGACAAGAGAAAUCCAAAAUGCCUUGACCCAGCUUAAGGGGAGUAUAACAGACCAUCUGUAAGGCAAUAAGAGAUAGACUUCUAAGGUAACUUUAAAAAUAUAUCAUACUCAAUUGAACAGAUGAUAAAGUUUGAUGCAUUGAUGGAAUUUUAAGGCGAGUCAGAAAAAAACAGAUUGUCACAUUCUACUUUCAUGAAAUCCAGAACUUCGAAGAUCACGUUAUCAAUUAUUGCACAAAGAGUCAGCAGGAACAUUUAUGCCAUGACUUUCAUGUUUCCGAUAAAAAGACAUAGAACUCCAUAAUAUAUAUCUUAUGAGAAACAAAAUAUAUUAACAGUUUAUAAACAGUACGAACAUACAACUCAGGAGAAAUGGUGCCCACUGAACCCACAUAUAAGCAUUAAUACAAGUACAUAAAAUAUGCAGCAAUUAGCUUAAUCCACAUAACACUAAAUGGAAGAAUAAACCAGGAAAAAAAGGAGUUUACCCAACAUGCAAGCCUCUUCCGUUACUAUCUUCAAAAGCAUAAUCGGGCAAGAUCAUGAGCCCUGUGACGUGGAGGAAGUAUUUAGUUCCCCUGAACUUCAAUCAUCGAGGCUGAACAAAUUCCUAUUCUGGUCAUGUUUUUCCUUGCAAAGAACAGCCUCUUCCACUGGAGGGCUUACUCCACUGCUAACAUCCUACAAAUUGUUUGCUCUGAUCUUGCCAUUACCUGCAGGUUCAUCUGAAAAUCGUCCAAAGAUAACAUGCUUUUUGUCUUCAGCUCCUAGUACAUCACCUAGUAUACUAGCUGAACCUAAAUCUUGAGCAUCUGCAGUGUUUCCCUUCUCUGUUAAUGUGCAAGGAUCCUUGACAUUAAGGGACAAAAUUGCAUGAGAAGGAAUUUCCUCCUCAUUUUUAAGAUGAAUUGUAGAUUGGGAAUCCUCAUCCGCCUUGGCAGCUGAAUGUCUCAUCAACUUCCAAGAAUUAUCUCUAGUCCUAUUCAGCCAGACAACAAAAUUAGCCAUCUUUAACCUCAUUACUUGGUUAUGUCACUGAAAUCCUCUCCGUAACUCACCUGGUAGAAGGGAUUAAUGUCCUUUGAAGGAGUUGAAAUGCUUUUGAUCCCACUAAUUCUAAUUUUGCAAGUUGACCCUCAAGUGAGAAACAAUUAAUCACGAUGUCCCUGCCCUCCAUCUAAGAUAAUAAAGCAUUAUAUGAAUAACAGUAAAUAAUCUACCGAGAACAUGUAGUAUCAUCUAACAGUAUGAGUUCUCUAUUCUGACAUCUACCAAGUCUAGACUAGAGGCAAACUUUGACACCUAAGCACAGCACAAAAACCACUUGAGAUAGCAUUUGAAAAAAAAUGUUGGCUUAUCAGAGAAUCAAGUACAAAGCAUAGAAGUAGACGAGUUUCAGUAUUGCCCUAAAUCAUCAUUCACUCAAAGAAUUCAAUACCAAACCAGGGCUGUUGCAUUCUAUCUUAAGAUCCAUAAAUCAUUAUUUCCUUCCUUCUGACGUGAAGUCAGAUGAGAUUAAGCCUCUAUACACUUGCUAUUGAUGUAUGUGUGAACAAAAAGAAGGAAUGGGUACCUCUUUUUGGCAAGCUAAUUUCAAAGUGUCAUAAGCUUCAGUGAGAGCAGAAGCAUGUAUCCACACCCAAAGCUGGCGAUCAGUAGAAGAGUGGUUUGUACUCUCUAGUCCUUUAAAUUCAUCGCCUUCACAGUCAGCUGCAUUAUUAUCUCUAUUUGGUUGGCCAGAAGGCCGCCACAUACAGUUCACAGGAGCAAUUGGUUUUGAAAGAGGUGCUCCCAAAUGAUGAAGCUGCAAAAAAUGGGUCAUCAAGUCAAUACCUCAAGUCAUCCACAUUCACAAAGAAAAGUGCAAUAGGAUAACUUACCAUAGCAUUAUCAUAUAUGACGCCAGAAAUAACAGAACGGGAAACAUUUUCAGAACGAGUUGACUGAGGAGACACCAUUACCAUGCCUAACACUGAUAGUAACGAAUCCUGGAUGCAUAUGAAGUAGGGUGUAACAUCAUAAUUUAGUAGCAGAAAAUAACAUAUUGCAACACUUUUCCUUUUGAAGAAAAAUAAAUUAAAAGGUAUACAAUUUCAUAGGAAUAAAUUCAUAAGAUAGAAAGUAAAUGCCUGCCUCCGGCCCCUCCAAUUGGAUAGCUACAUGAUAGCUUGCAUCAUGAACAAGCACUCCAUCCCUGAACCACUUCAAGACAGCUCUGGACCCCCUUCCUCUACAUUUUAUUGUUUUUUUUUUUUUUGAUAAAAUAGAUAUACAAGCGAAUUAGUUAUUUAUUGAGAAAUAGAAGAAAUAAUAAGCGAAAAGUAAAGAAUAACACUGCUAAAUUAAUAUGCGUUUUACCUGCCCUGCAAACCCAAGGGAAGGUAGUAACCCCAAAGCUCUGUCAUUGCGAACCGCUUCGCAUGCCAAACAUGUGUUCUAAGCCUCUUUGUACCAUCCCCUGAUGUGCAGAAACCCUUUUCAAGGUUCAUUUUAAGCUCAGCUCUCCUACGAAUGCGAUGAGGAACAUUCUUGUCAUCUUUCUCUGGAGGCAAUGUCAAAGCAUUACUCUGAUCAAGUUUUCUCUAUUUUCUAAAUCUUUUUUUGGCGGCUUGAUUGUCGUAAGCAGUGGUUCUUCUUCUCUUGCUUCUCCGAGACCGGAAAUCAUUGUUCAAUCUGUUAGAUACAAUUGAAUGGAGUGUCUCAAGCUCUGAACCCCGUGAUUCUGCAAACUUUUGGACAUUGAUUUUUCGAGGCGGAGCUGAUGAAACCUGUUGCCGUCUGAAACCAUCGGUAGCCAUUAGACAAAAUUAAACCCCUCAGAUGAAGAACGAUAUUAUACCAGUCUGCCACACAAUUAUAAUCGCCUCUUCACUCUUCGGACAUCAUUGGUCUCUAUUCGCAGUACUACUCUAUUACUCUGAAAUGUCCAAAAACAAAUUGUAAGAUUCUUCAAAGCGUAGCAAUCGCAACUGGUUCCAAUUCCAAUUACUUUUUAUGGCGCAUUUACGUAACGUAAUCAAAAUAGAGGAAUUGAAUUGAGGAGGACUCAGAAUCGGAUUCUAUUGAAGCUGUUGGAAUCGGAUUCUAUUCGCAGUACUAGUACUGUGAAAUGUCCAAAAACAAUUUUUGAGAUUCUUCAAAGCUUAGCAAUCGCAACUGUGGUUCCAAUUCCAAAUAAAUAUAAAGUUCGAAACAAUAGAAAACAUCAGAUACGAAAUUCACAGUCUAACUAACAUGAUAACAUCAAUGAUACAACAACUUCAACUUAACUUUCGAAAACCAAUAUGUAAUGACACAAAGCUAAAUGAGCAACUACUGCGGUAUCCAAUAAAUAUAUAAAGAUUGAAACAAAGAAAACAUUAAGAUAAGAAAUUCUGAAUGCAAUGUGACCAACAAAAUCAAUUACUUGGCACUGGCACUGCCACUGUAGGAAUUUAACAAAAGAAACUCCUCACAUCAACCACCAGUUGCAUUGCGUGUAUCAAAACUCACCAGAUAUGCUCACAAAUUCAUACUAACAAUUAUUUUAAAAACAAAAUCAAAAUAAGAACAAGGAUGCAGUGCAGUGCAGAUUCACUCGAAAACUAAGUGAGAUUGCGGGAUUAUCGGAACUGAAUGGCUUGGAUUUGCGUUUCAGCUUCUGGUUAUCUAGUGGUAGACGUCACAAAAUUAGUAAAAUUAACUAAUUUGAAUGAAAAUAAAGAAUAAAACUUUACCAUGGGAAUCUGCAAGCAGAGAUAGAGAGAGAGUACCUGAGGACUGAGAGAAGAAGAAUAUGUGAGAGGGAGAGGAGAGAGAUUUUGCAGCUGAAGAGUGGAGAAAGAAAGGAGGGAAAAGGGGUACCGAGCAAGUGGCAGCCUACUUGAUACCUGGAGCAAUUUAAUUGAUUACCGUUGGAUCAAUCUCAACGGCUGAAACUAAACACUUUCUGUAUCCAAGAAAAACAAGGCAUCGGACUGAAAACUCCAUUCAGGACUCGGAUUGAUUCAUCAGCGCGCUCACUCUCACUCUGUUGUUUUAAGUGAUGGAUCAUAUAAACUAAGGAAGCCAGAUCGUCGUUGUUUUCAGAGAAACACAUCUUCUCGGCCCUCUCAACUCCGAAACACACACGAGGGAGGCCAAAUGGGCCUCAGCCUUCUUCCUCGCAAUCUCACAACAAACCCAUACCUCUACCAAACGGCCCUCGCAACCUCUACCACUUUCGCUGAUUCAAUCCACGUCUUCGUCGAGGUAAAGACUUCAUCUUUUUCAAUGUUAGAGUUAAUGGGUUUUACCCCUUUACCUGAUCAAGUAUGUAAUCGCCAUUGUAAACUUGCAUGCUAGUUCUUCUCUGAUCAAGGCCAGGAAGUCGACCGAUGCUAAAUUGGAUUAUUCUCACAUCACGGUAAAACAAUUUUUGAAAUUACUGCCUGAAGUUUACUGCAUUUUCGUCACUAAUCUAAACCCAGAUAUGAGAUAUCGAAUAAGUAGCAAAUUGAUUUUGGGAUUUUAGGUUGAGCUUCGGACAGUUGAUGGGUUCUUGAAGGAUAGCACUCAAGAGUUACUACUUCAUUCCCGUUUAUGACAAGGUAUUAUUUCUUAUUCUUUUUCGGUGUCAGAUUUCGCUGGAUCUUUGCAUUUCACGUGCUCUCAUGCUUCAGUGAUGAUGUUGUGUUGUCUGUUAAAUUAUCGGAGGAGAUGGCGAAGAGCUAGACCGGUAAACGGUCGGAUUUAUUGGAUUUGAGUCGGGUUGAAUCCGAUCUGUUAAUUUAAUGGGUCAUUUAAACCCAACCCGUUAAAUUGACUGAUCAUCCGAACCCAACUUGUUAACAUUUUAUCCAAAUCAAUUACAAUCCCGUUUUAUAUAGUAGAAUUCGACUUUCUAUCAAUUAUAUGCAUCUCCUAAUCUUAACAUGGAUGAGAAAAUUGUAUAAGUAAAACACAACUUCGGCAGACCCGACAAUGAUGAGCCCUGCGAGGCUUGUAUUUAGAACACUUUUCACAGCCCCCAUGUCAGAGAUCAAGAAUCAAAAGUUUCAAAAUUAGCUACAGAGAGAAGAAAUCAGCAUUUUUAAUGUGCGGCUAGACGCACUGCCAUAAAGUACUUGAUGACGUGAACUCUUCAAAAAUUCAAUGAAAGUGGGUUGCAGGGGGAAGAGAGAGAGAGCUUUGCUUUUAAUAGUGCAGUACUGCAGUAUUCCGUCGAGUUGAAGAAGACGUCGGAGAGAGUGGUAAUUUCUGAGGAAGAAGGUGAGGGGGAAGUUCUCAGAGAUGACGUGCACACUACUGCAAUAGUGCAAUGCGAGAGAGUGAGGGUUUCAUUAUUACUAUUGAAAUUACACAAAAGCCCUCAAUAACGAGUGUUAACGGGUGGUUAAUGGGUUUCGCAGGUUCAUCCAAAAUAACCCGUUAUUUAACGGGUGCUUAAUGGGUUGACCCCGUUAACUACCCGACCCGAUAAACACUCAUCCACAUACUCAUUUUAACGGGUCAGAUCGGGUUGGGUUAACGGGUCGGAUUUAAAAUGCCAGUGCUACGAAGAGCCAUACACUUGGUAUUGCUUACUCGACUGAAACUCUCUGGUUGGGACUGUUAAUUGUACAGUUGAACUACACCACUCUCACAUCAUGAAUGACAGGUUUUGUUUUUGUUAUAGAUCAAGUCCUGAUUUGCCUGUAUUAUUGUUGAUCUUGGUAAGUUUACUUAUUUAGCUUUAGUUGGGUUCCUAAUUAUGCAUGCUUGUACUUUUUGUUCCAUACUUUGAAAUUGGCUUCAACCGCAAGAUCAUUCAAUUUGGUCACUUUUUUUUUAUAAUUUGGAACUAGUCCCCUAGACCAACCAACCUUCUUUAUAAUUUGACUCCUUCACGUAAAGCCACAUGCCCCCAAAAAUACCCUAAACCCGAAAGUCAAAUUAACUUUUGACCAAAAAAACCAAAUAUUGUCAAAUUAACGGUUUGAUUAAUGGAGGUAUGAAAUUGCUAAAAAAUACAAGUUUGUGUAUGAGAUUAAAAUGCUCUAAAGAUGUUGUAUGAGGUUACAAUUACACUCACACUUAGGAUGUAAAAUGUUAUUUACUUAAUUUUAAUUGUAAAUUUUGAAGUUUUCAAGGGCAAUUUAUGGUAUUUACAUUUAGAAUGCUUCACAAUAUAAAGUCUCCCACUUUAUAGAUAUAGACAAUUUAAUUGUAAAUUUUGAAGUUUUCAUGGAUAAUUUAUGGUAUUUUGAAUGUUUCAUCCUAUAUAAAAUUUAUGGUAUUUUGAAUGUUUCAUCCUAUAUAUAUAUAUAUAUAUAUAUAUAAAGGUUUAUGUACACCUCGUGUAACUUUUUUUUGUCCUAGUUUCAUCAAAGAACUGCUAGUGGGGGAUUCUCCACAAAAAUUGAUAGUCAAAGUCCUCUCAAAUUCUAUAUUAUCCUCAACAUCCCAUUCACUUACGAGGAAACUUCGUCGUCAAUAAGUGUGGAGUGCCUGGUGGCUAAUGGGAACCUUCCUCUUCAUAUAUCAUAUUAUGUCUUGUCCCUCUCAGAAACUGCAUAUAAUUGUCCUUGGCCUUGCAUAUGCUUGCCCUGCUUUCAUUCAUUGCGAGAACCAAGAAGCAGAGGGUUUCUCUAGAUGGAUGCUUUCCGAGAUUCCUCUUCCUCCUCUUACCGGUGUUCCUAUCAUGCCUUCUUGAGUUUCAGAGGCCAGGACACGCGCAGGGGCUUUACUGAUCACCUCUAUAGAGCCUUGGAGCUAGCAGGAAUCCACACGUUUAGAGACGAUGAUGAAAUCAAGAGAGGGGAGAAUAUUGAGUCGGAGUUAGACAAGGCGAUACAGGAGUCACAAGUAUCGAUAAUUGUCUUCUCCAAGGACUACGCUUCCUCAAGGUGGUGUUUGAACGAACUUCUGAAGAUCGUGG